UUAGUGUCAUUUAUAUAGGUUGUCAUAUUCUCUUAAACAAAAAUUAUAGGUAAUUUAUAUUUUAUACAAAUGAAAAAGUAAAUUUUAACCUAUGAAAUUGAUUUAAACAACUGAAGAUUAAAACCUAGUAUUAGAAAGGAAAACUAAAUUAACACCAAUUUGCCCAAAAUUAAACCAUGUAUUAUACUAAAUUAAUUCACAAGAGAGUUCCACAUCACUCAAAUAUUAUCUCGCACUCAAAUUCACAAAACUCACUUUCCAGGUACAAAGUUUGUAGCAUAUGACCAUGCAUUGUUUGCAACCGGGUCCGCAAGAUGGUCAGCGAGGUUCUCCAAUGGUCCCUUUCCGGUAACAAUGGCUUGAACAAAGAAUCCAAACAUAGAGAACAUGGCUAGUCUGCCGUUCUUGAGCUCCUUCACUUUCAGCUCAGCAAAUGCCUCUGGGUCAUCAGCCAGACCCAAUGGGUCGAAGCUACCACCAGGGUAAAGUGGGUCAACUACCUCACCAAGAGGUCCACCAGCAAUUCUGUAACCUUCAACUGCACCCAUCAAGAUCACUUGGGUAGCCCAGAUGGCUAAAAUGCUUUGUGCAUGGAUCAAACUUGGGUUCCCCAAGUAGUCAAGACCACCCUCACUAAAGAUCUGGGAUCCAGCCUUGAACCAGACAGCCUCACCAAACUUGACACCAUUACGCGCCAAGAGUUCGGGGAAGACGCACCCAAGAGCUCCGAGCAUGGCCCAUCUGCUGUGGAUGACCUCAAGCUCACGGUUCUUGGCGAAUGUUUCAGGAUCAGCAGAGAGCCCAGCAGUGUCCCAACCGUAGUCACCGGGGAACUCACCGGUCAGGUAAGAUGGGGCUUCGCCGGAGAAUGGGCCAAGGUACUUAACACGGUCGGGGCCGUACCAUGGACUUCCUGAUGGUGCGACUUUCUUGACUGCUGUCUUCCUCAUGGAAACCCUUCCAUUUCCGGUAAUUUCAGAACCAGAUGGUGCUACUUUCACCGCCUGUCCGACGAAAGAAGAGGAUAGUGCCAUGGUGGAAGCUGCCAUUUUUGUGAGAUUUGUUUUGAAGAUGUUUUGAUGAUAUGAUAGUAUUAUGAGUGAUGAAGAUGUGUGGAUCUGGAACGUAGAUUUAUAGGGUGGUUUUUGGGCCAGGUAGUUGAUCAAUGCUUAUCUUGAUACACUCUUUAACUUCAUUUUGAUUGGCUACCAAGAUUUUAGUUCUAUCAGAGGGUAUAUAAUUUGUGUGGUUCAAGUUCUCUGGUCCACGGGAGAUAUUUGAAGGGGCAGCGAUAUUCAUGGCUCUGGCUUAUUGAGCGAAUAUAAUGGCUCGCAUUCUCAGCCACUAGCUAGUCUUGGUGGGGUUUUAGCCAGUCUUUGUGCGGUUUUUCAUGUUUAACCAUUACCAUAGUAUCGACUAAGUUUAGUCCAAACAUGCAUUGAAGUUCAGUAGAUUUGUAUUAUCAUUUUGUUUUUUAUACAAAUUUAUCAUUUUCGUACAUAAUAUAAACUCUAGGAAAAUUAAAUAGAAUAUAUUUUGAGAUAUUGACAACAUUGACCAAAUAAUAAAAAAACGUAACACACCAUUCUAAAAAAUAACAUAUAACCAUGAUGUCCGAAAAAAAUAUAACAUAUAACCAUGAUUUUCGAAAAACAAAAUUCUUGAAGAUGUACAAUUUUCGAAGGUACUAUUUGGUGACUAAUUUUAAAAGAAGCCAUUUUCAAAAUGUAAUAUUCUCGAAGUGAUUAUUUCAGCUACUUAAGGUGAUGUUGAUUUCAAAUCUCUAACAUGACAAAAAGCUUCCCCAACAAAUCUGAAGCAUGGACAUUUCAACCUAAAGAUGGGUGAGGGAAGUUCUUUUAUUGAUCAUCUUUUGUUUUCUAACAGCUUGUAGAACAUCUAGAAAUAUUGGAUGCCACAUAUGAAAAAGAAGACUUGCCGUUGUUCCUAUUGUCAUCUUUAACAAAUUCAUAUGAUGACUUUUGUGAUAAUAUUAUCUAUAGCUGAGACACCAUUGUCUUGGAUGAGAUCAUGACCACUUUAGACUUGAACGAAAGGAUGAAACUUAUCAUUAGUGAUAGUAAUGGUGAUAUAAAGGACGAAGGUCUCCAAGUAAGAGGAAGAUAUAUGUAGGGAAGUAACGAUUCCAAAUCCCUUAACAAGUCAAGAUCCAAGUCCAAAGAGAAACGUAUAUAGUGCAAAUAUUGUGUGUCUGUUGAAGCUGAUGUGGCCGAGAUCGUCUUUGAUGGCGAGCUUCUAGAAUUAUUUCUGACGAUGGUUAUUUGAUUACCACGAACGGUGGGUUCUUGAAUUUGUGCGUGCUUUUCACAUGAGUCCAAACAAAUACUAUUGUCACACCACAUUGAAAAGGAUAGUUGAUGCCAAGUUUUAAUAGGCAACGUCGACACUUCCUCCCUUAUUUUAGGACAAGCCACAAUUAGAUUUUGAAUGUUCGAUGGUGUAGUAAGUGUUGGGUUUCUAUAACAUCAAGUACACACAAACAAGGUAGUGGAAACAAUGAAAUGAUAUACCUAAGUGCAUAUGCUCUUUAGAUCUAGGUUUUACUAGUUUUAGCAAAAUACUUAAAAAUCAACAUAAAAUAAAGAUAAAACACUUACUUUUUGUUCAUUUGUAACGUCAUAAUAAAUACUCUCUCCGUCCCAAAAUUAUUGUUCACAGACAAAAAAAAAACACACAGAUUAAGAAAACAUUAAUUACUACUAACUUUAUUCAAUAAAAUGACAGUUAUGUCCUUAUUUUGCAUUUAAUGUUCGAUUAAAUGCUUAGUUGGUUAAGUAAUAAUAAUAAAGUGUAUUUUGGUAAAAAAGUUAUUUAUUUUUAUAAGUGGACUAUAAUUUUAGGACAAACCAAAAAGGAAAGAUGGACUAUAAUUUUGGGACGGAGAGAGUAAUAAUUACUAAAAUAAAAUCCUAAAAUAGGAUAAUCUAUAGCCGUGCGCGCUGCGGACUAUAUAAUACAAGUUUCUUAUUAAGGAAAAAUAGGAAAAAUCACCCGAGUCGUCCGUAAGUCAUAAAAAUAAGUGUGCCAAAAUGUAUAUAUUAUUAUAUAUUCAAAAAGUACAUGUCGUCCUGAUCCCGAAAAUAUAAAUUUCGUAGAAAUCUUAGUUCAUAUGAAGACGAUAUGAAUUUUAUAAGACAUAAAAAUCAACAGCCUAACUAAAAAUUAUUAACGUCAAAAUGUACAAAGAGAAUGGUUGACCUUUGGGUAAAGUCACCAAAAUGAAAAUCAUAAUGCUCUUUAAUGUAAGAAUUUUGGUAAAAGAAACACAAAAACUCGGAGUCCGUAUGGGAAAGUUAUGAUUUUUGCAAAAUCAUUAAAUCAUAUAAAAAUAAGGGCUAAAAACAAAUUCAGAAUUAGCCGAUGGAGCCUAAAGGAAAGUUGUAGUAUUGUCGAGAGCUACAUGUGGAAAAAAAGAACGUCAAAAGCAGAGUCCGUAUGAAGAAGGUGAAAAUGCGACCCAAUGAGAGCUUGACACGUGACACAAUGUGGCUAGGGAGAAGUCACCUUAAAAUGCACGACGUACACCCCCAUUGCACACUGUGCACCCAAAAUCGGCUAUAAAUAGGAGGUCAAGCCUCAUUCACUCCUCAACACCGCUUCUAUCAUUCUCUUUCGAUUUCCUUUGGUUCUGGCCCAUUUUAUCUUAGUUUUAGCAUUCGGCGAAGCCCUGCGAUCCCUAAAGUAGUAGUAGUUAGCGAGUAGAAGCUUUGCCAAUGCAAUUUCCUAACUUUGUUAGGAAGAACCUUUGUAAGUUAAGCUAUACUCUAGUCUUUUCAAUGUAAGUUAUAUUUAUAGUCAUAAGUCAUUAUUAUGAACCUAUAAAUAAGAUUUAUCAAUAAUUCUAUGUCGUUAUACUGAUUGAUCUACUUACGGGAGAUGUGCCUAGAAUGGUCACGUUGGCUUGGUUGUUGGAUUUCAAAAAAGAUAAUGAUUCUGCCUCCCAACUGUCCUGCUUGGAUGAUCCUUAAUUGAUAGAUCUUGAUUUAGACAUCAAAAUUAAUGAGGAAUCUAGUCAUCAGGACCAUUAGACUAGAACUUUAUAUAAAUUAUACUUAGGUAUCGGAAAUAUCUGAGGUGUUAGGCAAAGCUCUGCCCAGAUCACCAGCCACCCACCUAAGUCAAGUGAGUACAUAGUCCCCUUCAUGAACACGAUUUAAUACAAGUAUUAAUUGAAAUAUUAAAAAUCUGCUGGAAGUCGUAUGUGAAUUAUAUACUUAUUGCCUGGAUUGUAUGUUAGGAUAUAUGGUGCUAUGUGCGAACUAGAUAUGGUUCUAUUUUAUGUUAAGAUAAAUAGAUAAUAUUACAUAAUAAUAUUCAAAGCAAAAUUGUUGAGAAGAUAAAUGAUUAAUAACACCUAAUACUCUUAUGGAAUAUAUAUAUAUAUAUAUACUAAGAUAGGUUAGUGUCGCCCAAGAAUAGAGUUGGUAUUAAAAAUUUAGUUUCAGGCACGGUAUUCUAUUCUAGGAAUAAACUUAGACUUAUGGAAGAUACCUAGUUCAAUUAAGUUGAUAUUAGAUAGUCUCAUUAGGAGAAUGUGCGUAACCUAGGAAUGGAGAGUAAAGUUUUGUUCCAUGACACUAUUAGGUGUCGAUUUGUUAUAGCUUCGUACUAGAUGACCAGAAAUGGUGGGUCCUGAUCAGGCAACUGUUAGCAGUAUGUCUAGUCACGCCACAUAGUAUUUUUGGAUUAGAUGUCCAAACCCAUAACUAUAAUUGGUAUAUACUUGACCCGAGAGUAGCAUGGUCCAUUUCAGGUUGCCUUCAUCAAAGCAAUUUGACAAGAUAGAUAUUUGAGAAAGAGGUUAUUUGUGAUUUACUAAUAUUAUAAGAAUAAUAUAUUAAUUAAGAAAUCAUAUUAUUUAAGUAGUAUUGUUCAAAAAUUAAUUUGGAAUUAAUUUAGUAAUCAAAAGAGACUAAUUAAAUUUGCAGGGACUGAUUAGGUAAAUCAGUGAUAUUUAUAGUUUGGGGCCUUUGGGCUAAUGAUCAAUGUUGAUUAGGAUUGGACUAAUUCUUUGUGAGAGUCCAUGAAGAGUUAGUCCAAAACGCUAAUGAGUUAUUGGAUUAAAAGCCCAAGUGAGUUAGGGUUUACAAGUUGAAUCCCUAGGAAUUCAUAACAUUAUUGAAGCAACAUACUAUUGAAUAAAAAAACUUCUAAACCCUAAUGGAAAUCACAAUUUUCAGAAGAAUUACAUACCUCUAAUUUGUUAUUGUAAGCAAACCUUUGAAUCCAACAAGAUCAAUCCAAAAGUCUCUUUGAAAACAAACUUCAAUUGUGAGCGAGCCUCUAAUGGUUCGCACUCACAAGACAAGAACCCUAGAAAGAUUAGGAGAGAGGUUCAAAUUUUUGGAUCUACUAUCUCAAUAGAAGUGGCCAAAAAUUUCAAGGUACAAGACCCUAUUUAUAGCUUAUUAGGAAACAUCUAGAAACCCUAAUUUGAACAUAAAAUAAAAUUAUCUCAAAUAAGUCAAUUAUUUAGUUUCUUGAUUAUCUGCAUGGAGGCUUCCUGAAACCUUAGUGGGUCUAAAAAAAAGGUCCACUGGAGGAAGGUUCUGGAAUCUCUCCUCUGCUCAACUCUUAAAACAAGUUUCGCUUUAGUCCUUCAACCUUUAAUUAAUUUUAAUUAACCAUAAAUUAAUUCCAAACCAAUUCUAAAUUAAUCAUAACUAUUUAUAAUUAAUAUAUUAAUCAUAUAAUAUAUUAAUAAAUCAUUUCUCUCUCUUCUAAAAUCAAUCUAAGCAAUUUCUUGGUUAUGAGGGCAACCCAAAAAGGACUUUGCUUUUAUUUAUCAACAUUAUAUCAAUUUAGUUUGGAUCUUAGACACCUUAAUCCAACAUAAGGUUCGUAAUACAUAUACAUGUUGUGUAUGUCCAUUAGCAAAACAAAAAUGAUUACCAUUUGUUUCUGCAAACAAUGUAUCUCAUACACCUUUUCAAUUGAUUCAUUGUGACAUUUGGGGUCCUUAUCAAAUCAAUUCACAUCGGGGUUAUAGGUUUAUCAUUACUAUUGUGGAUGAUUACACUAGAUUCACUAGGAACUAUUUGAUAAGACACAAAUCUGAGGCACAAUUUGUUAUUCCCCAUUUUUUUUUUUUAAAAAUGGUGCUCAAAUAAUAUCAUACUCAUAUAAAUAUUUUCAGAUCGGAUAAUGCAAAAGAACUUCAACUCAACGUGUUUUUUAAACUAAAUGGAGUAUUACAUCAGUUCUCGUGUGUUGAUAGACCACAACAAAACUUUGUUGUUGAGAGAAAACUUCAACAUCUCUUAAAUGUGGCAAUGACAUUGUUCUAUCAAGCUCACAUUCCUUUUAUAUGUUGGCUUGAAUGUGUUUCAACAAGUGCCUACAUGAUAAAUAGAACUCCCUCAAAAGUUCUUGGAAAUAUUUCUGCUUAUAAAAAUCUCUAUAAAGAAUAGCCUCAUUACUCAUAGCUUUGAAAUUUUGGUUGUUUACCUUUUGCAUCCACACUUCAUUCUCAAAGACAUAAGUUUGAUCAUUGAGCAAGAGCAUGUGUUUUCAUUAGAUAACCACAAGGAAUGAAAGCAUAUAGAUUUCUUGAUAUAGAAACAAAUCAAAGUUUUGUUUCUAGAGAUGUCAUAUUUCAUGAGGGGAUAUUUCCUUUUAAAUAAUGCUCGCCAUCUUCUCAUACAAAUCCAUUUAUCUUUCAUGUUUUGCCUAUACUUUUACCUAGAAUCACUCAUUCUUUUACUCCUUCAGAAAAUCUCAAUCAAUUUGAUUCCCAAAUUGAUACCUUACAAAUGAAAUUCCAAAUUCACAACCAAUAUUUCUAGACCACGAAGACAAAGAGCUCCUCCUUCAUAUCUUCAGGAUUUUCAGUAAUUUGAUAAAUCCAAUUCCAGAAGAAACAUCUAUCAAAUACCCAUUAUUUGUUGUAUUAUCUUAUUUACAUCUUUCUCCUUCUUACCAAGCAUAUACUUAUGCCUUAUCUACUCAAACUAAACCCACUUCUUUUAAAGAAGCCAUUCAACAACCUAAAUGAAAGCAAGCAAUUGAUGAAGAACGUCAUGCUUUAGAGUUAAAUAAUAGUUGAACCAUUGUAACCCUAUCUCUUGAUAGAAAACCUUUGGGCUGAAAACGGGAUUUUAAACUUAAAAAGAAGGUUGAUGGAUCCAUUGAAAUCCAUAAGGAUAUAAUGGUAGCAAUGGGCUAUAGUCAAUAAGGAGUGGAUUUUUUUGGAUACUUUCUCACUUGUGUAAAAUUUAGUCAUAGUCAAACAUUUGCUGCUAACAAAGCUUGGCCACUAAUCCAAUUAGAUGUUAAUAAGCUUUCCCAAAUGGGGAUUUAAAUGAAGAGGUUUAUAUGCACUUACCACAAGGAUAUACUCCAUCUUUGUUUCUAAUUCCAGUGGAAAAUUAGUCUGCAAUUUUGAAAAAUAUUUAUAUGGUUUACAACAAGCUUCAAGGCAAUGGUAUGAUAAAUUUUCAAAAUUUUCUUAUUUCUAAAUAUUUCAAGCAAUAUCAAUAAAAAAAUUCCUUAUUUUUCAAAGGAAAAGAUGAUAAUUUUAUGGCCUUAUUAGUAUAUGUAGACGAUAUUGUCCUUACGGCUUAUUCUCUCACAACCAUUAAUAACAUCAAACAACGUUCAAGUGAUGCCUUUUAUCUCAAAGAUUUGGGUAAACUCAAACAUUUUUUGGGUUUGGAAAUUGGAAGAUCCCCAAAUGGAAUUGUCAUUUCUCAAAGGAAAUGUGUUAGAUCUAUUUGAAGAUGUUAGCAUGUUGGUAUCCAAACCAACCUCUCAAUUAAUGGAUCCUUGUCAUAAAAAAUUAAUUUUUUAUGGAUAACCUGUAUAAGAUCCAUCUCAUUAUCGCCAUUUAGUUGGUCGUCUUCUUUAUCUCACAAUCACACCUCCCGAAAUAGCUUAUGUAGUACACAGAUUAAGCCAAUAUAUUUCUGAUCUAAAAAUACCACAUCUUCAGGUAGCUCAUCAUGUGUUAUGAUUUUUAAAGGAUAACCCUAGACAAGGUUUGUUUAUUUCAUCCAAACCAUCUUUGCAAGUCAAAGCAUUCAAUGAUUCUGAUUGGGUUGGAUGUAUUAACACUAGAAGAUCUUUUACAGGUUUUUGUGUUUUUCUUGGAGAUUUCUUAAUCUUGUGGAAAUCCAAGAAAAAAACCACUUUUCCAAGAAGAUCAAUAGAAGUAGAGUACAGGGCACUGGAUCUGUCAUAAAUGAUGUGAUCUGGUUAAGAUAACUUAUGCGUGAUUUUUUUUAUUAAUUUGGAUCCACCAACAUUUGUUUUUUGUGAUAAUAAUUUUGCAAUGCAAUUAGCUGUCAAUCCUAUAUUUCACUAGAGGACUAAGCAUAUCUAAAUCGAUUUCCAUUUCAUAAGGGAAAUGAUUGUGGAUCACACCAUCAAACUCAUGCCCAUUCAUACUUCAAAUUAACUAGCGGAUAUAUUUACAAAACCCCUUGCUUAUUCUAGAAUUGCUUUGAUUUUAUCCAAGAUGGCACUUAAAAGUAUUUUUUAGUGUACAUCUUGAGGGAGGUAUUAGAGCAUAUUGACCGCUUAGUUGAUUAAAUAUCUAUUACGAUGCCGUUUUAUAUUUGUCAUUAGAAAUAAAGGUAGUGAAACUAUGUCAUUUACUUGUGUAAAUAAGUUGUUAAGUUAGUUAGGUGCAUGUUAGCUAAUGUUGUGCAAGAUAAUAGUUAUAUAUAAUCUCAUUUUAUAUUUAUUGAUGAAUAAGAGAAGAUUAUAUUCCCUUUUCAAUUCUUUUUCUUCUUGAUUGUAAAUCUUUCCUCUACCCAUACCUUUCAUAACCCCCUAAAACUAUUUAAUCAAAUCGGUCACUGAAUUCUUGUUUCCAAUUUUGAUUCGAACGACGGUACCUCAAGCCAUUGUUUCAGAUCUUGAGGUAAAUACAAUUGCUCUAUUUCCCUUAAUUAUAAAUUGCAUUCAUGAUUUAUUGUUGAUUGAUGGUGCUAAAUGUUCAGAUGUAAAUCAUACACAUUGUGAACUUAUAGAAACAAUAUGUUGUUCCUAAAAUUGGUAAAAUCCAAAAUCCAAGAUGAUGCAAAUAUCGAUGCUCUACUAAAACUCAUAUAUGUCAAUGGCGCUACAUGAUGGAAAAAGAGCCACUUUUAGUUUGUUGUCAAAAGGCAAAGUGAAGUUAAGACAGUCUUCUCUCAAAUACGACCUCUAGCCUUAGGCUUCAAGUUGUUUCUCGUGUGAGUUUGGGUCUUUCAAAAUUCAACAAAUUUGCUACAAUGGAUACAAAUGUUCUUUAUGGAUACAUCACUAGACUGUAAAAUGAGAUUGAUAACAUUCACGAUGUUGUUAGAUUGCUUACAUUCAUGAUGUUGUUACAUUGGUAAAAGUCCGAGAUGACAUCAUGGUGGACGUUGGUAGAACGAGACAUGACAUUGUGUUCCUGCUCAGUACUACGCUUCCACCAUACUUAGUGUCACUUAUAUGUAGAAAGGUGUUAUCUAUAUCAAUUUUAUAUAUUAUGUAUAGUGUAGGGAGACAAUUUUAACAAUGUAUUGUAUAAAUAUAUUCUGCAAUAUACGCCUCCAAAUGAUGAGGUUUUUCCCACUUUAAUAUGGUAUCAAGCUACGGUUUCUACCCUCUUUAAUCAUACGUAUGGAUCAAACCUUUUACCGCCUCACAUUUUUUUUUCUGGCCAUUAAUCACGUUGUCGCUGCUCUUAUAUGCCACUAUAAUUGUCGACUGCUUCUCAAUUUUUCUCGACGUGCUCUCCUCCGUGCAUUAGGGUCUUCCUAAAAUAUGGUUGUGGUUGAUUCUUUUAUGUUUCCAACAAUAUUUUACAAUCUCCUGCUGUGAUCACAUAAUUUUGCCCUCAUCAUUAUUGUGUGCGUUUCUUGCUCCUUAAGGUAUUGCCUCCAUGACCACUCCUGGUUCAUCCUCUACCACCACUCCCAUGAAGUUAAGUCUCGUUUGUACUCUCACCAACGUUUACAAUCAUUUUAGUUUCAAAUUAAAUGUUGAUGAGCCAAACUGUAAACUAUGGAAUCAGAUUUUUUCAAACAUGUGUCGAGGCACAUUGUCCUAUGGUAAUAUUUCAUAGAAAUCGGUUCCAACCAGAGAUGAUGAGGAAUGAUAUUCGGUUGAUGCAAGGCAUCAAUUCUUAUUUUUAUAGUAUUGUGAUCCCGAGUUUCUUCAAUUCAUCUUGAGCGAUGAUUACACCACCACAAAUCUUUCGAAAAAAUUAGAUGAAUUUUUCGGAACAACAAAAUAUCUCGAAUGUUGCAAUUACAGGAUUAAUUUCGCAAUACGAAGAAGGGUUCAAGCUCCAUUACCGAAUUUUAUCACAUUCUCAAGAACCGUGCCAAUGAUCUCAAAGAUGUUGGUUCCACCAUCAUCGAAAUUGAGCUAGUAAUGCCAAUCUUGAGACAAUUACCAUCUCAUACCAUAGUAUUACGGAUGUCAUCACCAACAUCAAGCCUUUUCACUCUUUCCUUGAGGCCAAGAAUAUGCUUUUACUUCAUGAGUCUCGAGAAACGGCUUAAGAUUCCUUCACAAAUUCAUCCAUGUCUCAUAGUGUGGCUCUAUUUUCCUCAUCCAACAAUUUGGGAAAUCCAAAUACCGAUGGUCGAAAAACUGGAACAAUUCCCGAAAAAUUGAAAAACAAUGCACAUGGAAAUCAUUUUGAUUCGCAACCGCAAUUUAUUAGAAUUCUUGGAAAUGCUCUGUUGCCACCUCCGCGUGCUGCCUCUGGUUACGUUGCUGCUAUCCCAGCUGCUUCGCACUUAAUCCUACUGUCUUACAGCUCCUAUCUGUAGGUUCCAUUCUCGCCGAAUCAGCAGCCCACGUGACAACUGUCAGUGCCUCCGCAACCCUCUUCUCAACAUUUCACUUUUCAUCAGCAUCUGACUCAUGUUGUUGGGUCUUCAUCAUCAGCUACACCCCUCAGACUUGUUUCUCAACAACCAAGUCAGGUGCCUCACGGUCACUUUUCUCAACAUCAAUUUUUUGGUGGAUCUACUUUUGGUUGUCACGUUCAGACUACUCCUUAACAAUUCAUCGAUAUCGCCUCUGCCUUUCAAUCCAUGUCUCUUCAGCCGCCUCUCGACAACAACGUUUACGUGGACUCCGGUGCUAGCUAUCACAUGUCCUUCAAAUCAGUUAACAUGCCUUGCCUAUCACUACGUAAUUCUAGAUCUCUAAUAGUUGCUAAAGGUGCUAUACUUCAUAUUACUCAGACUGGUCAAAUUUUUUUUCCACAUUCACACAACUGUUUAGCUCUAAAUAGCAUACUUGUCUCAAAUAAAAUUGUUAAAAAUCUCAUUAAUGUAUGUCAGUUCACUGUUGAUAACUUUGUCUCUGUAACUUUUGACCCUUUUGGUUUCACUGUGAAGGAUUUUAAAACAUGUGCGUUUAUUUAAAGAUGUGAUAAUGGCAGUGAUCAUUGUCCCGUUAUCCCCAUGCCAACUCCUUCUUUUUCUAACACUAGUUGUGUUGUUGUUUCUCUCCCAACUUGGCAUAUGCGUCUUGGUUACCUUGGCUCAUCUAUUUUGAAUUUUUUACAUUCUUGCAAGUUUAUUUCCCAUACUACUACUAAACUACCCAUCUAUCAUGCUUAUUAGCUUGGGAUGCAUUGUCGUUUACCCUUCUCUUCGUCUAUAAUUAAAACUACUAGUAUGUUUGAAUUGGUGCAUUUAGAUUUAUGGAUAUCUCUUAUUGCUAGUCUAAGUUGUUUUAAAUAUUAUAUUUUUUGGAUGAUUUUACUCAUUUCUUAUGGGUUUUCCAUCUUCGUGAAAAAUCUGAUAUUUUUGAUGUUUUAUCUAACUUCCAUGGAUGUGUCCAAACUCAAUUUAAACCUGACAUCAAAUUUUUUCAAUGUGAUAAUGGUUGUGAAUUCAAUAACAAAUCUGUUCUCACUUUCUGUGCCCAUAAGGAAAUCAAAAUUGGCUUCUCUUGUCCGUAUACGUCCCAACAGAACGAUAAGGUUGAAAGAGUCAUACGAACCAUUAAUAACAUCCUUCGAACUUACCUGUUUCAAGCCUCCCUGCCUCCAACAUUUUGGGUUGAAGCUCUCCUCAUUACUGUUCAUACCCUUAAUCUCCUUCCCACCUCCACUCUUGCGUUUCAAACACCCUUUGAGCUUCUCUUUGGUGUUUUUUCCCUCCUAUGAUCACCUUUGAGUAUUUGGGUGCCUUUGCUACCCAAAUCUCUCAUCCACGACUCCCCAUAAGAUCUCUUAUAGGUCUUCUUCAUGUGUAGACCUCAAUCCCUCCUCUAAUCAUUGUGGCUUUUGUUGCCUUAAUCUCAUCUCCCAACGAGUAAUUAUCUCUCGUCAUGUCAUCUUUGACGAUCACUUCCAUUUCUCUACCUUUCAUGAUAAACCCUCAACCAAUUACUAUGAUCCUUUCCUUUCCGAGGAUAUACCUCCCCUCCUUACAGUAUGCACUACUCUUCGCAUCACUGAGCCCUCUCCUAGUGAAUCUUCUCCCGCUCUUUCUGAUAGUAGUUCCCCUCAACCCACUGCCUCCUCCUCCUUUCCUAAUACUAUUCCUACCCCCUCCUCCUACCCAUCCCAUGGUCACUUGCUCUCGCACUGGCUUUCUCAGGCCUAAGUAGAUUUUUAAUCUAUUUGCCACUUCUGAUGUCUCCCCUAUCCCUCGCUCUAUAUCUCAAGCUCUAUGUGAUCCUAACUGGAUUUUUCCAUGGACUCUGAAAUGCAGGCUCUUCACUCCAAUCACAAAUGGGAACUUGUUCCCCUUUCUCCAUGCCAAAAUUGUUGGUUGUCGCUGGCUUUAUUGUCAUAAGUUUGACAGAAAAGGUAACCUAGAUCGCUAUAAAGGUUGCCUUGUUGCUUAGGGAUUCUCUCAGCUUCCUGGUCUUGACUUUGAUGAUACCUUCAGUUCUGUUGUCAAACCUGAUACGAUUUGUACUGUUCUAAUUAUUGCGAUGUCCAAGCAUUAGCCAAUUCAUCAACUAGAUAUCAAAAAUGGUUUCCUACAUGGUUACCUAUCUGAGGAAGUUUACAUGAAACAACCUCAUGGGUAUGUCCAUCCCUCCCUUCCUAAUCAUGUAUGCCGACUUCUCAAAGCUCUUUAUGGUCUCAAAUAGACUCCCAAGCCAGGUACCAACGCUUUGCUGUUUUCAUCACCUCUCUCGGUUUUACUAGAAGUCGGUCUGAUUGUUCCUUAUUUACUUAUCACUCUGGUUUCGACCAUAUCUUCUUUCAUUUUUAUGUUGAUGAUAUCAUCCUCACCUCCUCCUCUUUCUCCACUCUCAUCACUCACAUUAUCUCAUGUCUCUCGUCUGAGUUUUCCAUGUCCAAAUUGGGUCCUAUUUCCUUAUUCAUUGGCAUCGAUGCUUUUCGAUCUGAGGAGAGUCUAAUUUUAUCUCAGGCUUCCUUUAAUGACAUCUUAGCUCGUGCUGACAUGUCUUCUUGCAAUCCGUGCAGUACCCUAUCUGACACUAAAUCUAAACUUUCUCCUCACGGCUCUCCUGUCUCUGAUCCCACUCUCUACAGGAGUCUUGUUGGUGCCUUACAAUAUCUUACUUUCACUCGUCCUGACAUUGCAUAUGUUGUACAGAUCUCUCUUCAUGUUUGCGUGAACCUCAUCUUCUUGCUCUUAAACGUAUCCUUCACUAUCUUCAGGGUACUAUUUCUCAUGAUAUGUUUAUUCGACCUUCCUCCAUUGAUCACUUGGUCUCCUAUUAUGAUGCAAACUGGACCGAGUGUCCUCAUACUCGUUGGUCUACUUCUGGGUUUUGUGUUUAUCUUGGCAAUAAUCUCGUCUUUUGGUCCUCUAAACAUCAACAUGUUGUUUCUCACUCCUCAGCUGAGGAUGAGUAUUGUGGGAUGGCUAAUAUGGUUGCUAAAGCUGCUUGGCUUUGUAAUCUCCUUCUUGAGUAAUCUUGUACGUUAUCUAAAGCAACAUUUAUGUUUUACUAAAUGUGAGUGCCAUGUAUUUAUCUUCUGAACCAUUAAAACACGAACGUAUUGCUCGUGCCGUCGAUUCACUAAUUUGCAGAUAUAUUUACAAAGGGUCUUCACCGGUUUAAAUAUUUGUAAAUCUCAUGCUCUAACUAGAGGGUGCCUUAGUUUAUAUUAGUUUAUAUAUAUUAUGUAUAGUGUAGGGACCAAUUGUAACUUUAUAUUGUAUAAAUAUAUUCUGCAGUAUAUGUCUCAAAUUGAUGAGGCUUUUCCCACAUUUAACAAAAGGAAAACUAAAUUAACACCAAAUUGCCCAAAAUUAAACCAUAUAUUAUACUAAAUUAAUUCACAACAGUUCGACAUCAAUCAAAUAUUAUCUCGCACUCGAAUUCACAAAACUCACUUUCCGGGUACAAAGUUUGUAGCAUAUGACCAUGCAUUGUUUGCAACAGGGUCAGCAAGGUGGUCAGCGAGGUUCUCCAAUGGUCCCUUUCCGGUAACAAUGGCUUGAACAAAGAAUCCAAACAUAGAGAACAUGGCUAGUCUACCGUUCUUGAGCUCCUUCACUUUCAGCUCAGCAAAUGCCUCUGGGUCAUCAGCCAGACCCAAUGGGUCGAAGCUACCACCAGGGUAAAGUGGGUCAACUACCUCACCAAGAGGUCCACCAGCAAUUCUGUAACCUUCAACUGCACCCAUCAAGAUCACUUGGGUAGCCCAGAUGGCUAAAAUGCUUUGUGCAUGGAUCAAACUUGGGUUCCCCAAGUAGUCAAGACCACCCUCACUAAAGAUCUGGGAUCCAGCCUUGAACCAUACAGCCUCACCAAACUUGACACCAUUACGCGCCAAGAGUUCGGGGAAGACGCACCCAAGAGCUCCGAGCAUGGCCCAUCUGCUGUGGAUGACCUCAAGCUCACGGUUCUUGGCGAAUGUUUCAGGAUCAGCAGAGAGCCCAGCAGUGUCCCAACCGUAGUCACCGGGGAACUCACCGGUCAGGUAAGAUGGGGCUUCGCCGGAGAAUGGGCCAAGGUACUUAACACGGUCGGGGCCGUACCAUGGACUUCCUGAUGGUGCGACUUUCUUGACUGCUGUCUUCCUCAUGGAAACCCUUCCAUUUCCGGUGAUUUCUGAACCAGAUGGUGCUACUUUCACCGCCUGUCCGACGAAAGAAGAGGAUAGUGCCAUGGUGGAAGCUGCCAUUUUUGUGAGAUUUGUUUUGAAGAUGUUUUGAUGAUAUGAUAGUAUUAUGAGUGAUGAAGAUGUGUGGAUCUGGAACAUAGAUUUAUAGGGUGGUUUUUGGGCCAAGUAGUUGAUAAAUGUUUAUCUUGAUGCAAUUUUUAACUUCAUUUUGAUUGGCUACCAAGAUUUUAGUUCUAUCAGUGGGUCCAUAAUCUGCGUGGUUCCACUAUUCGAGUUCUCUGGCCCACAUGAGAUAUUUGAAGGGGCAGCGAUAUUCAUGGCUCUGUCUUAUUAAGCGAAUAUAAUGGCUAGAAAUCUCAGCCACUAGCUACCAUGCACAAACCGGUUUUUUUUUUGAACCGGACCGCUUCAAAAAUCCGGUUCGGUUCUAGUCAAUUUAGUCAAAACCAGUUUGGUUCCAAACCGGUCCAGCUUCAAAAUAAUUCAAACGUAUGUAAACUCGUUAAAGAAAAAACCGGUUCAAAAAGGGUUCAAAACCAGUUUGACGGAAAAAAGGUUUUUUUCAAUUUUUAUUUUGUUUUUAGGCUAAUAACUGAAAAAUAGGAAUUUUUUUUUAUAAUAUUGCUUUUAUUGUGUUUAAAAAAAAAGUUUCACACUAGGUUUUUUGAAAAUGGAAGUGGAAUGAAUUGGGAAUUCAUAAGCCUUUUUUUUGGUAAUACACACGUACACACGUCCAUAUGCCAAAAGGUUUUUAUUAUUAUUUUUUUUAUUUCUUGUUUAAUCUUUUGAUGUAUUAAAUUUUUUUUUUGUUUCAGAUUUGAUGUUUUAUCUUUUUUUUUUUCAUUUUUUUUGUUUUUUAUAUUGGAAAUACAUAAUACAACUUCAAACAUAAAAACACAAAACAUCCAAAUUGUCAAACUAAUACAUCUUCAAAUAUAAAACAUUGAUGUCGUCGUAGUCUUCAUUCCAAGUCCGUAGUCAUUGUAUUUAUUCGUCAUCCGCCAUGUCGUUGCGUAAUUCUCUCUCAUACUCGAUCUCUUCUAGGGUGAGUGACACCGACAUUCCCAUCGCUACUUCUUCCUCAUGUACUCGUGCUUCGACAUGCAACGAUGUGCCUUCUAGUGCUUCGAUGUCUUGUAUCCUUUCCACGCCAUCAAGGUAGUAUUUCAAGCAAAUGCACACUUCCACCGACAAAUGGGUUAGUUUUGUUCUUCUUGGUGAUAUUACCCUGCCACUAACAGAAAAACCGAUUCCGANUUACCCUGCCACUAACAGAAAAAGCCGAUUCCGAAGCUACCAUAGAAGCUUGGGAGCUUAGUAGAUCACGGGCCAUAGCGGCUAGAAUUGGAAAUUAGGUUUCCUUUCCUUUCCACCAAACCAAAAUAUCAAAAUUUUCAAACUCUUGAAUACUCAUUUCACUACUAGAAAAAUAGCCUUUUACGACGCGCGAACAACGACACGCGCUGUUUUAUGAUACACAAUAGUGUGUGCCCUAAAAAUAAUGUCGGCUCUCCAAAAAUUAGAAGGAUUUAGGGUACGCAUUUUUGCGCGCCCUAAAAUAAGUGUUACAUUAAAAAAAAACACGGAGGGCACAUAACAUAAAACGCGCGUCCACUAAGUAUGUCGCUUUAUAUUUUUUAAAUGAAAUGCGGGUCACAUUUUUUAGGGAAAACGAAAUUCCAAAAAGUUUGAAAGGCCCGCCAUGUUCCUACCUUCUUUCCACCGUUCUUCUCUCCCUUACUCAAAAUACCCAAAAAAAACCCUAAUAUACUCAUCGCUCCUCUUUUCUCCCAUAACAAACUCGCACCAUCACCAAAUCUCUGAUCUCCCACCAGCAAAAGGUCUCCUACCGAUGUCUCCACCUACUCUCUGCCCUCUCACUAUUUCUCUCAAUUAAAAACGCUAGAUCUCUCAAUCAGAGAACCAUGGCUACUUCUCCUUUCUCCCACACCAGUUGGCAAAAAGUGAGGAGUCUCGAGCCUAGCAGUUGAUAUUCACAUGCCCUCUUAAAUUGAAGGAAUCAGAACAUUGUCGACAUCAAUUCGUUAAUCAUCACUAGAGAAAUCAGAUACGCCAUCUGGUUGAUGAGUCAAGAGAAAUCACAUAUGUCAUCGCUUCAGCAAUCAUCCCUCCUUUUAACCGUAAGUUUUCAAUCUUACACUUUACAAAUAUCAUAUAAACAUCUCUCUCUCUCUCUCUCUCUCUCUUUCUCUCUCCUGCUAUACCUUGAUGAAUUAUCGCAUACAUAUGGAGGAACUGCUUUCUAAAAGCCAGCUAUCGGGAGAGUCAACAGGGUCAAUUGGGUGUUCAAAAGGUGCUUCGAUAUCAUCUUCCCGCCAGCAAAUCUCUGUUAAAGUUGUCACAGAGUAAUCCAUUUGAGUUUGGGCAUAUAUUUUUUGUUAUUAAUUUAGGGGGAGACUGUGUUCCAUGAUUUUGGUCAUGCAUUUCUUCAGCACACGCUAACAAGACAAGAUGAAGGGCUUGUUGUUGGUAUUCGUGGCAUAGAGUGGAUGCUGUUGAGUUACCUUUCCAGUUCAUGGAAAAUUGGUGCUACCGUAGGUAGGUAUAUAUAUCUCCAAUUUCAAGAUGUUGUUCAACUGCUGCAGGAACGAGGUGAGGGUGGCUGAUGAGAAUUUGUGACAGGAACUAUCCGAUUGGGGAUUCCAGCUCAAGUGGGGCAGUUGGCGCAUCAGAUCCAGCAGAAUCAGAAGAUAAUGAGGCCUUUAUUGCAAUUCUCUUCUUUUGAAUAUGAAAAGAUGCACUUUUCAGUCCUAAUCUGGGAUGUGAAAAUGAAAGGAACCCCUGUUUAGCCAACAAAACAAAGUAAAAUUCAGUUACAACACUUACCCAAAUAUAGCAUUCUACCUUUAAUUUUUCUCAUCAAGACAAAAUUGAAUCAGUUAUGAAACCGACCACAUAAAAGGCUGUUUUUCUAGAGUUGCAAUGUUAGGAAUAAAAGUCACAAUGGUAUGUGGUCGGUUUCAUAACUGAUUCAAUUUUGAUGAGUAAACAGGUUAGAUUUCAUAUGGUUGUUUGUUCAGAUUGGUAUUCAUCCUGAUUUUCCUUCAAUUAUGCAACAACUAUGCUGGAAUUUGCUAUGUUCCAUACUCGGAUUUUGAAUUUAUCGGAAAAUUGAAUAAUUAAUCUGGAAAAAUACCAUCUUUGAAUGAUUUUUUUGUCAUCUGUAGAUAAGGAAUACCAUCUUUGGGUAAUUAGUUUAUCUAGUCUACAUGAUUAAAUUAAUGGACAUAUAAUUCUCUAUUGAUAGAACAAAAAACAUUGCUUUGUAGUGAAGAUAAGGAAUACCAUAUUUGGGUAAUUAGUUUAUCCAUACUCGGAUUAUGAAUUUAGCCCACCAUCAGCAGGGGAUUGCUGAGUUUUAUGUGACCAUAAUGCCCUUUCGGUUUGUAGUGAAGAUCCAAGCAUGUAAUUAAUAACACCUCUAAUUAAUUAAUUAAUUAAUCCCCUAAAACUAACUAUGGUUAAAUUAAACUGGUGGUAGGUGCCAGUGUACAUAGGGGCACAUAUGGUCAAAUAUGUUUUAAUUAUUAGUCUAAUAUCUUUUGAUACUUAUCAAUAACAACAAAAUAAUGUAAAAUCGUGUGAAUACAAUUCAAGGGUAUAAUGGUCUAGACAGAGAUUAUUUUUAUUAAAGAUAUUUAUUUAUUAAUCAUCAGAGAAGAAGGAAUUAAUAUGAAAGAAUCACUUACUGCAAAAUAAUCUUCAAAUGUAAAAUCAACAUAGCCUAAGCCCUGAUUUUUAUUUCACCACAGGUUGGCGAGCUGGCGGGAAUAGCUUUGGGAGCAACUGUCAUGCUUAAUAUUCUUAUAGUUGUGUACGUUAUGGUCAAAAUAGUUCAGCAAGAACCUCUGUUGAAAUGAUAUAGGCCACUAAUUAUUUAAAACUAUCACUGGCUCCUCAUUAUGGUCAAAAUAGUUGGUCUGUUAAAAAUUGUGACUAUGAGCAAUUUGCCACUUCUAAAUGGGUUCUUUGUAGUUUUCCUUUCUAUAAUUCAGGAAAUAGGAUCAUAUUUUACUCUUGCAGAAAUAGUUAUGGUCUGUGAGCAUUCUUCCAGAUUGUAAGAACGUAAUUUUCAACACAACAAAGGUGAAAUUAUAUCUAUGUUUUCUUGUGUAUUUAACUUCACAGGAGCUGAAACAUGAUCUAAUUUUUUUUAUCUAUUGGUUAUGUUGAAUAUGGAUAAAAGGUUGUGGCUCAGAAAAGUGUUGGUGAUGCUUCUACAUUUGUUGAGAGUGAAUUUUCACUGUCAAAUUCAAGUUGGAUUUGGUAUGUAGAAAAAGUGUGUGUUUAGAGUAAGGACUUUUUCCUUGUUGGACUGUAAUAGUAGACCAAUAUGAUUCGUUUUAUAAAACCCUUAGACAGAUCACAGUUGGUUCUGCAAUUGCAUGGUCAGGUAAACAUUCUAAACACAUUUUCAAUUUAUUUUGUGAUAUUUAAUUUCUCCCAUAUUCUUUUAAAUUAUAUUAUAAUAUGCUUAUAAACACUACUUUCCUUUCAUGUAGCCAAAAAAUUGUCCCAAAGUUGACUGAGGUACUUUGGACAAAAAUACAAUGUUAGCUUACAUCUUUAUUAGUUAAUAUAAUCAAAUUUCUAAUUUUAGGUGCUAACUGAUACGCGUCCGCAAGUUCAGUCUGCAUGGCAGACAACACUCCAGCAGGUUUGACUAUAUUCUUAUGGGUUGUGGCAUUCACAUUCCCAUAGUGAUCUUGAUAAAGUUGCUUCUAUUUCCAUGCUAAGUUGGCUUUUAUUUGUAAUAUAGGAGGUCCAAAAUCUUGCAAAGAAGGCUGCAGAAACUGUGGUGUUGGUAAUUGAUGAUGAAGGGACUGAGUAUUUGAUAUCAGAACUUCUCAAGUUGCUUCUAUUUCCAUGCUAAGUUGGAUUUUAUUUAUCUUACUGUUUAUUAUCAUUUUUUAUAUAAAAUUUCAUCAUUUAUAUUAUAUAUAUAGUACAUUAUAGACUUUGCAUCAUAAUUUGUUGAAUGUUACAAGAUAUAAUUCAAAAUUCAAUUUCCUCAUGUUGUUGCUGAAAUGACAGCAAUUGGUUUUGGCCUACCAAAGAAUGCAUUCACCGCUUUAAUGAAGAAUGUAAGUGUUUAUUUUUCUUUUCUGUUUGGUGAAAAUCAUCAAAUGACAAUCUCAUUAUAUAUCUUAGGAUCUUAUCAGUUAAUAAACUUGAUCGUGGGUAUGAUCAAGCAUAGGUUUACAUUUAUACCCCUGCUUUUAUCUUUUAUCUUUUAUGUUAUAUAAUUAUAUUCCCCCUUUUUUUAUCAGGUUAAUUUGGUGGUUAAUUAUGAUCUUCCUAUAAGACAUGAUCAUCAAUCUCACUACAAGAAAAAUACCCUUUUACGACGCGCAAAACACGACGCUCUUUGAUUUAUGUUACGCAUUAGAGAGCGACAUUAAAAAAGUGUCAUCUCUUAAAAAAUUUUAAGGAUUUAGGUCGCGCAUUACUGAGUGCCCUUAAAUUAGUGUCUCAUGUAAAAAUAUUAAAAACACGGAAGGCACUUGUGCGUCGUCUGUGAAUGUCGUUUUAUAUUUUUUUUUAAGAAACACGCGUCUCGGAGGGAAAAUGAAAUCCCCAAAUUUUUUAAACCCCCACCUUUUUCUCCCUCGUCUCCACCCCUCAUCCACAUCCACUACCUCCGAUCCUCAUUUCCUCUUCUAGCCUCAAACUACGGCGAUGCACCUUCCUUCUCGAAGAAUGCUUCAUUUACCACCAUCGUCCGAUUAUGUGAGCCCAAGGAAUUGACCAAGACGAAGAAGAUAAUGGAUCAAUUGCUUCACAUCAUGUUUAAGGUUAAGGGUUUGAGUUAGUCCGCAACAGGUAAUCGAAUUUUGCCUAAUAUAUAUUUCUACUCUCAAACUGUUUAUUCGUCCGAUUGGAUGCAUAUUUACUAUUAAAUUUGGGGAUUUUCUUUUAAAACCCCCGCGCCUCUUCUUGUUUGUAGCUAAACAACCGUGAAUUUGUUAGAGUGAUUGGAAGAGGAAAAAUAGAAGAUAGAAGAAAAAGAAGAAGAAGAAAAGCGAACAAACGGGAUUUCUUGACCUGAUGUGUUAAUCCGUGAUCAGGUCUUCUGAGCGAAGAGAAGAUCUGAGGCUCAAUUGAAGAAAUAUGAGCGCUUCUAGAUUUAUAAAGUGCAUCACAGUCGGUGAUGGCGCUGUCGGGAAGACUUGUCUCUUGAUUUCCUACACCCGUAACACCUUCCCCACGGUAAUCAUCUCUUCAUCAACCGCCUUCAGUUUCUGCCCAACUAAAGCACGGUUACACACUUAUUUCUCUUCGGACGUUUCUGUGGCUUCCAUGGGAACGGAGGAGGAUGAUAUAAAUGAGGCAACAACUUCAUUCGCUACAUGUUUGAACCUUAAAUUGAAGGGAUUAUAUAUUGAAAUUUGAAUCUACAACUUCGAAUUUCAGUCAUCUCUCUUCUCUUCUACAUCUCACCUGAUUCUCUAUUGAAAUUUCUAGGGUUUUUAAUUGAACCUACAUCUUCAUCUUAAUCUUCUUUUCUGAAGUUAGGGCUUUUUUCUUAAGAACAACUAAUUUUUUGCAGUAAGUAAACCUCUAAUUUUUUCAUUUCUCAUUUCCUUAGACCUCUCCCCUUUCCAUCUCAUAUCGAGGCAAAAUCAAUUUCACUUUGGUGGCUUCGAUUUCCUAGCACAUAUUAUGUUAUUAUAUGGAUUUGUAGGAAAUUAGAAAUCAUGUUAGAAUGUUUGAUGUUCUGUAUGUUCAUAAAAGUACAUCUAAAACAAAAAUCUUAGAUUAAACAAAACUGAAGCAUUUAAUGAGAUGUAAUUACUAACUUUUGUUGGAGAUGCAAAUGCUAAAUAAAGAAAACUGAAGCAUUAAAUGAGAACCUUUAUAAUUCGAUUUCAUUCAGAUCUUCGGUGGAUAUUUAGGGCUAACAAAGAAAACUGAAGCAUUUAAUGAGAUGUAAUUACUAACUUUCGUUCAAGGUAACCCCUGUUAUGAAUACAUGUAAGAAUUUAUUUAUCUUUUUCUCUCACCACUUGCUAUCCAUGUGCUGCUCUCUCAUAGUUGAUAUCUAACAACAAAGACCUGAUCAGUCUAGUUUGCUUGUUUUUUUUCUUUUUCUUAUAAUUCUUGAAUACGUGCAGAUUUUUUAAGACUUCUAGUUUUGUUUUUUGUUCAGUGAUAUUGAUGAUGAGGCAAGUUUAUCAACACUAUGGGAGAGAUAUCAAAGUGUCUCUGAAAAGGUAUUGCGAUAUCAAAGCAUAAAUUAUUUAUGGAUUAAAAUGGGAAAAUGACUUAUAUGGGUAAGAAAGUUUUAAAAACUUUUAAAAAUGACUAUCAAAGUAUUGUUUGUAUAAAAAACACCAACCAAGUUUACCAUUUUGUCAAAUCUAACAGGUUGGUAACCUGCAUCUGCCGGUCAAAAAAAAUUACCUGAUCAUUUUAAAAACUGAAAUUAUAAAUGACAUGGCAUCCUUUUUUAGUCUUACGUGGAUUAAUUGCAAGGGAAGAUCCAUUUUCUCAGCGUUCUUUCUCAAAAUCAGGAGGGAGUCAACACAGAACCCUCUCUAGGGUUAGUUUCUGCCCCUGUAUACAGUUAUUUUUGUUUAAAUUGACUGAUUUUAACAGUUGACGAAUAUGCUCCUGCUUUGGGCUAAUCACACAUAUGUCUUUUUUAUGACCAAAUUGCCCCUGUAUAUAGUUUUUUUUUGUUACAAUUGACUGAUUUUACCAGUCAAUUAAGGUGUUGUUUAGAAACUGUUAGUAUCCAAGACCAUUUACAUGCUCGUGCACAAAGACGAAUUUGCCCUUGAUUGUGACCAAACUGCCCCUGUAUACAUAUUUUUUAUUACUAAAAACACCCCCUGUCCUAGAAAAAUAUGACACUUCUAUACAAAAGCUAAUACCAAUUUCUCACUACAAAUCAACUAAUAAGAAAAGAAGUGGGCAACUCUCUAAAAUGACCAAAAUUUGAAUUGCAGUGUCACAAAUUGACAAUUUUUUAAAGCUAUAAUGAAAUAAUGCUUUGUUUUGUAAAAUAUACAAAAUCCGUUUGUUGUUGUGUGCAACUAAUCCACAAACAUUUACAUAAUUCUCGUUAGUGUACUUUGCAAAGUGGUGCUGAAGUAAUUUGGGCAACAAAAGUACAUAUAACUAUAUUAAUAUUCUCUAAAUAAUCAUAUAUAAUGAAAUAAUGGUUUGUUUUGUAAAAUAUACAACCCAUACUGUAUUUUUGAUAAAAAAAAAUAAUGAUUUUAAGAGAUUUUGUCCGAAAUACCCUUAUAUACUCUUUUUUUUGGUAAAAAAUUAAUGAUGUAAUAGUUUUUGACUAAAAUGCCCGUAUAUACUAUUUAACAGGUUUGACCCCAUCUGAAUUAUGAUUCAGCUUAAAAUUGAAUGCCAUUUUGACAAUUUUAUUGCUUUUAAGACUAUUUACUGCUGAAAAUAUGUCAAAUUUGUUACAUUUUGCUGCUAUAAAUAGUCAAAAAAUAACUAAAAGUCUACAAAGAUUCAAGGUAACAGUAAAUAAUACUGGCAUUUCCAGCAGCAAAUCUUCAAUUGCAGGGACUAAACUUUGUCAUUUUUAGCAGAAAACUUUAUCAACCAACAAAAAGAGGUUAAUAAAGAAUCUAAAUGGCAUUCCAUUGUAACAGCAUCAAAACACGACCUGCACUCAAAACCCUCCAAAAUAGCCCCUACACUCAAUUGUAACAGCCCCUCUGUUGUGAUUCCUUUAACUGUGACCAAAUUGCCCCUCUAUUGUGAUUCCUUUAGAUUCAAGGUAACAUUGUUUUAAGUGAAAAGAUCAUUUCAUAACUUGUUUACAUAAAUUCUUUCUUAGCUUGUUUACAUAAAUUCUUUUUCUGUCAAUUCCUUUCAAGACAAAAAGAAAGAAAGCAGGAACUUAUAGCCAUGCAAGUAAUUUCAUUAUUUUUCUCAUUAACGAUUGUACUUCCUUUGCUCUUUCUUGCAUAAUAAUAAACAGAUUUAAAGAGGAGUGGAGCCAUAUGACCACCUGAUGCCCCCAAAUCAAUUUAUUUGAGCUAGAUUUGAACGAUUUACAAGGAGAAGAAGAAAAUCAAUUGUCAAGAGGAGAGGAGAUGUAUGACCACCCACCUGAUGCCCUAAAUCGAUUUAUAAUAUGUAUUUUUCAUUUAAUGCUGAGUAGAUGUGCAACACACUACCUAAAUAUGCCAACUAAUCAUUACUUUUGCCAACUCAGCCGUUCACCUGGAGAUCCGGUUACCACCGGGUCAUAUUUGAACAAAAGAUAAACUUCGUUGGUAUUUUUUGUACGACGCCUAUAGUUAAAUGGUAUUUUUGAACAACUAAAACUUCAAUGGUUUUUUUUGAAUGUUUUUGAAACUUUCUUACCCUUAUAAGUCAUUUUCUCGAUUAAAAUUGAACUUUUUUCAUACAUUACCUAACAUUGACUUGUCUUAAUUUGCAGGCAGAAAUACAAAAGGCUUUUCAUAUAUUUCUUAAACAAUUUUUUGUAAUAUACAAGAAUUGGGAGCCAUUAGAUUUAGAUAAUUCCAUAGAACCUUUCAUUGAUUCAAGGGAUCCUCUUUCUGAAAAAAAGAUUGCAGUGGCAUCAGAAGGCAGUCAUAUCAGUGAUGGAAGCUGGUGGUCUUAAUUGGUUAGUAGGUAAGGUAUGCAUCUUCAGAUUUAAUUUCUAUUGAGAACUAAACACAUUUGAAUAUCUGAGAACUAAACACACUUGAAUAUUUAUAAAUGAUGCACACAUCCAAAGGGAUAAUAGCAAUGUUUCUAAUGGCGUCAAAUAGACCUGAUUGUGACCACUAAUGGUUCAUCAGGUUUGUUGAUUUUUAUUUUAUUUUAUUUGAAGUGCAUUAUCUGGUUUAAUAUGAAAUGAUUCAUGUUGAAAUUGGUUUCUUUUGUUACUCCAUAAUACUUGAUAUCUUAUUUUUUGCAUGCAGGUGCUAACAAAUAUGGUGUCAUUAUCAUUGUUGUUGUUGUUGUUGGAUACGGAUAUGUUUGGUGGAAGGUAAAUAUAAGCUCAUAUAUUAAUAUUAUUACUUUUUACAGUUAACUUGUACAUAGUUUUUCUUCAACUAACAGAAAUGGUAUCAUUAACAGGGUUGGAAACUUCCUGAUAUGAUGUUUGCUACAAAAUGAAGUUUAUCUGAUGCCACAUAUGCUUUAGCUAAAUAGAUUGACACUGUUUACUCAUCACUUGCAGUAAGUUAUUUAAAAACUUUGUUAUUUUUUUGUUAUUAAUUUGGGUUGUUUAUUAUGUUGUUUAGGCUACCAAGAGACAUUUAUCUACAAGGAUUGACCGUGUUGAUAGUAGUUUAGAUGAGGUUGCAGAAAUUACUGCUGCUAAAAAAGAGGAGGUAUGACAAGAUAAAGGUUGUUCUAGAUGUUUAAUCUAUACAUAAUGCGGUUUACACCCUGGUGUGGUUCUUUUCCAUUUUGUCUUGUGACUUUGAUAUUGUUUUCUGAGUUGGAUAUGUGGUAUGAUAAAUUAUUUUUACAUGAGAGUAGGCUGAGUAGGGUUGAAUUGAAAUAGGUACUGAAUAUUACCGUUUGACAUGCGAUUUUUUCUAGCUUAAUGAGAUAUUUAUAACAAAUAAUUUUGAAUUUUUGUUGUCUUUUGUAGGGAAAUCCAUCAAGUUCAUCAAGGCCAGCUCUUGAAUUACCAUAGAGAGUAAACUUCUAAUCUUAUACAAAUACAAUGAUUUGCUAAAUUCAAGAAAUAACAAUGCACUUUUAUUUAUUACUUUUAUUAAAACAUCCUAGUUUAAUUUCUAGCUUAAUGAGACAUUUAUUACUUUUAGCAGAGAUCGAUAUAUAUAUGAGCUUUUUGCUUUCAAACAUUGUUGGGGAAGAAUGUUGAAACUUGCUCUUUGUGAAGGUAAUUUUUUUUCUUAAUGCAUUAUCCUCUAUAUUCUUGAUAUUUUUCCCACUUUUUAAAUCUUUUAUCAAAUUCUCACUUUUGGAUACAGUGCUUGAUGAGAGAAUGUGUGACCUAAAUCUUUUAUCAAAUUCUCACUUUUGGAGUUGGCCAUAAGAAAAUGUAGGCAAAGGGUAAUUUGUUAUAGUUCAGGUUGACAAGGUGCUGUAUUUUUCACAUAAUUGACAAGGAGCUGUUGUAUCUAUUCAGACUAGACUUAGAGCAAUGGUUGCAAGAGAUGAGUUCAGCAGAAAAAGAAACAAGGCUGCAACUAUAGUUAAGGUACUAUGGAUGAAUUAUGUUUGUAAAGUAUUUAAGAAAAUGAUUAUAAACAAGGGUGAAUUUGUACAAAUUAGUUAGCUACUUGCANUGAGUAUUUGAUAUCAAAACUUCUCAAGUUGCUUCUAUUUCCAUGCUAAGUUGGCUUUUAUUUAUCUUACUGUUUAUUAUCAUUUUUUAUAUAAAACUUCAUCAUUUAUAUUAUAUAUAAUACAUUAUAGACUUUGCAUCAUAAUUUGUUCAAUGUUACAGGAUACAAUUCAAAAUUCAAUUUCCUCAUGUUGUUGCUGAAAUGACAGCAAUUGGUUUUGGCCUACCAAAGAAUGCAUUCACCGCUCUAAUGAAGAAUGUAAGUGUUUAUUUUUCUUUUCUGUUUGGUGAAAAUCAUCAAAUGAAAAUCUCAUUAUAUAUCUUAGGAUCUUAUCAGUUAAUGAACUUGAUCGUGGGUAUGAUCAAGCAUAGAUUUACAUUUCUACCCCUGUUUUUAUCUUUUAUCUUUUGUGUCAUAUAAUUAUAUUUCCCUUUUUUUAUCAGGUUAAUUUGGUGGUUAAUUAUGAUCUUCCUAUAAGACAUGAUCAUCAAUCUCAACCUGACCAUGAAGUGUAGUUGCACUGAAUCGGAAGAGCAGGGUGAUUAUGGGAGAUGUUAAGUAGUUAUAGGGCUUUAGAUGCUUUCCCUUUGGGUAGGAAAUGUUUUUAAGACAUGAUCAUCAUUCUCUACCCCUGCUUUCCCUCUGGUGUUUAUCUCCCAUAAAACCCUAAAAUGUGGAUGUGCUAAAACUGAAGAAAUUAGAAGACACAUACUGGAUUUUAGCAAGUCGGGUAAGUUUAAAAAUAUCUUAAUACGAUAUUGAUUAGAUUACACAACAUGUAAUGUAGAAAAUAUCAUGAAUAUUUAUGAUCAAUAUUCAACUUUUGAAAAUGUAUCCAGUUUGAUGUUUAUCUAUUUGACAUUUUUUUGAUAGAAAAUGAGAAUACCGGAGAAGAUGAACCACAAAUUUACAUUGAAAUGAUCAAUGGAAUUAUCAAAUCCCUUCAGGUAUCAUCUCAUAUCACUUGCUUAUGAAAUUUAUUCAUCUAUACUUGAAAAGAUAUAUUUAUUUUUGUGUUGUUUCCAGGCUAUCCUUGAUGCAGUUCUCAGCACAACAAUUAUGAUUUUAUGAUGUUAGGCUAAACUAUAAAGCAAUCAUUCUUUGUUUUAGGAAACGUUUCAGAGCUUCUUUAGGCAGCUUAAUGAUGAGUUAUUGAAACAAAAUGGUGCCCCUUUAUAGCAAUGUAGUAUUAGGUUAUAUAGAUAGGAAAAACCUCUUAAUAACAACGUACAAUUAGAUCCCCUUAAUAUCAAUGUAUUACAAUUUUAUGACAUGAUGUUAUUGAAUGAAAUUGAUUGUGUAAUGGAUUGUAUUUUUUGUAUAUGGUAUUUUAUUUUCUAUUAUGAGACAUGAAAUGCAAAUUUAAUUUGAAAAUUAGUAAAUCUAUAAAUAAUUUUUAAAAAAAAUAAAAUAAAAAUUAUGAUACGCAAAAAUGUGUGUCAUCUUCAUUUAUGACAUGGCCUUUCUUGACAGUGGCUUUAAUGAUACGCAUUGCGUGUCAUAAAUACGUGUCGUCUAUAGACGACGCGCAAAAGCGCGUCGUCUCUCGUUAUGACAGGGCCUUCCUUGACGCGCAUGCGCGUCGUCUGACCGUUUUACGACUCGCAAUGAGCGUCGUAAAAGGCAUUUUUUCUAGUAGUGUUUGAGACAAGAAAUCAGAACCAAUGUACCUUCCGAGCUCGCUACUUGGCGCGUUAGACCGAGCUCGUUUGGAAUUUUCAUUCCUCAAAGUAUUAUAAAGCCUAAUUGUUUCGUUAUUUUAGUGAAAAGUGGAUCCGGGUGCCCCCAUAUUUUGCAUCACGUCAUGAAUGUUUGUUGAACCAUAUUUUGUUAAAUAAACUUCAAAUAAAUUUUGAAAAACUUUGUUAAAUUUUGAAACUUCCUUUGAUGCAUAAUCAAUGUCAUCAUCCAAUAAACCCAAAUCGUAACAAAUAUUUUCAAUUAAAGUCUCAACCCCCCCAACAUUUAGAGUUGGAUUCAAAGUGGCGGAACAAGUAAUAAUGGGAGCCAUUUCUUGAAAAUAUUUUUUUAACUUUGCUUUCAUCGGUUUCAUCAUAUUAGCAAACAUUGUGCUCCUCAUUUCAAACUCAUUUAUUUUCGCACACAUUAAAAAAAUUUGGUUUAAAACUAAACAACUUGUAGGAUAAUAAACCCCCGAUAAAAAAGUGGUUGUUUUUUUUUUAAAAAAACAUCAAGCAUGUCUGUAACAAGUUUGAUAGUAUCCCAACUUGAUUCCGGAUAAGCCGUAACCUUAUUACGGUCCGAAGGUUGUCAUGUAACAUUUUUAAAGUAUGUUUUUGACGUAAGGCACAUUCAAAAAUUUUGCAAGUGGAGUCCCAUCGGGUAUUAUUUUCCCAAUUCAGACCUAAAAAGAGGGCAUUCGCAUCGACACAAAAUUGCAUAUAAUUAUGAUAUCGAGCGUUACUAGAACUAAAAAUAUCUUUUAGCAUGUCUUUGAAACCAUCUUUUAUAGUUUCAAUGUGAGUUAGUCCAUCUUGCACAACCAAAUUAAUCAUAUGUGCAACACAUCGACUAUGAAAAAUAAACACCAUCACAAAUUGGUUUAUAUUUUAGUUUUAGUUGUCCAACCGCGACGGUGUUGUUUGAAGCAUUAUCAAAAGAUAUAGAAAAAAUCUUUCCUUCAAGUUUAUAAGUUUUGAUCACACAAUCUAAAAUUUUAAAUAAAUUUCUAUCGGUGUGCGGGUACUCAAACAAUUCAAACGUAAUCGUAUGCUUUAUCAUUACCCAAUUAGUUGGAUUAAUCCAAUGAGCGGUAACACAAAGGUACGCAUCCGGUGAACCGUCAGGAGCCGUCCAAACAUCACAAGUUAAAUUCACACCGGUUUCUAAAGAUUGAAAUCCUAAAAUCAAUUCAUUUUUUGCAAGUUUCCACAUUUCAAUACAAUCGCGUCUAAUAGAAGUACGACUCACAUGGCAAUAUCGUGGUUGGAGAGUAUCUUGGAUGAGUGAAGUCAAUCGUUUGUUGUCGAAGUGGUCAAAAGGCAAGCAUUCUUGAAUCACGAACUUCGUCAUCCUAUCCCGAACUUUAGCCAUAUCGUAACUCCACAAUGUUGCAUCAUUCGUCAUUCUUGUUUGAAUAUGUCCCGACCCAAAUUUCACCGUGGGGCAUCUUUUGGUCAUAUGAUUUUUCAAUGUCGAAUUCUCAUCUUCAUUAAAAAAAGCACCACAUUUCUUGCAUUGCGCUUUUUUAUACCGUUCGACAUUACACACAAAUCGUAGUUGCACAAAAUAGCCGGAUUUCUAUUUGUUUCUUUGAUGCUAACAACGGUAAGAGUGUUUGAUGAAUCUCGAACACCAACGGAAGCCGAAUCCAUUGUUUGAAUUAAGAGUGGUUUUUGAACUAAGAGAGGUUUGCGGUUUUUGAACUAAGAGAGGUUUUUUGAGGUUUGGUUAAGGUAAAGUUGAGACCUAAAAAUGUAAUACAUAUAUAUAUACUAUAAGGAAUAGUUAAUAUGGUAAAAAAGAAGCAAAAAUCGAGUCUUGAACAGCCUCAAACGACUAUAUAGCCGUUAGGAAAAGACAAAAAAACGGUAACAUUACAAAAACCGGUUCACCAACGGCACUUUCGAAAUCUGGUUCAAAACUGGUUCAUCACACCUGUUCAGAAUAAACCAGUUCCAAACCGGUCUCCAGGGUAAAACAUGCGAACUGGUAACAUCCGAUGGUUCGGUUCACUAUGGGUUCGGUUCUUAUGUGAACCGGUUCAAGGCUAAACCGGUUUCCGGUUCACCAACCGGUUCGGUUCCUAAACCAGUUUUUUUGCCCACGCCUACCACUAGCUAGUCUAGGUGGGCUUUUAGUACGGGGGUUUUCAUGAGGAAUAGGUUGAAAGGAGUGUUGGCAUCUCACUGCCGUCAUCUGUUACCAUUUCAUAAGGAGUGGUAGCAUUCCUAGCACAUUAGAUUUUUUUUUUUUGAUUUUUUUUUUUGAACUUAAAUAAAUUAUAUUUUUAUAAAACACAAACAAUUCAAUAUUAAUCAAGAAACUAACUACAUUUUAUAGAUAAAUUUACCUUAUUUAAACAAGGAUUAAUAGAAAGGUCAAAUAAAAUUUAAAUGGUUAACGACAUGCUUAAAAUUUUACAAAUAUAUUGAUUUUGUAACGACACAAUUUUCUACUCUAUCAAGGUAAAGAAACAUUUAUGUUAAUAAUAAAGUGACACUUUAAUAUAUAUCUUCAAAUAAUUAUUAAAAAUAAAUAAUACUAUAAAAAAUUACCAAUACUAUCUAGAAACAAAAACCACUCACAGCACGGAAUUUACAAAACAACCAUCCAACUUCCUUAUUUUUUUGAAAGAGCUUUUACGAUCUCCAUUUCCAUUUCCUUUUUUUCUUAAAAUUACAUCUUACAUCUUCCAAUUUGCUAUUAUCAUUUCUUAAGUUUGUGAAAGUAGACUAUUCCACAAAACUACUCCUCCAAUUGUGUGAAACACGAAGCAAAAGCGAGACCUUUGAGCUUUUUCUUAAAAAAUAAUCCUUGUUUGAGAUGGAGACCACACCAUUGAUGGGAGAAAUGAAGGUUCUAGAGAACGAUUGUAAGAGGAAGAUUAUUGUAUCCACAGGCCAAUAUCCAACAAAUCUCUUUCUCUUUCUUCUCGCUAUGGUGUUGACGAGCCAUGGCUGGCGACUUCCUUGGCGCAAGCCAGGGGGCGGCCUUCAGCGCCCUUGGCGACCGGUGGCGACCUCCAUAGCGAGGCCCACUCCCUAAAGCCUUAUAACACACCAUUUAUUGACCAAGUUUACCCAACAAUGCAUCCCAAUUCAUUAGAUUUGUCUUAUCAUUAUACUUUUUAUACAAUUUCAUCAUUUUUCUAUAAUAUAUUAAAACUCUAUGAAAAUUCAAAAGAAUAUACUUUUGAAUUUUCAUAGAAUUUUAUUAUAUUAUAGAAAUAUGGUGAGAAUCCUAGAUGCUUUUAUCUCUCUUUCAGACUUAAAAGCCAGUAUGCGUUCAAUAAGUACGUGGCCAACUCCGGACCUAGCUUUUGCGAACGUGGGACGUUCACUUCGGAUAGCCUCGAAAUGAGUACCUCUUACUUUAAAAAUUUAUAACUUUGGCAUACGAGCUCCGUUUUCGACAUUCACUUUCAUUUAGACUCUGUUUGCUAAUUUUGAUUUUUAUUUUUAAAUUUAUAUUUUUUAACAGGCCGGGACUGGAAAAGCCCGUUAAAAAUUCAUAACUUCUUCAUCCGACGUUCGUUUUCGUAUGACUUUUUACCAUUAAACUACUAUCGACGAGAUUUUUGAUUCUCAUUUACAUUGUGUUGGAUAAAAAUCGCUCGAUCUAUACUUCGAACUACGGGCUGCACAAUGUUAUGCCAAAUCUUAGAAAAUUCAUAACUUCCUCAUACGAAGCUAGAUUUGGAUUUCUUUUUUAUGCACGCUCUUGGUUUAACGUAUACUACGAUUUUCAUUUAGAUUGCUAAGGCUAAAAAACACUUUAUCGUAAACUCACUUUUCACGUCACACAAUGUCAUGUCAGUUUUGUCGCGAAACUUCGAUAUGUCAUAAAUUCUUCGUGAUCAGGGCCGAUCUUGAAAAAUGAAAUAUUCUUGGAGCCCCAGGACGAGCAAGAAAAAAAUGGCCCUUAUCUUUAUUAUAAUUUUGUAAUUUUAAAUAAAAAUAUAUAAUGAAAAAAAUUAGGCCAUGUGCAGCUGCCCACUUUGCCUCCUUCUAAGCCCCCAUUGUUCAUGAUAACUCGGAUUUCAGCGUUCUUUAUAUUUCUGGAGUCCUUGUCACGACCACUACAACUUUCUUCAUAGAUAUCGGGUUUAUAUAACAUUUUAUUUUUGACGCUUAUUUUUAUUCUUAAUUAAUUAUAUCAUUAUAAACAAGUAUAUAAUCACAUAAAAUCACGUAAUUCACAUAAUACUCAAGUAAUUCAUCUUUAUUACAUUAAAAUAGGUUACAAUGGUUGACCUUGACUAUUACAUCAUCAUACUAAUGUGAAACAACCUAAAAUACGACCCAAUUUUUUUUUUGUUAAAAUAAUACUAAAGAUAUCAACCAUCAUAAUAUAUCAUGAAAUCGUACGUCAUAAAUCCCCAAAAAGUUAUAAUAGAUAUGUCAUGACAAAAGAGUUGUAUCAACAUACCAUAGUAUCUAAAAUAAACUCCCAGGACAAAAGUUGAAACUGUGGUGUGUGCAAUGUCAUCAUCCUGAGCUCUUUCCUUUGCUUGCGGAAAUACCUGAAACCAAAACUGAAACUGUAAGCACAAAGCUUAAUGAGCUCCCCCAAACUACCACAUACCAUACAAUAGCAUAUACAACACAUACUAGGCCUUGCCCACUGCAUCGGACCGAAGUCCGGAAAUUGCAUCGGACCGAAGUCCAGAACUAACCAAGGCCUUGCCCUCUGCAUCGGACCGAAGUCCGGAACUACAUCAGACCGAAGUCCGGAAACUAACCAGGGCCUUGCCCUCUGCAUCGGACCGAAGUCCGGAACUAACUGCAUCGGACUGAAGUCCGGAACUGACUGCAUCGGACCGAAGUCCGAAAUUGUCUGAACAUAACAUAUCAUAAACAUCUCAACCAGUAUGAACACAUAAACUGCAUAUCGCAUCAGACCGAAGUACGAAACACAUAACACAAAUACAUGCUUGAAUCACAAAGACAUCAAGCAUUCUAAGUACUGCAACGGACGGAGGUCCGAAACUUCUGCUAACUAAACCGACCGGCAUUGUAGCCGUAGACCCGUUCCUACUGGAAGGAAAACUCACCUCGUAAUGCUGGCUGCUGAGAUGCUAACUCUAAAAGUGACUGACCGCUGCUUCGGAACUGUCCGACUACAAAUCCCAGAAACACUAGAUUAGUUACUUGCAUAUACCCUCAGGGUAAGAUGACUAUUUUGCCCCUGGUCAAAGUCAACUUCUAGUUGACCGGACUCGCCGACUAUGGGCGCAGAACCGCCGAGUCCCUCCUUUACUAACUCUGACUUUAACUCACCGAGUCCCUUUCCCACUCACUGACUCUCUCUGAACUCGUAGGUCGAAGAAAAAAGGGGACUCACGACUCGACUCGUCGAGUCUGAAGAACAACUCGCCGAGUCCUGCCGUGCAUAUUCCAAACAAACGAAUUCAAAACUAUUCCAGAGCAUCUGACUUGAAGAUCUGAGCCCUUGGAACUAUCUAAACACGUGAAGUUUCUAACUUUACGUGCAACUAAGAAGGAAUGAAGCUAUUUCACUCAAACACUACUUUUCUUGGGAAAACUCAUCCGACUCGCCGAGUUGUAUGAACAACUCGUCGAGUCUAAGGUGAUCUUCAUCGGACUCGCAGAGUUGCUCAUCAAACUCGUCGAGUCUACGACUAUCUUCAUAUGACUCGCCAAGUCACACAUGCGACUCGCCAAGUCCAUUCAGUCCCUUUUUCCAUACAGACCUGAUUUGGGCCAUGCAGUGGCUCCAAAUCACAGAUCCAAGAUUCUAGGGCAUGCUUAUCACGUAAAUUUGCAAACUUUACGUGCAUGCAUGGCUUUAAAGGCUUCAAAUGCCAACCCUAAGCUCUUAAUGGGGUUCCAAGCUCAAGAGGGACCUCAAUCACGACCAUAACCGAAACUUUACUCUUCUAGAAUGCAAUGAGAGUCUAGAUCUGAUGUUUCCAUAAAAGGGGAAGUCCAUCUCUCAAGUUUGAACCAUAAGAGGCUCCAAAGAGGGCAUAACAAGCAUAUAUGAGGUUAUAAUGGGGGAAUGCACAAGGUCAUAACUUCAUUACCUGAAUGAAAAACAGAUGUAAGCUAACUCCUAGAUUUUCCUUCCCUUCUAUGGACCUUCCUUCCUUCCCAAAGCUUCCAAGCUAUCACAAAUACCCUCAAACUCAACAAUGGGGCUAGGGUUUACAAGGGAAAUGUUAUGAGAGUGAUAGAGGCGAGGUUGGGGGCGCAUAAGUGUGUUUAAAUAGGGUGAAAACCCUUAAAAUUAGGGCUUCAUCCAGACAGGCGGACUCGCCGAGUCCAACGUAUGGACUAGUCGAGUAGCCAUCUCAAAACGCGUGAUCGUCCCGUCUCUACUUGACGAGUCAGGCUACAGACUCGUCGAGUACCCCUUCAGAAAUGAAAAUACUUUAUUUGAAUUACAUACCAGAAAUGGGGCGUUACAACUCUCCCCCACUUAUCUUAGACUUUGUCCUCGUAGUCUGCUGCUGCUGCUGAAAAUAACUCUGGGUAAUGCUCCCUCAUCUCCUACUCGGACUCCCACGUCCACUCUGAACCCUUUCGGUGCUGCCACAACACCUUCACUAGCUGAACCACCUUGUUCCUCAAGGUCUUCGUCUUCCAAUCUAUGAUCGCAACUGGUCUCUCGAUAUAAUUCAGGCUGCUAUCAACCUGAAUAUCCUCCAAGGGUACAACUGCUGACUUGUCCACCAAACACUUUCGCAACUGGGAAACAUAGAAAGUGUUGUGGAUCUGGCUAAGCUCUACCGGAAGAUCCAACCGAUAAGCAACCCGACCCACCCGGACCAAAACCCUAAAAGGGCCAAUGAACCUGGGACCCAGCUUGCCUCUCUUCCGAAACUUGAUAACACCCUUCCAAGGUGAUACCUUCAGGAGGACCAUAUCGCCCACCUGAAACUCCAAGUCCGAACGCCUCUUGUCGGUGUAACUCUUCUGCCUACUCUGUGCAGUCUGCAGUCUACUACGAACCUGCUGGAUCAACUCUGUGGUCUUGAGCACCAUUUCAGUGCUCCCAAUGACUCACUGACCAACCUCGCCCCAACAAAUCGGAGUCCUGCACUUCCUUCCGUAUAGCAUCUCGAAAGGAGGACGUUUAAUACUAGUGUGGUAACUAUUGUUAUACGGAAAUUCCGCUAGUGGGAGAUACGUAUCCCAACUACCACCGAAGUCUAGAACACAUGCCCGGAGUAUGUCCUCGAGAGUCUGAAUUGUCCUCUCACUCUGCCCGUCCGUCUGGGGGUGGAAGGCGGUGCUAAAAUGAAGACGAGUCCCCAUCUCGUCAUGAAACUGCUUCCAAAAUCUGGAAGUAAAACGGACGUCUCGGUCUGACACUACCGAAACAGGCACUCCGUGCUGUGCUACUACCUCGCGUACAUAGAUGUGGGCUAGCUUCUUAGCCGAUAUGCUCUCCUAGAUCGGUAUAAAAUGUGCGCUCUUGGUCAGCCGAUCCAUUAUGACCCAAAUCGAAUCCACUCCCCGUGCGGUCCUGGGAAGCUUGGUGACAAAAUCCAUGGUAAUGUCCUCCCAUUUCCAUAUGGGAAUAUCUAACGGCAGCAUCUUGCCGUGGGGUCUCUGGUGCUCUGCCUUGACCUUCCUGCAGGUCAGGCAUCUCCCCACAUUCCAGGCGACAUCCUGCUUCAUGCAGGGCCACCAAUAGUCGGGUCGAAGAUCUCUGUAGAUCUUCGUUGCCCCUGGGUGGAUGGAAAAUCAAGAAUUAUGAGCCUCGUCCAUCAAUACCUGCCAUACUCCGCCCCAGUACAGUACCCAAACCCUCCCAUGGAGGGUCAACAAUCGUUAACUGUCAUAAUCAAAGGAAGCUACUCGGUCCACGAUUCUCUCACACUUCUGCCUCUCCUCCUUGAGGCCCUCGACGUGUGCCUCCCUGAUCUGCUCCAACAAGGGAGUAAUCACUGUCAUCCUCAAGCAUACAUCCCUGAUCGGGGCCGCUGCCGUCUUGUGGCUCAGGGCGUCGGCCACUACGUUGGCCUUCCCCGGGUGAUAAAGGAUCUCACAGUCGUAAUCCUUCACCACAUCUAACCACCGACGCUGCCGCAUGUUAAGAUUCGGCUGGUCCAUGAGGUACUUCAGACUCUUGUGAUCCGUGUAGAUGGUGCAACGGACCCCAUAGAGGUAGUGUCUCCAAAUCUUGAGGGCGAACACCACUGCCCCCAACUCCAAAUCAUGCAUCGGAUAGUUAGCCUCGUGAGACUUCAACUGUCUGGAGGCAUAAGCUAUCACAUGCCCCCGUUGCAUCAACACUGCCCCCAUAUCUGCGAUCGAGGCAUCACAGUAGACUACAAAAUCAUCCACUCUCUCCGGCAAGGUCAGAAUCGGUGCCUCGCACAAUCGCUGUCUGAGAGUCUCGAAAGUCGCCUGCUGCUCAGGCCCCUAACGAAACACCACCGACUUCUUGGUUAGUCGGGUGAGUGGAACUGCUAUCUUGGAGAAAUACUGAAUGAAUCUCCUGUAGUACCCUGCCAAACCUAGGAAGCUCUGAAUCUAUGAUGGAGACUUUGGGACCUCCCACUGCAUCAUGGCCUCUAUCUUGGCCGGAUCUACCAGUAUACCCUUCUGGUUGAUGAGGUGCCUAAGGAAUUGCACCUCGCGCAACUAGAACUCGCACUUGGAGAACUUUGCUAAAAGUUUCUCCCUCCUCAAGACCUCUAGCACCUCCCUUAGGUGCUCCUCGUGCUGCUCCUGAGUCUUGGAAUAAACCAAGAUGUCAUCGAUGAAUACAAUCACAGACCGGUCCAACAUCGGCAUGCACACGCGGUUCAUGAGUUCCAUGAACGCGGAUGGAGCGUUGGUGAGCCCAAACGACAUCACCACAAACUCAUAAUGACCAUAACGGGUCCUAAAAGUUGUCUUCUGAACAUCCUCACCCCUGACCCGCAUCUGAUGAUAACCGGAGCGCAAAUCAAUCUUGGAAAACCAAGACGCUCCUUGAAGCUAAUCGAACAAGGCAUCUAUCCUCGGAAGUGGGUAACGGUUAUUCACCGUUACCUUGUUCAACUCCCAGUAGUCUAUGCACAUACGGUGCGACCCAUCCUUCUUCUUCACAAACAAGAUUGGGGCUCCCCAUGGAGAACUAAUUAGUCUAAUGAAACCCUUGUCUAGCAGCUCCUGCAGCUGCGUAUACAACUCCUGCAUUUCUGGAGGAGCCAACCGAUACGGCGCCUUGGCUAUCGGAGCCGCACCAGGAACCAAGUCAAUCUUGAACUCAACCUGUCUCUCUGAAGGUAUCCCAGGUAAUUCCUCUGGGAAUGAGUCCGGGUACUCUCGCACCACUGCUACAUCAUCUACUGUCAUCGUACUCUUAUCCCGGGUAUCCAUCACAUAUGUGACAUAACCUGCUUAACCCUGUUGGAAGUAGCGCCUCACUCUCACUGCUGAACAAAGAAUCGGUCCGCGUUGUGGGCUCUCGCCCUGAAUCACUAACUCUCCCCCGUUGGGAGUGCGAACCCUCACUAGCUGCAAUUCGCAAUCAAUCAUCGCCCCAUUGGGGCUCAACCAAUCCAUGCUUACUAUGGCCUUGUUCCCUCGCAAAGGAAUAGGGACCAUGUCCACCGAAAACUGCUCAUCGAAUAACUGCAGUGAGCAUGCCUUAUGCACCCUCGUGACCCUGACGGUCCUAUCAUCGGCUAUCUCCACCUCGAGUGGACAAUCCAGCUCCCUAGGAUCUCUGCUAAACCUCUUGCUAAGUGCAAGAGAGACAAACGAUCGGGUAGCCCCUGAAUCAAAUGACACUGUAGCUGAAAUGUCGUUCACUAAGAACGACCCUAUACAUAAACAUAUAACAUUAGAAACAAUCAAUAAUCAAUGCAUAGAUAAAAGGAAAAUACAUACCCGUCACCACGUCAGGAGUCGCUCGCGCCUCCUCUGCUGUUAUCUGAAAAGCUCUACUCUUCGCCACUGGCACCUCGGCCCGCCCCUGACGACCGUUCGUAAUCCUCAAUGUAGCAGGGGCAGGUGCCGACACCUUCCCUGCUGCUGCUAAGCUUGGGCACUGGGACUUUUUAUGUCCCCUCUGAUUGCAAUGGAAGCAAAUCAGAUCUGAUGCUGCGGUAGCUGUGGUAGAAACUGUACAAUCUCUGCUCAUAUGCCUAGUCCAACCGUACUUGUAGCAGCCGGAACUCCCUGCCUUGCACGCCCCAUCGUGUAAUCUCCCACACUUGCCACACCGACUGUGGCUCUGCUGACCUCUGGACCUAUGAUCCGAAACCUUGGGCUUCUUGCCCAAACUCCCUGUACCCGAAGCCGCCUCCGCCUUCCUCUUAUUCUCCAUCUCAAGAUCAAUCUCUCUCUCUCUCUCUCUCUCUCUCGCCCUUGCAAUCAUAUCAUCCAGCAUCUUACAGCUGGAUCGGCUCACAAACUGGCGGAUAUCACUCCGCAGCGUCUCAUGAUAACGGGCCUUCUUCAUUUCCUCGUCAGCUGCGUACUGAGGAACAAGAAGAGCCCUCUCCCUGAACUUGGCGGUAAUCUCCGCCACUGUCUCUAUAGUCUGAGUAAGGUCUUGAAACUCUCUAGCUAACUGUUGCACCUCAAUAGUCGGUGCGAACUCGGCUCUGAACCUGGUGGUAAAAUCAGCCUAAGUCAUAGUAUCAAGUGCUAUGUCAUCCCUGAUACCAUGCCCAACCUCCUCCCACCAGUCACAUGCCCUAUCCUUCAGGAGACAGGAUGCUAAUCUGACCUUGUCCCCUUCGGGACAUCUGCUAGUGCGGAACACGUUGGCAACAUCUGCCAACCACCUAGUGCUCGCAAUGAGGUCCCGCACCCCAUGAUAGCCUGGAGCUCCACAAGCCCGAAACUCCCUGAAGGUGAGUGUGCGCGACCCCAUCAUGGCCGCCAUCUCAGCACGAAAUGUGCUCAACUUCUCAUCCAUCAACUCCAAGAUACCCUCCUUGAUCGAACCGAAGAUCACAGGACUCUGCUCAAGUAUGAUACGGGUAACCUCUGAAGUGAAAAACUCCCUAGUUUGCUCAUCCAACUGCUCGGCCCCCCAGCCUGAUCCUGAUCCUUCCUCGGCACCUGAGCUGCCGACUGCUGGCCUAGGGCGUAAAACCACCAUUCUGAAAACACAUCAUGAUAAACGUCAAAAACACUGAUAUAUCUCUAGGGAUCGCUACUACUAUAGGUUUCCUGGUCUCGCCUCUGCCUUCCUUGAUUCAAGUACAAAUCCUCAACAAAAACCAGUCCUCAACUGCUGAAGGCCUCCUUGUAAUGCCAAUUAGUCAUCACCUGAAUAUCAUCACAUGUGACGAGACUCAGAUAAUCCUUCGAGUAAAAGACUCAUUCCUACAACGGAUGGACUCAAACAAGAGCUGCGCAGUAGAGCCAAAUCCAGCACUCUGAGAUUAUUCAACCCUGAUCUCAGGCGAUGUGUCGUAUUCACCUAAUGGUUAACUCUCAUUACCCGGAGUCUCAUAAAGCACAAAGCAAGCAGCAUUCGGACACAGGAAACUAAUCAAGCCACUCUAUUCUCAUAACAAGAAAUUGUACUAGCAUACAAUGUUAAGCUCGUACUGUCAGGCAUAACCUAAACAGGCUAUCCUACUGCUGUCUACUCAAUACUAGCAUGCAGUUCUCAUAAAGCUGAAGCACAUAUAGCAUGCACAUAAGGCAUCCUGCUAGAUCCUUAGUCCUAUUCUAGCAUGCUGUUCUACUGAAACUAAAACUGAUAAUCAUAACAUAAACUUGUAUGGGUAAUUUAGGGGUACUUACUUGAGCUCGACUGAUCGCAUGCACCACACCCUUUUCUCGUUUUCAAAACUCUUUUCUUUUUAAGUCUCUUUCUCAAAAGUUCUUUUGAACACAUUUUUCUUUCGAAAAUCUUUUUUCUAUUUCCUCAGUUUGAGUUCAGUUACACCCGUAAGUGUGUCUGAAUCCCUCAAACCAAGGCUCAGAUACCAACUUGAAAUAACCCAAAAUACAACCCAAUUUUUUUUUGUUAAAAAAAUACUAAAGAUAUCAACCAUCAUAAUAUAUCAUGAAAUCGUACGUCAUAAAUCCCCAAAAAGUUAUAAUAGAUGUGUCAUGACAAAAGAGUUGUAUCAACAUAACAUAGUAUCUAAAAUAAACUCCCAUGACAAAAGCUGAAACUGUGGUGUGUGCAAUGCCGUCAUCCCGAGCUCUUCCCUUUGCUUGCGGAAGUACCUGAAACCAAAACUGAAACUGUAAGCACAAAGCUUAGUGAGCUCCCCCAAACUACCACAUACCAUACAAUCAUAUAAAACACAUAUUGGGCCUUGCCCACUGCAUCGGACCGAAGUCUAGAAAAUGCAUCGGACCGAAGUCCGGAACUAACCAGGGCCUUGCCCUCUGCAUCGGACCAAAGUCCAGAACUGCAUCGGACCGAAGUCUGGAAACUAACCAGGGCCUCGCCCUCUGCAUCGGACCGAAGUUCGGAACUAACUGCAUCCAACCGAAGUCCGGAAUUGUCUGAACAUAACAUAUCAUAAACAUCUCAACUAGCAUGAACACAUAAACUGCAUACCGCAUCGGACCGAAGUCCGAAACACAUAACACAAAUACAUGCUUGAAUCACAAAGACAUCAAGCAUUCUAACUACUGCAACGGACAGAGGUCCGGAACUUCUGCUAACUAAACGGGCCGGCAUUGUGGCCGUAGACCCGUUCCUACUGGAAGGAAAACUCACCUCGUAAUGUUGGCUGCUGAGAUGCAAACUCUAAAAGUGGCUGACCGCUGCUCCGGAACUGUCCGACUACAAAUCCCAGAAACACUAGAUUAGUUACUUGCAUAUACCCUCAGGGUAAGAUGACUAUUUUGCCCCCGGUCAAAGUCAACUUCUAGUUGACCGGACUCACCGAGUCAGGGCGCAGACUCGCCGAGUCCCUCCUUUACUAACUCUGACUUUAAUUCACAGAGUCCCUUUCCCACUCACUGACUCUCUCUGAACUCGUAGGUCGAAGAAAAAAGGGGACUCACGACUCGACUCGUCGAGUCUGAAGAACAACUCGCCGAGUCCUGCCGUGCAUAUUCCAAACAAACGAAUUCAAAACUAUUCCAGAGCAUCUGACUUGAAGAUCUGAGCCCUUGGAACUAUCUAAACACGUGAAGUUUCUAACUUUACGUGCAACUAAGAAGGAAUGAAGCUAUUUCACUCAAACACUACUUUUCUUGGGAAAACUCAUCCGACUCGCCGAGUUGUAUGAACAACUCGUCGAGUCUAAGGCGAUCUUCAUCAGACUCGCCGAGUUGCUCAUCCAACUCGUCAAGUCUACGGCUAUCUUCAUAUGACUCUCUGAGUCACGCAUGCGACUCGCCGAGUCCAUUUAGUCCCUUUUUCCAUACAGACCUGAUUUGGGCCAUGCAUUGGCUCCAAAUCACAGAUCUAAGCUUCUAGGGCAUUCUUAUCACGUAAAUUUGCAAACUUUACGUGCAUGCAUGGCUUUAAAGGCUUCAAAUGCUAACCCUAAGCUCUUAAUGGGGCUCCAAGCUCAAGAGAGACCUCAAUCAUGACCAUAACAGAAACUUUACUCUUCUAGAAUGCAAUAAGAGUCCAGAUCUAAUGUUUCCAUAAAAAGGGGAAGUCCAUCUCUCAAGUUUGAACCAUAAGAGGCUCCAAAGAGGGCAUAACAAGCAUAAAGGAGGUUAUAAUGGGGGAAUGCACAAGUUCAUAACUUCAUUACCUGAAUGAAAAAUAGAUGUAAGCUAACUCCUGGAUCUUCCUUCCCUUUUAUGGACCUUCCUUCCUUCCCAAUGCUUCCAUGCUAUCACAAAUACCCUCAAACUCAACAAUGGGGCUAGGGUUUACAGGGGAAAUGUUCUGAGAGUGAUAGAGGCGAGGUUGGGGGCGCAUAAGUGUGUUUAAAUAGGGUGCAAACCCUUAAAAUUAGGGCUUCAUCCAGACAGGCGGACUUGCCGAGUCCAGCGUAUGGACUCGUCGAGUAGCCAGCUCAAAACGUGUGAUUGUCUCGUCUCUACUCGACGAUUCGGGCUACAGACUCAUCGAGUACCCCUUAAUAAAUGAAAAUACUUUAUUUGAAUUACAUACCAAAAAUGGGGCAUUACAUAAUGCUUAGCCCAGAAACACGGACGUUACACUUCUCUCCUCCUUAGGAUGAUGCCAUCCCCAGAAUCAUACAUCAACAAACUAAUGCGGAUAGCGACUCAUCAUGUCACUCUCCAUUUCCUAGGUGAGAUUUGACUCAUUCGUAUGUUUCCGUCGCACAAGUAGUAAGUCAACCAUCUUGUGACGCAACUUCUUCGUCUUAUGGUCAACAAUCGCCUCCGGUUCUUCAACUAGCCUCUUAUUUUCAUCCAUCCUUAGCUCAUAAAUUAGAAUUAUGUCAGGAACUUCUCCCAUGAAUUUCCUCAAAUAACUCACAUGGAAAGUGUUAUGAAUAAUGUCUAGUUCUUCUGGUAGUUCUAGCUUGUAGGCUUGGUUCCCAAUCCUCUGAAGAACUUUGAACGGUCCAAUGAAUCUUGGACUUAACUUCCCUUUUUCCCGAAUCUUAUAAGUUCCUUGUAGCACCUGGUUCCUGGUAUGUAAUUUAUUUAAAUAUUUUGCAUUUUUGGCCUUGGACUCGGCAAGUUGAAGGACCAACUUGCCGAGUAGAAGCGGGAUGGGACGUGGGAUUUAAGUGAUGGACACGUCGAGUCGGGUCCCGGACUCGACGAGUAGGCUCUGACUGAAAAACCCUAAUCCGAGGGUUUGCACCCUAUUUAAUCAUCUCAUUUUCCCCUAAUGCUCCCAGAAACCCUCCCUAGUAAACCCUAAGUGUUUUGGUGCAAGAUCUAAGGCUUUUGAGUGAUUUUUGUGGGUUUUGACCUCAAGGAAUAAGGAAGAGCAUAGAAGGAUCAAGAGGAGACUGAAGGAUUAGAGUUUGGUGCAUCAUUUUCAGUCCUUGAAAGGUAUAAAUUAUGUACCUUGCUUGUUCAUUUGUUAGAUCCUUUUUUGGGGAAGAUUUAGGGCUUCUUAAGUCAUAUGAGGUGGCCAAACAUGGUUGGGGGUCAAGACUUCGGAUCUAAGUCUUGGAAGGAGUCCCAAAGCAGAUUUGGGUUGCUUUUGCACCCAAGGAAGGUCCCAUGCAACAUAAGAGCCAUUUUAGAGCCUUUUUGGGUCAAAAGUCCCAUGCAUGCACGUAAAGUUCGAAACUUUACGUUCUAGAUCGAGCUUAGGGCUUGGAUCUAUCUUUUUGUCAAAGGUUGUACAUCAGAAAUCGAGGAUUUAGGGUGUGGAUGUUAUCGAAUCGGCGAGUCAGUUCUUGGGACACGACGAGUCCAAAGCAUAGGGUCUGUUAUCUGUUGAGGGUCAAAAGAACCCAGUUGGGUGUUAGAAGGGUUGUAGAAGGUCCGAGAGAGUGACCCAACGUGUUGGACUUAGCCUUAGACUUGGAAUUCAUGGGACUCGUCGAGUGCUAGAACAGACUCGGCGAGUCCAAGGCAAUCUCCUUAUCGAUGAAGAUGAACUCGACGAGUUGUUCAUACAACUCGGCGAGUCGGGGUCAGGACUUGUUCAUCAGAUGAAGGUGAACUCGACAAGUGUUCAUCCGACUCGGCGAGUCGGAUGAAGGUUCAUUGAUGUUCGUAAAGAAAGGGAACUCGUCGACUUGUUGCCAAACUCGACGAGACGAGUCGUGGAUAAGGACGAGUAAAGGAAAGGGACUCGACGAGUUNAACUCGGGGAGUCGGGUCAACUGGAAGUUGACUUUGACUUGGACUUGGUUGGGGGUAAAAUAGUCAUUUUACCCCAAGAGUAGAUAUUAGUUUUCUGACUGAGUAUUUUGUGGGGAUUAUAGCCGGAGGAUUUCCGAAGCAACAGCAGGCAGAGGUUUCCUGCACAUAUUAUCAGCAGCUACUUGUUCGAGGUGGGUUGCCUACCAGUAGCGGUGGGUCUACGACCACAAUGUCGGCCCACCAAUAGGAGUUGUAUAAUUAUAUGAUUGUCUUUGUGAUAUCAUCUAGGUUGCUUCUACCUGAUAUGUUAUAUGCUGGCAUGAUAUGUUAUAUGUGAUAGUAGUAGAGUUCGGUUGUUAGGACCGAAGGGUAGGUCAAACACCCCAGAUAUGUAUGACAGUAUGUGAUGAUAUGUUUAUAUGCCGACAUGACAUGUUAUAUGGGAUAGUGGUAGUAGGAGGGGAACAGUCCCCAAGUUCGGUUGUUAGAACCGAAGGGUAGUUCAGACACCCCAGAUAUGUCUGAUAGUAUGUUUAUGUUAUGAUAUAUGUGAUAGUAGUGGUACGUGUGGAAUAGUCCCCGAGGGUCGGUCUUUAGGACUGACGGGUAGGUCAGCACCCCAAAAAGACUUGACAGGGGUAGGACGACACCCCAGAAUGGCCGCACGGGUAGGUCGGCACCCCAGAAUGGCCGUACCGGGUAGGCCGGGCACCCUAGAAUUGCCUGGCAGUAUGUAUGCUAUGUGAUUGUAUGGUAUGUGGUACGAUGGGGGAACUUACUAAGCUUCCUGCUUACAGUUUACAGUUUUGGUUUCAGGUACCUCUUCAACAAAGGGGAAGGAGCUGGCGCGGUAGCGGCACAUCAUACACACAUGUUGGUUUCCGCACUAGUGUUUCUUGGGUCGUUACAAGUUGGUAUCAAAGCCCUGAUCUGAGGGAUUCGGACACACCUUGGGGGUGUCUGGACUCAAAUCGAGGGAUUAAAAGACUUUUACAAGAAAAAUGGUUUCUUAAAAGCUAAGAUAAAAGAGUUUUGGGAAAGAACAAAGUGUGUGAUGUGCGCGACCGGCCGAGCUCAAGUAAGUAUUCCCCAAAGUACCCAUACAAGUUUAUGUUAUGUUUAUCAGUUUCAGUAGAAUAGCAUGCUAGAAUAGGACUGAAGAUCUAGGAAUGAUGGCUUAUGUGUCUGCUUUAUGUGCUCCAGCUUAUGAGAAUUGCAUGCUAGUAUUAAGUAGAAAAUAAUAGGAUAGUCUGUUUAGGUUAUGCCUGGUAUUAUGAGCUCAGCAUUGUAUGAUGGUACAACUUCUCGUUAGGAGAAUAGAGUUGUUUGAGUAGUUUCCUGUGUCCGAAUGAUGCUUGCUCAGUGCUUGUAGGACUCUGAAUGAUGGCCGUUAGCCAUUAGGUGAGUACGUCGCGUCGCAUGUCAUUAGGAUUGAAUAAUCUCAGAGUGCUGGAUUUGGCCCUAUUGCGCGGCUCUCGUUUGAGUCUAACCGUUGUAGGGACGAGUCUUUUACUUGAAGGAUUAUCUGAGCCUUGUUACAUGUGAUGGUAUUUAGGUGAUGGCUAAUUGAUAUCACAAGGAGGCCUUCAACAGCCGAGGACCGGUUUGGGUAGAGUCAGAGAUUUUCCCUAGGGUAAGCCUACGAUGAGAGUAGCAGAGAUCAGCAGUGGAAAAAGGGACUUGGUGGAGUCGAGGCCGUCCUUGAGGAAAGUACGGAUAGAUAUGGAAGGUAGUAUGGGCCCGUACUACAGAAAGCAGAGGAUCCGUACUCGAAUUAAGGAAGGCUAAGGCAAGACCAAGGAACUUGUGAUGGGUGUGAUCCCUAUAGAUGUACUAGUAUCACUGACGGAUGUCAUGAUGUAUUGCGGAAUGGUGGUACUAAGGCCAAGGCCAGCAGUGGGUAGCUCAGGAGAGGGAUCGGGUUCGGGUUCAGGCUCCGAACCAGUGGACGAGAGGCUACGCGAGUUCAUCGCGUCUAAGAUCACUAUAGGCAUCCUUGAUGCGACCCCGAUCAUCUUUGGGUCGAUCAAGGAAGGGAUUGUUGAGCUGAUGGAGGAUCGCCUUAGGGCGCUCAGGAGUGACAUGGCGACCAGCCAGUCAGGAUCCCGCAUACUAUCCUUUAAGGACUUCAGGGGCAGUGGCGCGCCGGACUUCCACGGGGAAAAGGACCCCAUUUCUGCUAGACGAUGGAUUGCGGACAUGGAGUCUGCACAGCUGACAAGCUUCUGCCCCGAGGGGCCGAAGGUGAGAUAUGCAGCAGGGUGUUUGAGAGACAGAGCUAGAGAUUAGUGGGAGUCUGUUGUUGACUCCUUGGGAGCCUCGGCUGUUGAGGCUAUGACCUGGUUAGACUUUGUGACCAGAUUCAGGGCGGAGUUUGCGCCAGCUGUAGAGCUUCAGCAGCUGGCCAGAGAGUUUUUGGAUAUGAGACAGACUACGGAGACUGUGGCGGAGAUCACCGCCAACUUCUGGGAGAGGGCAUUGCUUGUGCCCCAGUAUGCGGGAGAUGAGGACAUGAGGAUGACCCGCUAUCAUGACAUGCAGCGAGCCGAAAUUCGGGAGCAUGUUAGUUUUUCAGCUUGCCCUACCCUAGAUUCCAUGAUUUCCAGAUCAAGGGAGAGGGAGAUCGAUCUAGAACAUGUCCAGAAGAGGAAGGUAGAGGAGGGGCAGACGAUUGGGGCUUCGGAGAAGAAGCCUAAGGGAUCAGAUGGUAGGCCGAAAGGCCAGUCAGGACCAGGCCACUGCAGGAAAUGCGGCAGGCCACAUGAGGGGGCGUGUAGAUUGGGAUUGUCGGGCUGCUACAAGUUCGACAAGACGGGGCAAUUCAGCAGAGAUUGUACCGCCCCUACACCAGUUAUUCAGACGUCUGAGUUGCUGUGUUUUCAAUGCAACCAGAGGGGCCACAAGAAAGACAACUGCCCCCAGUUAACAGCAGCAACAGUGCCAGUGAAGGCGCCAGGUCUAGCGACCCUGCGAAUUACUGAUGACUGGAAGGCCAAGGCUGAGGCUCCAGUGGUGAGGAGUCGGGCCUUCCAGUUGACUACCGAGGAGGCACGCGCUGCACCCGAUGUGGUAACAGGUAUGACUUCUUGUUUAUGCUUUUAUGAUAUGCUGCUGUGAUUUUGAUAUGUUAUGUAUGUGCUCUGUUUAGGAUCGUUCCAUGUGAACGGUAUCCCAGUUCAAGUAUUGUUUGAUUCGGGUGCUACCCGAUCAUUUGUCUCUCUUGCGCUUAGCAAGAAGUUUCCUGAGUCUUCGGGCAUGUUGGAUUGCCCUUUAGAGGUUGAGAUUGUAGACGACAGGUCGGUACGAGCAUUAGAGGUCUUCCGAGAUUGUGUUUUGAGGUUGUUCGAGGAGCGUUACAUGGUAGACUUGAUUCCCAUACCCUUGCGGGGGAACAAGGUUAUUAUCGACAUGGAUUGGUGGAGCCCCAAUAGGGCGGUGAUAGAUUGCGCACAAUAGUUGGUGCGAGUCAGGACCCCAGGAGGGGGAGAUUUAGUGAUUUAGGGUGAGAGCCACAGCGAGGGCCAACCUUAUGUUCGGCAACGAGGACAAGGCGUUACCUUCAGCAGGGUUGCGCCGGAUAUGUCGCUUAUGUCAUGGACACCCGGGAGGAGGGAAAGGCGACAGUGGGCAAUGUGCCUGUGGUACGAGAGUUUGCGGACGUAUUCCCCGAGGAGUUGCCUGGGAUACCUCUGGAACGAUAGGUGGAGUUUAGGAUCGACCUAGUCCUUGGUGCGGCUCCGAUAGCCAAGGCACCGUAUCGGUUGGCUCCUCUUGAGAUGCAGGAGUUGUCUACACAGCCGCAGAAAGUAUUAGACAAGUGAUUCAUUAGACCUAGUAGUUCUCCCUGGGGAGCCCCGAUUCUGUUUGUGAAGAAGAAGGACGGGUCGCAUCGGAUGUGUAUAGAUUAUCGGGAGCUGAAUAAGUUAACGGUGAAGAACCGUUACCCACUCCCGAGGAUUGAUGACCUCUUUGACCAGCUACAGGGAGCAUCUUGGUUCUCCAAGAUUGAUCUGCGUUCAGGGUAUCAUAAGAUGAGGGUCAGAGAGGGGGAUGUACAGAAGAUAGCGUUCCGGACGCGCUAUGGCCAAUAUGAGUUCGUGGUGAUGCCUUUCGGGCUCACCAAUGCUCUUGCCGCAUUCAUGGAUCUCAUGAACCACGUGUGCAGACCAAUGUUGGAUCGGUCCGUGAUAGUUUUCAUCGAUGAUAUCUUGGUUUACUCCAAGACACAGGAGGAGCACGAGGAGUAUCUGCAAGAGGUUCUAGAGACUUUGAGAAGGGAGAACUUGUAUGUUAAGUUCUCCAAGUGUGAGUUCUGGUUGCGCGAGGUGCAAUUUCUCAGACACCUUGUCAACCAGAACGGGAUAUCGGUGGACUCGGCCAAAGUGGAGGCCGUGAUGAGAUGGGAGGUUCCAAGGUCUCCAUCCGAGAUUCAGAGUUUCCUAGGAUUAGUCGGCUACUAUCGGAGAUUCAUCCAUGAUUUCUCCAAGAUAGUCAUACCCCUGACCAGGCUAACGAGGAAAGUCGUGGUUUUUCGUUGGGGGCCUGAGCAGCAGGCCGCAUUCGAGACAUUGAGACAGAGAUUGUGUGAGGCACCAAUCUUAGCCCUAUCGGAGGGCAUAGAGAAUUUUGUUGUGUACUAUGACACGCCCAUUUCAGGUUUGGGCGCGGUACUGAUGCAGAGAGGGCAUGUCAUUGCCUACGCUUCGAGGCAGCUGAAGCUUCACGAGGCGAACUACCCGACGCAUGAUUUGGAGCUGGGGGCUGUUGUGUUCGCCCUUAAGAUUUGGCGUCAUUACCUCAAUAGGGUUCGCUAUACUAUCUACAUAAACCACAAGAGUUUGAUGUACCUCAUGGAUCAGCCGAAUCUAAACAUGAGGCAGCGUCGGUGGUUAGACGUGGUGAAGGAUUACGAUUACGAAAUCCUUUACCACCCGGGGAAGGCCAAUGUGGUGGCCGACGCACUUAGCCGCAAGGCAGCGCCGAUCAGGGAUAUUUGUCUGAGGAUGAUAGUGGUGACCCCGCUGUUGGAGCGGAUUCGGGAGGCCCAACGGGAGGCCAUGAAGGAGGAACAUCGGAAGAGCGAGCGGAUUGUGGGGCAAGUUUCCUCCUUCGAUUAUGAUAGCCGAGAGCUGUUGACACUACACCGUAGGGUGUGGGUGCCGUACCACGGGGGUGUACGCCAGGUUCUGAUGAAGGAGGCGCACAAAUCUCGAUUCUCCAUUCAUCCCGGGGCGACGAAGAUGUACAAGGACCUUCUUUUGGACUAUUGGUGGCCCUGCAUGAAGCUGGAUGUAGCAUGGUAUGUGGAGUGGUGCUUGACCUGUAGGAAGGUCAAGGCCAAGCACCAGAGGCCACAUGGAAAGAUGCAGCCGUUGGAUAUCCUGCUGUGGAAAUGGGAAGACAUUACGAUGGAUUUUAUCAUAAAGCUUCCUAGGAUCGCUCGGGGAGUGGAUUCGAUAUGGGUCAUCGUCGAUCGAUUAACCAAAGAGCGCCCAUUUUAUUCCGAUCCAGGAGGGAAUUUUGGCCGAAAAGUUGGCCAACAUCUAUAUCAGGGAGGUGGUGGUGCGGCACAGGGUGCCGGUAUCGGUGAUUUCAGACAGGGACGUGCGGUUCACUUCCAGGUUUUGGAGGAAGUUUCAUGACGAGCUGGGUACUCGUCUGUAUUUUAGCACCGCCUUUCACCCACAGACGGAUGGUCAGAGCGAUCGGACCAUCUAGACAUUAGAGGAUAUGCUGCGAGCAUGUGUUUUAGACUUCGGAGGUAGCUGGGAUACCUACCUUCUGUUGGCGGAAUUCUCGUAUAAUAAUAGCUAUCAUACGAGUAUUAACCGUCCUCCCUUCAAGAUGUUAUACGGGAGGAAGUGCAGAACCCCAAUAUGUUCGGGUGAGGUUGGCCAGAGGGUCAUGAGGAGCAUCGAGGUGGUGCUCAAGAUGACAGAGAGGAUUCAGCAGGUCCGGAGCAGACUUCAGACUGCUCAGAGUCGGCAUAAAAGUAAUCUUGAUAAGCGCCGAUCAGACCUGGAGUUCCAGCUCAAGGAUAUGGUUCUCCUAAAGCUGUCGCCAUGGAAGGGCGUCAUCCGAUUUAGGAAACAGGACAAGUUGGGCGCCACGUACAUUGGACCGUUCAGAUUCUUAGCCCGGGUGGGCAAGGUAGCAUACAGGUUGGAUCUGCCAGCCGAACUCAGCCAGAUCCACAACACUUUCCACGUCUCCCAGCUGCAGAAGUUUCUGGUGGACGACUCAGCAGCGGUACCCUUAAAAGAUAUUCAGGUCGAUGACAGCUUGAAUUACAUUGAGCGGCCAGUAGCGAUCCUCAACCGGAAGUCGAAGGAACUGAGGAACAAGAGGGUUGAACUAGUGAAGGUGCAAUGGCAACAUCGGAAGGGCUCAGAAUGGACUUGGGAGCCAGGGGAGGAGAUGAUCGAGCAUUACCCAGAGUUGUUCCAGGAACGAACAGCAGACUUCGAGGACGAAGUCUAAAAUAAGUGGGGGAGAUUUGUAGCACCUGGUUCCUGGUAUGUAAUUUAUUUAAAUAUUUUGCAUUUUUGGCCUUGGACUCGGCGAGUUCAAGGACCAACUCACCAAGUAGAAGCGGGAUGGGACGCGAGAUUUAAGUUAUGGACUCAUCGAGUCAGGUCCUGGACUCGACGAGUAGGCUCUGACUGGACAAAAACCCUAAUCUGAGGGUUUGCACCCUAUUUAAUCAUCUCAUUCAGCCACCACUCUACCCUAAUGCUCCCAGAAACCCUCCCUAGUAAACCCUAAGUGUUUUGGUGCAAGAUCUAAGGCUUUUUGAGUGAUUUUUGUGGGUUUUGACCUCAAGGAAGAAGGAAGAGCAUAGAAGGAUCAAGAGGAGACUGAACAAUUCGAGUUUGGUGCAUCAUUUUCUGUCCUUGAAAGGUAUAAAGUCUGUACCUUGCUUGUUCAUUUGUUAGAUCCCUUUUUGGGGAAGAUUUAGGGUUUUUUAAGUCAUAUGAGGUGGCCAACCAUGAUUGCAAACAUGGUUGGGGGUCAAGACUUCGGAUCUAAGUCUUGGAAGGAGUCCCAAAGCAUAUUUGGGUUGCUUUUGCACCCAAGGAAGGUCCCAUGCAACAUAAGAGCCAUUUAGAGCCUUUUUGGGUCAAAAGUCCCAUGCAUGCACAUAAAGUUCGAAACUUUAUGUGCUAGAUCGAGCUUAGGGCUUGGAUCUAUCUUUUUGUCAAUGGUUGUACAUCAGAAAUCAAGGAUUUAGGGUGUGGACGUUAUCGACUCGGCGAUUCCGUUCUUGGGACUCGACAAUUCCAAGGCAUAGAGUCCGUUAUCUGUUGAGGGUCAAAAGAACCCAGUUGGGUGUUAGAAGGGUUGUAGAAGGUCCGAGGGAGUAACCCAACGUGUUGGACUUAGCCUUAGACUCGGAAUUCAUGGGACUCGUCGAGUGCUAGAAUAGACUCGGCGAGUCCAAUGCAAUCUCCUUAUGGAUGAAGAUGAACUCGACGAGUUGUUUAUACAACUCGACGAGUCGGGGUCAGGACUUGUUCAUCAGAUGAAGGUGAACUCGACAAGUGUUCAUCCAACUUGGCAAGUCGGAUGAAAGUUCAUUGAUGUUCGUAAAGAAGGGGAACUCGUCGACUCGUUGCCAAACUCGACGAGUCGAGUCGUGGAUAAGGACGAGUAAAGGAAAGGGACUCGACAAGUAGAUGACCCAACUCGGUGAGUUGGGUCAACUGGAAGUUGACUUUGACUUGGACUUGGUUGGGGGUAAAAUAGUCAUUUUACCUCAAGAGUAGAUAUCAGUUUCUGACUGAGUGUUUUGUGGGGAUUAUAGCCGGAGGAUUUCCGGUGCAGCAGCAGGCAGAGGUUUUCCAAACAGAUUAUUAGCAACUACUUGUUCGAGGUGAGUUACCUACCAAUAGCGGUGGGUCUACGGCCACAAUGUCGGCCCACCAAUAGGCACUACUAGAAAAAAGGCGUUUUACGAUGCUCAUUGCGCGUCGUAAAACGCUCAGACAACGCGAAAAUGCGUGUCAAGGAAGGCCCUGUCAUAACGAGAGACGACACGCAUUUACGACACGCAUUUACGACGCUCAUUUACGACACGCAAUGCGUAUCAAGGAAGGCCAUGUCAUAAAGGAUGACGACACGCAUUUGAGUGUCGUAACCUUACGACACGCGUUUAGGACAUGCAUUGUGUAUCAUUAAAGCCCCUGUCAUAAAUGAAGAUGACACGCAUUUGCGUGUCAUAAUCUUCAGCAACCAUUUACGAUAUGCAUUUACGACACGUCUUUACGAUACACAUUUACGCAAAAUACAAAAAUAUGGAAAUAAAUAUAUAACAAAACAAUCAAUUUCAUUCAUUAACAUCAUGUCAAAAAAUUGUAAUACAUAGCGGAAGUAUUUGUUGAGAGCCCAAAAAGUUACAUAAAUCAAUGAAAGUAAAAUUCAUAACUUUUCUAGUUUUCAUAAUCCUAACAAUAGCUGCAUCAACCUGCGAUAUAUUUAUAAAAAAAAUGUGAUUAUAAAUUUAUAAUUACAAAAAAAAAUAAAGCAAAAAAAAAUUGGACCUGAUAUUGACGAUCUUGGGAAACUCUCUCUGUGGUGCUUGCGUUUUCUUCCACAGUUUCCUUCAGCUGGAUAUCAUUCACAUGUACAUGGAAUGGAAUGGAAUAAUGAAAUAAGCAAAGGAAUGGAAUGAGUCAUUCCAUUCCAAUUUCAUAUGAACUUCACAUUAUAAAAAAUUAAUUGAUCUCACCUUUAUACGAUAAAGAGGAGCAGUAAAUACAUCAUUAAACAUGAAGGAAUCAUUGUCAUCCACAUCAGUUUGAACCUAUUCUUUUGUCUCCUUUUCUUCUUUCUCUUUCCCUUGUUCUUUUUUGUCUUGUAUCUUUUCAAGUGGUUGGUACAACAAUAGAGGUAACGGGACAUGUGCCAGUAUUGGGUCCUGAAGAUCUUGUUGCUUUUGUGCUAAGUGUUUUGUGAUUGAGAAGCAAAUGGUCACAAAUUGCAUAUGGGUUCUGGACAUGCAAAUAAACUUAACUAUCGAUCACAUAACAAAAGCAAAUGAAAGUAUGAUGUUAUAAUAAACAAUUCAAAUGCUAAUACCUUUGACAUGUUUGUAUCUACAACAUUUUGGGAGCUUUCGAUGCUUCGAAGAAUUAAAAGUAUUGAAAUAACCUCUUCCUUCUUUAGACUAUUAUGAGGCUUCCCAUCUUCACAAUCACCACCAAUUGCCAACAUAGAAAGAAAUAAAUACAAUUUUCCGGAAAAUAAUAAAAAUUCAUAUAUAUUUUUUUCAUUCAAAGAAUCAAAAUCAACAGGUAUAGUAUGCAUUCAAUUUAUAUUUCAGGAAAAAAAAACUAAUAGUAUACCUACCUGUAUGUGGGUUCAUAGCAAGUUUUCUCUCUUGGAUAAAACAUUAUUUUUUUAUUUUAUUUAUACUAAAUGUUUUUUUUUAUAUUUUGAUAUAAUACAAAUUAAUUUAUGUUUUAGAUAAGCUCUCUUUUACUUNCCUGUCUUUUACUUAUUUACAUUGAAAAUUGACAAAUAGUUCUUUUUCCACAAAAACAGACAAACUAUCUACAAUGAGUUUUUUGCCCUUUGCCACUAUUUAAUCACCUUACCUUAGUUUUACACACAAAAUCCAAUAAUGGAAUAAUGCAUUGAACAUUACACAUUUGCAAAUAAGAUACACAUUAGCAAAAAAUGGUCUUAGCACUAACUUUCACCACCCACCCACCCGAUAACAAAAGAAAAUAUAAUCCGCCCACUCAGUUUCACUUUAUUUGCAAGUAAGUAUAAACAAUAAUAUUGCAGGGUUUUUUUUUCAGUAUGAAUGAGUAUUCAGUCACUAUUCAUCCAUACCUCUUUAAGUAGUUGAUACCAAAUGCUACCAUUAUUCAAUCUCCAUCUAGGGGUAGGGCUAGGUGUUGGUGUUGUUGGAGCAGAAGAAGCAUCAAUGAUAUUGAUAACAAUGAAAGGGGAACUCAAAUCAUCAAGUUCAUCAUCACUUGUGUUUGACUUUCUCAACACUGAUGAUCCAGUGCGACCCAAGUGUUUUAUACAUACAGCCACUCCCUCUCCUCCAACCAAAAUGGUUUUUAUUAUUGAUGAUGCUGAUGGCGGAUCAUAAACAACCGAACCAGCUACACAUGGGACACUGCUCACACAGUCUUCGCCACCCUCUGUAGAAUAUAAAGCCAAAAGAAACCUGUGUUUGUUUACUACUCAAAAUGAAGACAUAAAAGAAGAAAGGAAUAUGCAUUGUAUUGGAAAAAUGAAGACUAAAAACCUCUUAUAUUAUCCAUAUCAAUAAAGCUAUAUUUAUAGCUUCUUAGACACCCACGAUGAAGUAUGAAAACAAUCCAUGCUCUUGACUCCACCUAAUUAGCUUAAGAAUUAACUAUUAUAUAAAACAUAAAACACAAAACAAUAAUAAUUAUCAAAUCUAAAGUUUCAGCCAUGCACGUGAGCUAUGACUAACAAACCGAUUAACCCAACACCUUCCACCCCCAAAUCCUUAGCAUAUAUAAACAAACACCCUCUAAAUGCAUGUUAUUAGACAUACCAAAAUAUCUUUAAUUGGUUGGCUUGUGUGUCCUUCACAUCAACAUAAUUACUUAAUUAAUUAAUUAUACUGAACUCACCUCUGAGUCUAAGGCUUCAAGCACAACUUCAGGAAUAGCAUCUGGACAAAACUCAUCUGGAACAAAACUAUCUAGUAUCCCUUUUAUUAAUGCUACACCAAAACUCAAACAUACCUUCAAAAAAUUUUAAAUAACUUUAGCUUUGUGGAUAACUACACUACUAUAAAAGAAAAAGAGCCCAAUUUUAGAGACCUCUUUUCUGAUUGUGCUAUCUAACAACAUAUCCUUAGGAAGCAUCAUCAGGUCACUUAAUGCAUUCAGGAGAUGAAAAGAUUUGAAUGAUGAAUCAUCAGCAUCUAUAUCAAAUAAAUCAGUCAGCCACCUCGACCAAUUUUCAAUUUGCACAUUGCCAAAUGAACNNNNNNNNNNUAUAUAUAUAUAUAUAUAUAUAUAUAAAGGAUCACUUGCCAUGGGAAUUGGUCGCCUAUGAUUCAGAUCAGAGGCCUGGAAUCGUCAAGGUAGAAAACACAAGUCAAGAAAAAAAAUAAAAUAAGAGACUUUUAGGCAUAAAUGGUAUAUACCCUGUAAUAGGGAUAACAAACUCCUUGAGUGCUUUUUCACUUGUUACUCCAAUUAAUUCGCCAAGACCUUGAGCAUCCUGUUCUCUCAAUUCUGCAGACCUGCUUAUUAGGCCCUGAAGAUAUAUGGGAAGCAAUGGUUGAAGAGCCUUUGGGAGACAUAACCUGGGUAUAACAAUUGGUCCACCCUAUAUGUCCAUCAACAAAUAUUUAAAUAAGAUAAACCUUAAUCACUACUAAAUGCUGAUUAAAAUACACAUAGUUGCCCCUCGAGUUCCAAAACAUUAAAACAACUCUAUUUUGUGCUUAGAUUCCAAAAUAGGACCAAAACAAAAUUCAUACGCAAGUGCUCAAUGGAUGAAAAAACUCAUAUGUACAAAUUCUAAGCCAAAAUACAAGAAUACAUUAGUUCUACAUAAACCCUAUCAACUCGAAAAUAAAAUUUUCUCGUAUAAUAAUUACAUAACCAAAUUAUGUAGUGAAAUCACACAUUAAAGCAAAUGUCUUUGUUAUUGUGAAUUUUGAUACAUCAUAUAUUAUUAUAUUUUUACCUUUAUUAUAGAUUGGUUACCCAACUUUACAUGCAUUUGUUGAGUUUAUUUCUGGAUUUGACAUGCCUUCUGACAUUCACUCAAAGAAGAAAGACAACAUUCUUCUAGAAACUGGGAAACCUUUUCGAUGGCUCUCUUCCAUGAUGAGUUAUCGUUGCCACUAGCUCAUAUCUUCGACCGUAUUUAUUAUAAUUUUUUUUAUAAAUUAAUAAAAAGAUGAAAAUGAUAUAUANNNNNNNNNNNNNNNNNNNNNNNNNUAUAUAUAUAUUAUAUAAAUACAUACCUCUGGUGAUGAUAAAAAAAGGAAAUCACGAUUCAGAGUAAGGUGAAGAGGAAUGUGGAUUGGUUUGAGUAAUUUUGUGCUUCCUUGACUUACAUAGCUAAACCUCAUUAAGUGUAGUAUUAUUAUCUCUGGAAGCUCUAAUAUUUCACUGAUUUACUUGCACAUACUAAUUCACAUAAUAAUAAAAAGAAGUAUACAUUUCCUGCUGAUGAAGCACGAUACCCUUCAAGUGUCUCUGGAGCUGAAAAAAGAUGAAGUGCAUCUUCUAUUGUAUGCAUAGGAUCUGGACAUAUAUUCAAAUGGAGCAAAAGAAAUGGCUGAAUAGUUGCAGAUGCUUUGUUACCUAUUUUUGUUUUACAUUAAAAAUAUAUAAAUGAUGAAUUAAUGAUAUCAUGUUAUUGAGAUGAGUGAAAAAUGUUAAAAGAUUAAAAAAAAAUACCUCUUGCUUUCAUUACACUUUUUAUUUGGCCUUCGAAGAUCUGACUUAAUUUUGAAGGAAUAAAACUUUGUGUUCUUGUGAUUGUAGUUUUGUUCUUUGGUCCAACUGUUUCCCAAAUAUCAUCAUCAUCUUCAUCACUUAAAGAUGAAACCAGUGAAACUUUUCCACCAUUAAAAUUACAAACUUCUCCUUCAAGUUUAAGAAGUUCAUCAUGCAUUUGGUGCAUUACAAAGCUUAAAAACACCUGAGCAUCUUCUUGCCUUUUUAAAAAACAAACUUCAACUCAGCAUCCGAAAUUCCAAACAUAACAUAUAUAAAAUUUGUUGAUUAAUUUUAUAACAUUAACACAAACCUUGGUCUUCCAGAGAAGCUAUUUGGCAUAUCUGGAGAGAAAUUGUUGAGAACAGAUUCAAACAUGAUAGGUCGAAAAGGUUUCCCAGUUUCUAGAAGAAUGUUGUAUUUCUUCUUUGAGUGAAUGUCAGAAGGCAUGUCAAAUCCAGAAAUAAACUCAACAAAUGCAUGUAAAGUUGGGUAACCAAUUUGUAAUAUAGGUAAAAAUAUAAUAAUGUAUGAUGUAUCACAAUUCACGAUAACAAAGACAAUUGAGUCCAACUCCAUCGGCGUUUGCUUUUGAAUGAAUUCCUUGGGAUAAACCUUCCAUAUACGCUCUGCUCCCUUUCCUUUUGGAACAAAACACCAUAGCAAGACUCCAAAUAUGUAAUAAUAAUCGAUCGAUAAAGUUUCUACAUAAGUUGCAGGUGAUCAAAAAUGGCGGAAAUCAGGAAAUGUAAAUUGUACCUUUAGCGAGAUUAGGGUAAAGCCAUCACAAGUUAGAGCCAUCAUCACCUGUGGGAGACCUAGGGGAAGUUGAUCGCCUCUAUCCACCUGCCAAAAAAGUGAAUCGUCUUCCCAUAAGUUUUCGUCACUUUCUCUCGAUCUUGCCGCUCAACCGGACCAAGGACGCCGGGAAGGAAAAGGACGUCCCUCUUCACCUCAUACUCGUGGAUGUGCCACAUUGGCUUUUCUGAAUCCGGCAAGGUGAAGAACAAUUUUUAUGUUACGAUGUUUUCAACUCCGAUUAAAAAAGCCCUAGAAAUUAUCCCAGUGAUUUUGUGAUAUAUGAGUUGUUGAGGUAUACAGCAGAGGUGGUAUCGUGAUUAGGGUUUGCAGAGAAAAGGGGGAAGAAGAGAAUGAAGGGGAUCAAGCGGGGUAUUAAAAAAUUUAAGAUUUUUGAGAGGAUUUCAUUUCCCCCUUUCAAGAAGGCGCGUUUUAGUAAAAAUUAUAAAGCGACAAUCACAGAGGACGCAUAUUUUAGAUAAAGUGCCCUCCGUGUUUUUAUUUUUUUUACAUUCGACACUAAUUUAAGGGCAUGCAAUAAUGCGUGACCUAAAUCCUCAAAUUUUUUGAAGAGACGACACUUUUUUAUUGUCACUCUCGUUUGCGUAACAUAAAUCAAUAAGUGUCGUGAUUUGCACAUCGUAAAAGGGUCUUUUUCUUGUAGUGAGGAGUUGUAUGAUUAGAUGAUUGUCUUUGUGAUAUCAUCUAGGUUGCUGCUACCUGAUAUGUUAUAUGCUGGUAUGAUAUGUUAUUUGUGAUAGUAGUAGAGUUCGGUUGUUUGGACCGAAGGGUAGGUCAGACACCCCAGAUAUGUCUGACAGUAUGUGAUGAUAUGUUUAUAUGCUGGCAUGAUACGUUAUAUGGGAUAGUGGUAGUAGGAGGGGAACAAUCUCCAAGUUCGGUUGUUAGAGCCGAAGGGUAGUUCGGACACCCUAGAUAUGUCUGAUAGUAUGUUUAUGUUAUGAUAUAUGUGAUAGUAGUGGUAGGGGUGGAAUAGUCCAAGAGGGUCGGUUUUUAGGACUGACGGGUAGGUCAGCACCCCAGAAAGGCUUGACACGGGUAGGACGAUACCCCAGAAUGGCCGCAUGGGUAGGUCGGCACCCUAGAAUGGCCGCACGGGUACCUAGAAUGGCCGCACGGGUAGGUCGGCACCCCAGAAUGGCCGUACCGGGUAGGUCAGGCACCCCAGAAUUGCCUGGCAGUAUGUAUGCUAUGUGAUUGUAUGUUAUGUGGCACGAUGGGGGAACUCACUAAGCUUCGUGCUUGCAGUUUACAGUUUUUGUUUCAGGUACCUCUUCAGCAAAGGGGAUGGAGCUGGCGCGGUAGUGGCACAUCAUGAAUGGUUUUCCGCACUAGUGUUUCUUGGUAUUGUACUAUGACAUUAUUCUUAUUUUUGUGAAUGGUUUUCAGACAUGAGAUGUGGUUUUAUGAAAAGUUAUGAUUAGAUGGUGUUUUCUUAUAAAUGUUUUUACAAGUCAAUUUUAAAAAUGAAAUUUUUGGACUUGUAAAUUGGGUCGUUACAUUCCUUCCAUGGUAAGACUUUAAGCAAAACCAAAUCUCCAACUUCGAAUGCCAUCAGUCGUCUUUUCUUGUCAGCAUAGCUCUUUUUACAAUCCUGAGCUGCUAACAUCCUUUCCCUAAUCACUCUUAACUUUUCAACAGUCUGAUGGACUAUCUCGGGGCCCAUAAACUGCCUUUGUUCAACUUCAAGCCAACAUGACGGCGUACGACACUUUUUUCCGUACAAAGCUUAAUAAGGUGCCAUCUUGAUGCUUAAGUGGAAACUAUUAUUGUAGGAAAACUCUACCAGAGGUAAGUGUUCAUCCCAGUUACCUUGGAAUUCUAGGGUACACACUCUUAGCAUUACUAUAGUGUUUGAAUCGUCCUUUUUCUCUAACCAUCGGUCUGUAGAUGGUAGGCUAUACUUAAACACAGCUUCGUACCCAAUUCUUCUUGUAGACUCCUCCAAAACCUUGACGUGAAACGGCUAUCAUGGUGUAACGCCCAUGUUUCUAGGCUAGGCAUUAAUGAUAAUGUAAUAGUCUAGGUUAACCUUUGUAACCCGUCUUGAAAUAAUAAAAAUGUAUUAUUUGAGUAUUAUGUGUUUUGUGCUUAAUUGUGUGACUUAAAUGAAUUAAGGAUAAAAAUAAGCAUCAAAAUGAAAUGUUAGAUAAACUCGAUAUCUAUGAAGGAUGUGGUAGUGGUCGUGGCAAGGUUUCCAAAUAUAUAAAGAAUGCCAAAAUCUGAGUUAUAACGAAAAAGUUAUGAUCUGUCGAAGUUUCGUUACAGAACCGGCACGGCACUGCGUGACGUAAAUAGUGAAUUUACGAUAGAGCGAUAUUUAGUCUUAGUGAUCUAAACAGAAGUUGUAGAAUAAGUUUAACCGAGAGCGUGCAUAAGAAGAACGUCUAAAUUUGACUUCGUAUGAGGAAGUUAUGAUUUUUCGAAGUUUCGAUUUAGCAGUAUGCAACCCAAAUCUCGAAUUACAGAUCGAGUGAUACUUGGCCGAAACAAUCUAAACGGGAAUCGAAGAUCUCGUCGAUAGUAGUCCAAAAGUGAAAAGACAUACGAAAACGGACGUCGGAUGAAGAAGUUAUGAAUUUCUAACGGAGUUUUCCUGUCCGACCUGCUAAAAAUAAUAUAAUAAAAAUAAGUUCAAAAUUAGCCGACGCAGUCUAAACGAAAGUUGUAGAGCAUAGUCUCACCUAUGUGUGGAUAUAAAGAACAUAAAAAAUGGAGCUCGUAUGAGGAAGAUAUGAUAUUAUGAAGUUUUUAAAUAAUUAAAAUAUAUAAAUUUUAUUAUAUAUUCGGAUAAUAUCCGAAUCCAUGACUCAGCCGAUCUGAUCCGAAGAUUACGCCCAACGUACUGCUUGUAGAGGCAUUACGCCCAGCAUAAUCAGGAUUUACGCCCAACGUAAAUCGAGGUUUCAUCCCCUAUAAAUAGAAGUCGUGGGCAGCCGAGUUUUGUUGCUCAUUUCUUCCUCUCUCUCCCGUUUUACCUCGUUUUACGUGCAAGCUUUACCCCCGAAGCCGCGGUAUCAUUCCCGAGACCCGAAGCCCCGGGGAUCCCGAGAAGUAAAGUUUCUGAGCCGAAACUCUGCCCGUGUAAAGCCCGGUUUUGGAGAAAACGUCCUGGUUUUAUCGGAAAAUAUUAUUUUAAUAUAUGAGGUGAUGUCCGAUCAUCUUCUUAUCAAGUGAGUGUAUAUUCCCUUUCUUCUAACACAUAGAUAUGAAGUAUCUACUUUAGAAUAUGUGUUACAUGUGUAUAAAUAUACGUGUAUAUAUAUGUUAUCUGUUUAUUUGGAAUGAGUAUCUUAUUAGUUUUUAAGUUACAUAUGAAUGCAUAUGUAUGUUGUUAUCUACAAAAUGUUGGGUAGAACUUGUGUAGAUAGUUGAUGUGUGAUAAACUGAUGAGAUGCCUCGAUGUGAUUGUGAUCUAGUCAUUCAACAGAAUAUGGGUGACGACCACGGACUCUUUCUAGACUGUCCCGUGGAAUGCUGGCAGGCUCAUAACCUGUAGGUGUUGGUGAACUUGGGUGUUCAUUUGUUGUAUUCUAUCCCCCUCAUGGUUGCCUUAGGACAUUCAUUGUUGAGAAAACCCCUCUGCAGUAGUGUCCGUCCUGAUGAAAAUCCUAGAUUAGGUCCCUUGUAAUAGUUAUUGUCAUAGUGACGUAAAGUGAGGAUAACAGGAAUGGGUAAUCAGGUUAUUGUUGGUUGGUGAAAUUAAAUAUAAUUAGUUAUUGUGGGUUGAAAACCCUAUAUGCUCACCAGGCUCCCAAGCUUGACCCACUCAGUUUUUUUGUAUUACAGGUAGUGGUGCGAGGGCAUAAGUUGGAGAACUUAUGAAGAUGUUUUUGUUUAUAGACCAGUAGUUGUAUAUAACAGUGUAAGGUCUAUGUUUUACUGUUUAUGCUUUUGUGUCUGUAUCGGAACAUGACAUCCUGAGUUUUGAUAUAUAAUGAAAAUACAUUUCUUUAAGAAAUGUUUUGAUAAACUUUAUUUUAUCAUGUUUUGUUUUAGGGACAAAUUCUGCAACUCUUUUAAAUCAAUGGAUUUACUCUGAAAUUAUUUUAAAAACAUAAAUGAAACCGGCCUUUUCUGGCCGUGAUUUUGGGGAUUUCACACAUGGUCUGAUACUAUCUUUAAAGGAACACCAUGAAGUCUUACUACCUCCUUCACGUAAGCAUUUGCAAGCUUAUCUGUAGACCAUCUUGUUGGAUUAGUGUCUAAGUCCAUAACUAUUUUGGUAUGUACUUGACCCGAUGGUGCAUGGUCCUUUUGGGUUGCCUUCACCAAAGCAACUUGAUUGGAGAAAUAAAUAAAGAGAGAGAGGUUAUUAUGAUUUAUUAAUAUGUUAUAAGAAUAAUAUAUUAAAGGAGAAAUCAUAUUUGUUUAAUUAAUAUUGGUCAAUAAUUAAUUAAGAAUUAAUUUUGUGAUCAAGUGUAAUUAAUUAAACUAGAGGGGCUGAAUUGUAAUUAUGUGAUAGUUACAAAAUAAGGUAAGGAUUAUCUUAAAUAUAGGGUGAACGAAUUUAAGGAGAUAAUGCCUUAGAAUUCGACUAGGAUAAGGGUUUCUAAGACUUAUCUUAUGGUUGCUUGGUGGGCAAGCAACUAGAUAAGGAUAAGGACUAAAACCCUAAUCUUUACACCUAUAUAAACCCCCUAAGGCUCAUGAAUUCGUCUAAGCCUUCCCAAGAAGUCCUAAGGACGAAUUCCUACCUCUAUCCUCUCUCUUUAUACCUUCUCCAUUUGCUCUUGGUGUUUGUGAGCCAUUAGAGGAGUGACACUUGUGACUCUAAGCCUUCCAAAGUCAAUUCAUGGAGAAUUGGGAUUGUUAUUACUACAUAACAAUCAAGGUAACAUCUUAAACCUAAUUAUAUGUUAAUAUUGAUUUCCAUAUGCUAGAAUUAGGGUUUAUAGUCUUGGAUUCAUUGCAUGUACAAUAGAGAAACCUAGAUCCAAGCAUUAGGGUUUGUAUGAGCACAUAGGAUGUCUUAUGACCAAAACCCAUCAGUGGUAUCAGAGCCUAGCUUGGUUUCAAUUGUAUUGAUGCAUUGUAUAACUGGAAAAUUCGUUUUUUGGGUUUCUGGAGGCUGGACUCGCCGAGUCCAUAGAUGAACUCGCCGAGUCCAUGCUGACUCGACGAGUCCAUGCCUGACUCGGCGAGUCGGCUCGUCAGAAGGAGGGAAAACCGGGAUUUCUUGCUGUUUUUGCUUAAGGAUAGUUGCCUUAUCAUAUUAGAUCAAUAUAAAUCCGAUUUUAUGAUAUAUUUGACUAUAUUCUUGAUCUAAUUGAAGAUAUUUAUCAAUUAAUAAAAUAUUUGUUUCCUUAUGUGAUAAUUGAUUAAUUAUUUUGAUUAAAUUGAUAAAUUGUUUUGCAAGAAAUCAUUAAAUAAAUCAAAUAUGGAUAAUUAUGUGAUUAAAUGUUAAUUUAGAUUAUUUGUUAUUUGAUCCUUGUUGUUAUGAAAAGUUUCAUAUUUUCCCCUUUAGGUUUUAUAGUUUAAAUUUGAACCCAAAAGUUUUGUUGUUUUGAAAUUUAAAUAGUUGAAACCCUAAUGUUUUGAAAAAGGUUUCAAAACUUGCCCUCAAGUUUUGGAAUUUAAAUUUUGAUUAAAUAGUUUAAUUUUGAUGUAUAUUUAAAUUCUAAACCCUAAUGUGUUGAAAUGUUUCAAAACUUGCCCUCAAGUUUUGGAAUUUAAAAGUUGAUUAAAAGUUUAAUUAGGAAUGUUAAAUUCUAAAACUCUAGUAUUGUUUUGAAAAAGUUCAAAUCACACCCUUAUGGUUUUAUUAAUUAAUUAAGGUGUAUAAUUAAAAGAGGUUUAAUAAAUCCAUAAAAGUUUUGGUUUACAAUUUAAUUGAAUUAAAAGUAUAAUUGUUAAAUUUGACCACCUAGUAUUUUAAAAGUGUAAAAUACACCCUAUACUAUAUAUAACAUUAAAAGUCUAACAUUAUAUAUAUGUAUGAGUAAAAGUCAGUCUUACCGUUAGUAGGCCUCAUUCACGAAGCUGGUCUAUAAGGGGUGUUUAAGGAAAUUGCCUAUAAAAUGGCGAUUGAAUGGGUAUCCACUCUUACCCACCGCACUCUUGACUAGUGGAGGGUCGUUAGCCGAACGGGUAGGAUAGGACGAAACCUUCCAUUAUAAGUAUAAUGAAGUAUAAAAGUAACUAAAUGUUUUCAUAAAAUUCCCAAUCUUAGUUACUUAGGCAAAAGUGAAUUGAUGCAAUUCCAUGAAAUUACACUUUGUGCCCUUGCGAAGACGUUAGUGGAGCGUGUGUGGUUUACCGGCACACUAAAUGGUUCUAAGCAAAGGUAGCAAAGGGUGACUCAAUGUUUGUCAUAGUUCGGUGGAGCGUGUGUGGUUUACCGGCACAUCGAAUAGGUGACUGUAACAUGUGAGGGCACCAUGUAAGUUUGCAUGGUUAUUCACACCCGCUUUGUGAUCCUCGGCAUCCCAGUCACAAACAAGAGGGGCAUAUCGAGAUUUAAACAUGCCAUUGAAAUGUUCAAUGAAUCUCAAAGGAUCUAGGAGUUUUCAUAGAUUUAAAACUUAAAUUUCUUUUUCGUUUUUCAUGGUGGAAAUUAGUGAAUCGUCAUUCACUUACCUUCAAAUGUUCUGCAAUUUGGGUUACGGCAUCCCUCUCCCGAGUUGUAGAAUAUUGUGUUGGGUCCUAGCCUUAGUAUCUCAUUUGGGUGAUUUACUAAGGACUCAAUCAAUCAACUAACUUGAAUUCUUUUUCUCCCGUUUUGUAGAUGUCAAAGUUCGACAACUAUGGUCUUCCCAAAUCCCGUGGAACAAGCAUUCCACAUGAAGAUGAUAUUCCACGAUUCGAUCGAGGAACAAGAAAUCAUGCUUCACUUCCUCCACCUCCUCCAAUUAUUCUCCCUAACCCACAAGUUCAAAGGCUUGAAAAGUUCAAGAUCACUCAAGCCCUUUUGGCAAGUAAACAUAAAGAAGGAAAGUCGGUGUGUGCACACGUCCUAGGGAUGAAGUCACACAUUGAUAGGUUAAGAAUGUUGGGAUCCGUUGUCUGUGAGGAAAUGGCUGUUGAUUGGGUUCUUCAGUCACUUCCUAACUCAUAUAGUGAGUUCGUAAGAGAGUACUAUAUGAUGAACCGCGACGUGACCCUUAUAGAUCUCACCUAUAUGCUUAUUGCUGCUGAAUCAGCAAUGGUUUGGCGCAAUAGAAAAGCAAAGUUGAUUGGUGAAUCUGCCUUCAAGACCUCUAUGGAUAUAGACAAUGGCAACGAAAGACAUGCUAUGAUCGAAAAGUUUGAUCAUAAGAGAAAGGCAAUGUCUGAAGUAGUUCCAUGUCAUGUUCCAAAAGAGUCAAUUUGCUUUUAUUGCCAAGAGAAAGGGCAUUGGAGACGAAGCUGCCCCAUUUACCUAAGAGAUCUAAGAGAUGGGAGAGUCGAAACGUAUGGCUCUAAUAUAGGUAAAAUCCAUUAACUAACUCUUUUAAGCUUCUAUUCUAGAUUCUUAAUACAUAAUGUGAUAAGAUUACAAUUGAUGUUUUGUAGGAUCGAAGAAAAGAAAGGAAGCUUAAGGGAAGAAGUGAGCAGAAUCUAACCGUGAAGGAAUGGAUUUCGAUCGCAUUUCUCGAAGAUUAGAUUCUUGAGCUACUACUUAGAGUUAGAAUUAGAUUGCUAAGAAAGAUGUAUUAGCAUAGUUUUUCAAUGAAUUGCAUUGUAAGGACAAAUUUUUCCGCAAUAAAAUAAAUUUUGAUUUUAAAUUUUAUUUAUUUAUCCUUACAAUGGCGUGUAUGAAAAAUUGAUGUUAAAAUGUUUCUAUUAUUAGCAAUAAUGGAUUUGGUUCUUAUUAUGUUAUUUAUGGAAAGUCGAGAAUUUACCAAAUAGGGAGAGUUUCUCAUCGCCCAAGUUUCAAUUGGACAGAAACUUGGAAUCAUGCAACUUGGUUGCACGAUGAAUGAGAAAUUUCAUAUUUGGAAAUUAGACUAAUUCAUUGACAAAGUGUCAAGUGAAGGACUAGGAGAUCGAGUACACAAAGUUGCGUGUUGAUCAAGUCCACCAUAAGAGUAACAAAGAUAUUCGUCAUGAUUUACUAAAGGUUUAGUAAAUAUGAUUAUACUUAUAAGAUUAAGUGUAAUUCUGAAUUGAUUGAAAAGGUUUAAAUCAAUAGCAGAACGAAUAAGAAGAAUCAAGUAGGCAGAAAGAUAAAAGUUUCUCCAUUCUAAGAAGAAGGGAGAGUACCUUUUAUGCUUUAUGAUAGGUCUUAAUGAUUAAGAACCAUAUCUCAAUUGAUCCUCUAAGUGAGUCUUAGUACAAUUGUAUGUCUAAGAAGAGGAAUCAAGAAUUGAAGAAAUGGUUAAAUCAAGAAGUCAAUCAUACUUCGUUCCAAAACAAGUCUUAGAGUUAAGAUUGUGACAUUGAGUGAUAAGUAUAAAGAAGGUUUAUAACAUUCAUUAAAUGUGGAAAGUUGUGAUGUCUUGGAUAAGACAAAGACCAACUAGGACCAAUUUAUGAAGUGUUUUGAUAAAAGCUACACUAACUCUUGAAUAUUUGUUUGUCAAGAAAUGGUUAUUGACAAGAGAAUCUUAUAUGUCAAGGAGUCAGUGGGAGUCUUAAUGGUCUUGAAAGGUUUCAAGAACAAAUCAAAUAAACCUUAUCGAUCAUCACUAGCACACGAGUUGAGGUUUACAACCUAUCGUGUUGACAUUAUUUUGAUUCUGUGCCAAUCCAAUCGAGUUAAUUAUGCAUGUGAGUUCUAUGAGUUCUCAUUUUGAACGCAUAAAAGGCAAAGCACCUUAAUCAAUGAAAGGUACAUUGAUAGGAAAGGGUGAGCUGCUUAACUACUUGGAAGACAUGGUGGGCAGCUGUGCUACCAUAAAGGCAAGAAAUCGAGAUCAAGAAAGUUCGAUCCAUAAGAGUUUGAAUUUGUCGUAAACUUUGGUUUUGACAAAUUCACAUGGAUAGGAACAAAUACACCGUUUAAAUCUAAGUGUCAUAAGAUUUCCUCCUUCAUGAAAAUGAUUGUGAGGAAAUGCUUUCACUAAGACAGAUUUUAAGAAGAUAGUGAUUGUAAAAUUGCAUUCUCGAAUUCAAUUAUGGUUACGGCAUCCCUUUCCAUAAUUUGAAUUGUGAGGUUUGGCAAUUAGUCUUAAUUGUUUAGACACACAUAUGAACUAUCGAAGGCAAAGGUGUAUAAGUUCAAGAAGCCUUGAUAAAAGAUUAUCAAAGCACUAAGUAUUAGAAACAUGAACUUAAGAAAUUCAAUAAGCAUUUUUUUUCUGAAAGUUAAGAUGUUUAUGAAUACAUGUCGAAGCUAGUGGGAGCAUAAGUGUUAUGUUUUAUAAUAAUCAUCAAGAUAGUGGGAGCAUAAAAGUUAUGAUUGUAUGAUUAUUAAGGAAAGUAUUGCAAGGUUAGCAAUAUUAAUUAUAGAAAACAAGAGUCAUACUUUGCAAAGUCGCAAUAGUUGAAGAGUUGUUUUGCUAUAAUUAAGGGAGAGAAUAUUAUGCUUCAUUUCAAAUCUAAAGGUUUAGGUUGAGAAAUGUUAAUAAAAUUUAGUCAAAGGUACAAAGUGUGUUCUUAAAAUUUCGAUUAUGAUUACGGCAUCCCUCUUCACAAUUCGAAUUUUGAGAACAUAGCAAAUAAAACAUUAUGCGUCGUGUCCCAUACGCUUCGGGUAUAGGAUCGAUUGCAAAUGCUUUAAUGUUUGACCAUUCUAAAAUUUUCCAAAUGUCGAGCGCAUUUAGAGGGAAAAGGGACUAGAAUUGGUUUUGACUAAAAUAAUUAAACAACUAUCAAAGGACAAUCCAAAGUUCGACGAGGAUUGGUCGCUUGUGAGUAGUUGGAAGUAUAGUAUUGGAAAAUAUGGAAAUGUUUCCAUAUUGGAUGGACCAUAUCGACAUCAUUACGAAUAGAUAAGAUUCUAUUAAGAAUGAGUUGUCAUAUGGAACAUAUGGAAGUGUGUCCAUAUUGGGAAUUGAAUAUUGAGAAAUCUAUGACUAGAUUAGAAACUUCUAUGCAAAAGGAUGUUCAAAGAAUGUACUUUGAGUGAGAGACAUCACAUCUAUGGAAUUGUCUUGUAACAAUCUCCGAUAGAGGACUUUGUAAUAUCAUUGGCAAUAGUCUUUGUGACUUUGGUGCAGUGACAUUACGAAAGGAUCGUUGCAUAAAAUGUUAGAAUCUAGCAUAUUCUAUAAGUAGCAAGAAUUUGAUAUUCUUUCACUUAUGAAAAGGAUUUGGAGUUGUGAAAUGAGAAUGAUUGGAAAUGUGUUCAAUUUGAUCUAUUUCACAAAGUAAGAACCAUAGGUAAACAUUGUGUGCAUGCUAGGAGCAUGGGACAAGUGUAAUAAUUCAAGUAAGAAGUUGAUUACCCGAAACGACAAAUAAUGAGUAAUCGAUAUGGUGAUAAAUAAAAGGUGUUUUAUUUAUACUCAAAGGUUUGAGGCCAUAUGGGAUUAGUAUUAUUCUUGUGUUUCACAUUUGCAUGUUUUGACUUCCAGAAUAAUUGAGUUUAUUAAGAAUAAUCGAAUUAUUCGAACGGGCCACAGUCGUUCAUAUGUUGGAAGUAGAUAUGAAUGAAGACUGUCGUGAAUUGGUGUGUGGAUUGUCUAAAAGAGUAUUAGACAUAAGCAAAUGUUUGCUGCAACGUUCAUGAGUGCUUAUGAAUAUGAUUUGAGCAUUGGAUUAAACCCACGCUCACUUGGAUCACUCCAUGAAUUGUAUCACGAGUGAUUGGUGAGACGAUAACAUCUUAUAUUCUUGAAACCGAGAUGUGUGAGUUGUAUCUUGCGAAUCGGUUGCACAUUGAUAAUAUGUAAACGCACUAGUAACUUGGUGUUAUAAAACAUAUUGUUGUGUGUGAUUUGGUUAGUAAGUGCAAGCAAGCAUUGUAUCAAAGUUUAUCCGUUCCUUUUAUCCAAAGUAGGAUAAAAGCGAUAUCUUUGGGCCCCUCGAUGAUUUAGUGAUGACAAACGUAAAUGCUCGGCCGGGCUAGGGCUAAUUUGAUUUGUUCAAUUAGUCAGUCGUCAUAAAUCGGGAAUCGAGAUAUAGUACAAAGAGAAUGAUUUGAAAUCAUAUCUCAUAUGAUAUCUAGAAUGGAGGAAUAUAUGAUCCCUUAUCUAAGGACACGCGUAUCUGAUAUGAUCAGAGUUGACAGCGGCUUUGGAAAGCUACGAUUGCAGAUCAGGAUCUGAAGUCAUACGCAGAAUAGUUGUUAGACUUAUCCAAGUGGGAGACUGUUGGAUUAGUGUCUAAGUCCAUAACUAUUUUGGUAUGUACUUGACCCGAUGGUGCAUGGUCCUUUUGGGUUGCCUUCACCAAAGCAACUUGAUUGGAGAAAUAAAGAGAGAGAGAGGUUAUUAUGAUUUAUUAAUAUGUUAUAAGAAUAAUAUAUUAAAGGAGAAAUCAUAUUUGUUUAAUUAAUAUUGGUCAAUAAUUAAUUAAGAAUUAAUUUGUGAUCAAGUGUAAUUAAUUAAACUAGAGGGGUUGAAUUGUAAUUAUGUGAUAGUUACAAAAUAAGGUAAGGAUUAUCUUAAAUAUAGGGUGAACGAAUUUAAGGAGAUAAUGCCUUAGAAUUCGACUAGGAUAAGGGUUUCUAAGACUUAUCUUAUGGUUGCUUGGUGGGCAAGCAACUAGAUAAGGAUAAGGACUAAAACCCUAAUCUUUACACCUAUAUAAACCCCCUAAGGCUCAUGAAUUCGUCUAAGCCUUACCAAGAAGUCCUAAGGACGAAUUCCUACCUCUAUCCUCUCUCUUUAUACCUUCUCCAUUUGCUCUUGGUGUUUGUGAGCCAUUAGAGGAGUGACACUUGUGACUCUAAGCCUUCCAAAGUCAAUUCAUGGAGAAUUGGGAUUGUUAUUACUACAUAACAAUCAAGGUAACAUCUUAAACCUAAUUAUAUGUUAAUAUCGAUUUCCAUAUGCUAGAAUUAGGGUUUAUAGUCUUGGAUUCAAAGCAUGUACAAUAGAGAAACCUAGAUCCAAGCAUUAGGGUUUGUAUGAGCACAUAGGAUGUCUUAUGACCAAAACCCAUCACAUCUUUCAUUGGCUACUAUGAAGUGUGCACUCUUAGUAAACCGAUCAACGACCACCCAAAUCAUGUCGUGACCGUCCUUCGUUCUGGGCAGUUUAGUGACAAAAUCCAUGGUAAUGUCUUACCACUUAUCCAUGGUUACACAUAAAGGUUCUAAAAUCCUAUAUGGUUUCUGAUGUUGUGCCUUAACUCUCACAUAGGUCACACACUUGGCCACAUACUUUGCAAUGUUGAGCUUCAUCUUCGGCCACUAGUAGUAGGGUUUCAGAUCCCUAUACAUUUUUGUGCUGCCGAGAUGAAUCGAGUACAUGGUCUUGUGAGCUUCUUCCAUCAGAAGAUCUCUUACUUCGCCCAUCUUGGAAUACCUUUAAUCCUUGAUUAUUUGUACCGAAAACCAAGUUUUUGCUUAAACAUUCUUCCUUUUGGUCAUUCUCCUCUAAAACUUCCUCCCAAGCUUUGUUGAUGCUUUCCACAAUCAUUGUGACAACCUCUAUUGAUUGUUUUGAUUAUAUUUCUCUUCAAUCUUCUGUCCUAACUCAGAUGCUACAUGAAACUUGGUUCUCUGAACCAUGUAACAUACUCAUCUUAGUUGGACUCGAUAUGAUACGACCACUAGGGUCAGAAUCAGAAUCAUCUUCUUAGUCAUUACCAAAACGAUGGUAAUGAAGAACUUGAACAAAACAGAAUCAAUUACUAGCUUCUUAGUAACCUUGCGACUUUCACUGAUCCAAGUGCAAGUCCUGUGCUUCCGGUAGUAUAGGCCUCUACUACCAUUCACACCUACUCAUACUCGUUCAAGGUGCUAUCUCACAGUUUUCCAAGUCAUCAUUCAAGAGUUUCACAUAAUCAUUUAACACAUCAGAUAACAAAAUCAAGGUUUUAUAUUAUUUCUUGAAAUGAUUACAUAAAUGUUCAACUUCGUCCUAUACUAUGCCUCUAAUAAGUUGCGCUACAUGAUGCUAUCCACAUGGCCACUUCAUAACUUGAUCUUCGGAUAUCAGUCCUCACUCCUGCUUCCUUGCAUUGUCAGCUGCUUCGUUAAGGAUCAUUUGGAAUGCCCUUGGCUGGGGCGGUGCGUUUGGCCUUGCCGCUUUAUUCUUCCUUGGGCGGUUCUUCAAAAUAUGCCAUCCUUCAUUGCAUUCAUAGCACACCCUCUUGCGGGAUGUACACUCAUUGGCGUAGUGCCCAGGAUUUUCACACUUAAAACAAGUGACCUCCCGUCACAUUUCCCAUGGUGCUUCUUUUUGUACUUUUCACACCAUUUCGCUUCAACUCCUCCUCCUCUCGAACCAGACUUCGAGAAAUUACUUUUCUUGUUGGAUUUCGAAGAUCCAUCAAACUUCCUUUUCUUACCAACCUCUGCCCUCUCCAGACCCUUCUCCCUUAUCCGUGUCUCAACAAUCUUCAUAGCUCUAACGACUGCCUUCAACGUGCUUGCCAUUUUGACUAUUGGGCCAAAGUCUGAUGGCAAUCCGUUAGCAAAUUUCUCUAUCUUGGCGAGUUCAGUCGACACCAAGUAUGGAAAUAACUUCAUCUUCUCAGUGAAUGCAGUAGCAUAAUAAUCAAUGCUUAUUCUCCGUUCUUCAAUUUCUGGAACUCAUUGUUUAGAUCUAUCAUAUCUAUUUCGGAGCAGUACUGCAUUUUCAACUGCAUUAUGAACUCUUCCUUAGACAUUUUCAGAGCUUUUCCUCGUGGCAUCGUAUCCGUUAAUAACUUCGACCAGCUUAAAACUUUGGUCUUUACUUGUUUGACCGCAAAGACAAUUUUUUGUUUGUCGCUAUAGUUGCAGCUUUCAAAUACCAUCUCUAUUUCGACAUGAUCUUCAUUGUGAUUUGACGAAACAUAUUUGGACGGUUAUGCUUUUCAUGGCCAAUUUUCGAAGAAGUACUUCUUUUAAAUUGACGAGUGUGACAUCCACCAUUUUCACGGUCAGAAAAGACUGAUUUUGUUUAUGCUUUAUAAUAAAAUCAGAGUAACCUUUUUAAAGAAAAGUGUUGUGGAAUUUGUUCCUAAAAUAAAAUAUGAUAAAGAUUUAUCAAAACAUUUCCAAAGAAAUGUAUUUCAUUGUAUUAAAACCUUGGGAUGUCAUUAUUAAUACAAAUCAGAAACAUAAGCAGUACAACAUAGGCGUUACAACAUUUAUUUAAAUCUACUAGCCUAUAAACCAUAAUCCUCUCGUCAAGUCAUCCAACUAUGCUCUUGCCACUACCUAUAAUACAAGAAACUGAGCCGGUCAGGCUUGGGAGCCUGGUGAGCACAUAGGGUUUUCAACCCACAAUAAAUAAUUUUGUUAAUUUCAACAAAUGAAAUAAACCAGAUUACCCGUUUCUAUUUAUCCUCACAUUACGUCCCUAAAACAUCUAAUAUAAGGGACAUAGCCUAAGGAUUAUUGUAGCACCUGGUUCCUAGUACGUAAUCCUUGUAAUUAAUAUUUCUUAAUUUUGCAUUUUUGCCUUGGACUUGGCGAGUUGAAGAACCGACUCGUCGAGUAGAAGCGGGAUGAGAAGCGGGGUCUGAGCUUUGGACUCGGCGAGUAGACCCUGUUUGGGCAAAAACCCUAACCAAAGUGUUUGCACCCUAUUUAAACGCUCUAACUUGGCCUCCUUUGUCCCGAACACUCCCAGAGAGCUGAAGAGCGAAACCCUAGCCCCCAUUUUGUUCUUGAGAGUGAUUUUUGGCUUUGUGAAGAAGGUUUGGAGCUUAGAAGAAGAAGAAAUAGGUUGUAGUGUGCAAAGAGGGGAAGUAGAUCCGGAAUCUACACUACAAGAGGCUUCCAUUCAGCCGGAGGAUUACCGAUUCAGCAGUCAGGCGCUUAGCAAGCAGAUUUUCAGCAGCUACUUUUCGAGGUGAGUUACCUUCCAGUAGCGGUGGGUCUAAGGCCACAAUGUCGGCCCACCAGUAGGAGACGUAUGAUAGAUGAGUGUCUUUGUGAUAUCAUCUAGGUUUGUUACUACCUGAUAUGUUAUAUGCUAGCUUGAUGUGUUAUAGUAGUAGAGUUCGGUUGUUAGGACCGAAGGGUAGUCAGAUACCCCAGAUACGUCUGACAGUAUGUGAUGAUAUGUUUGCAUGUUGGCUUGUUAUGUUAUAUGCGAUAGAGGUAGUAGGGGGUGAAAUAGUCCCCGAGGUUCGGUUGUUAGGACCGACGGGUAGUCAGCACCCCAGAAUGGCUUGACAUAGGGAGGGCGGCACCCCAGAAUGGCCGUACAGGUAGGUCGGCACCCCAGAAAUGCCUAGCAGUAUGUAUGUGAUAUGAUUGUAUGGUAUGUGGUACGAUGGGGGGGACUCACUAAGCUUUGUGCUUACAGUUUUCAGUUCUGGUGUCAGGUACCUCUUCAGCGAAGGGGAAGGAGCUGGCGCGGUAGCGGUACAUCAUACACACACAUUGGAUUUCCGCAUUAUGAGAUGUCCUGGGAUUGUACUCUGACAUUAUUAUUAUUUUCAUGUUUUGGGUUUUCAGACACGAGAUUUGUUUUAUGACAUGAUAUGAUCGGAUGAUGUUUUACUGCAAAUGUUUUACAAACCACUUAUUUUAAGUGAAAUUUUUGGGCGUGAAAAUUGGGUCGUUGCAAUUAUCAUCGGGGUAACAACAUUGCUUAGGGGAUACUGUGACAUCCCCAAAAUCUUGGCCAGAAAAGACCGAUUUUCAUUUAUGCUUUUAAAAUAUUUUCAGAGUAAAUCCUUUUGAUUUGAAAGAGUUGCGGAAUUUGUUCCCAAAAACAAAACAUGAUAAAACAAUGUUUACCAAAGCAUUUCAUAAAAGAAAUGUAUUUUCAUUAUAAUCAAAACUCGGGGUGUCAUGUUCCGAUACAGACCAAUAAGCAUAAACGAAUACAUUACAAGUCAUAUAACAAAUAUAAACAUAUGCAGACUUGUAAACAAAACAACUUGAUGGUUCAUCCAUCUCAUGCCCUUCCGCCACUACCUGUAAUACAAUUUAAAACUGAGUGGGUCAGGCUUGGGAGCCUGGUGAGCAUAUAGGGUUUUCAACCCACAAUAAAUAUCAUAUUUAAUUUUCACCAACCAACAAUAACCCAAUUACCCAUUCCCGUUAUUCUCACUUUAAUGUCCCUAAAACAACUAACAUAAGGGACCUAGUCUAAGAAUAUUUCAUCGGGGCGACAACACAUGCUUCGGGGGUACCUCAGCAAUAUAAGUCAAAUAAGGCAACCAUGAGGGGGAUGGAGUACAGCGAAUGAACACCCAAGUUCAUUAACACCUACAGGUGGCGAACCUGCUAAUGUUUCCACAAGACUAUCUAGAAAAGUCCGUGGUCGUCAUCUAAACUCCGCUAGAUGACUAAAUCAAACAACAACGAGGCCUCUCAUCUGUUUAUUACACACCAACUAUCUACCCAUGUUCUACCCAACAUAUUAGUAGAUAAAAAUAUACAUUUUUAUACAUAGUUUAAAAACCUGUAUAGCAUGCUUUAAUCAACACAUAUUUCACAUAACAGAUGAGGCACACACACACAUAACACGUAUCUCAUAGAGAAUAAAUCAUAUCUAUGAGAUAGAAGAAAGUGAAUACACAUUCACACACAUAACCACAAAAUUAUACACAUAAUACGUAUUCCGUAUAAAAUACUUCAUAAUUAUGCGUUAGAAGAAAGUAACUACACACUCACUUGAUCAGAAGAUGAUCGGACAGCACUACGACUUGCAGAAGUAGUAAUCCUCAGCAGAUCUGGAAGAUCUUCACAAAAAUCGAACUUCUCGCGGGCAGAGCUUCGGCUCGGGAACCGCACUUCUCGGGAUCUUCGGGAUCUCGGGACUUGCCUCGGGGCUCGAGUAUGAUACCGGGGCUUCGGGGUAUUUCUGGCACGCAAAACGAUGCAAAACGGGAGAGAGAAGAGAGAAAAUGAACAAAAGAAUCGGCUGCCUUCGGAUCCUAUUUAUAGGAGGCUGAAGCCUCGGAGUACGCGAGGUGUACUGGUCCGAAAAACGUCACUGCUUACGUAUCCGAAGACUCGAGUGCGAAUGUCGACAUCCCUCGGUGUACGCGGGGCGUACUUCGGAUCGGAUUGCUGACUCCCCUUCGGAUAAUACCGGAUUUUCUAAUAAAAAUUAAAUACAAAUUAUUUAAUAAACUUCGGAAAUUCAUCUCUUCUUCAUACGAACUCCGUUUUCGACGUUCUUUAUAUCCACGCGAAGGUGAGACUACGCUCUACAACUUUCGUUUAGACUCCGUCGGCUAAUUUUAACUUUAUUUUUAUUAUUUAUUUUUAAUAGGCCGGGACAGAAAAACUUCGUUAUAAAUUCAUAACUUCUUCGUUUGACGUCCGUUCUCGCCUAACUUUUUAUCGCUUCGAGACCAACAACGAGACCUUCGAUCCUCGUUUAGGUUGCUUCGGCUCAAAACCGCUCGAUCUCAAAUCGAGUAUUUCGGGCUGCACACCGCUAAACCGAAACUUCGAUAAAUCAUAACUUCCUCAUACGAAGUCAGAUUUGGGCGUUCUAUAUAUACAUUCGUAAACCUCGUUUCAACUACUACAUCAUCAACCAAAGAUAUCAAGUUUAUUUUACACUUUAAUUUUGACGCUUAUUUUUAUUCUUAAUUAAUCAAACCACAUAAUUAAGCAAUUAAGCACAAAACACAUAAUACUCAAAUAAUACAAUCAUAUUAUUUCAAAACGGGUUACAAAGGUUAACUUAGACUAUUACAUUGCUAAAAAUGGCAAGCCCGGAAACACAGGCGUUACAGAUACCUCAACAUUUUAUGUCAAAUAAGGCAACCAUGAGGGGGAUGGAGUACACCUGGUGAACACUGAGUCCAAAUAAACACCUACAGGUUGCGAGCCUGCUAGCGUCCCAUUGGACUGUCUAGAAAAGUCUAUGGUCGUCAUCUAUACUCCGCUAGAUGACUAGAUCAUCGUCAAUAUCGAGGCCUCUCAUCAUUUUAUUUCAUCACACGCCAACUAUUUCAUCUACCCACGUUUUACCCAACAUAUUUGUAGACAUAAAUUACAUAUACAAUUCAGAUCUAAAAAACAAAAUNUAUAUAUAUAGUUUAGAUCUGAAAAGAAAAGUCUAGAUCUGAAAUGAGAAAGUUUGGAUUUGAAGGAAACAGUUCAGAUCUGAAAGAAAGAGUUUAGAUUUGAAAGAAAAGUUCAUAUCUAAAAAGAAAAAGGUUUAGAUCUUUCUUCCAACAUAGAUCUCAGGUAAACAGAUAAUAUAUAUACACAUAACACGUAAUUUAUAUAAAAUAGUUUAGAUCUGAAAAGAAAAGUCUAGAUCUGAAAUGAGAAAGUUUGGAUUUGAAGGAAACAGUUCAGAUCUGAAAGAAAGAGUUUAGAUUUGAAAGAAAAGUUCAUAUCUAAAAAGAAAAAGGUUUAGAUCUUUCUUCCAACAUAGAUCUCAGGUAAACAGAUAAUAUAUAUACACAUAACACGUAAUUUAUAUAAAAUAUUUCAUAUUUAUGUGUAAGAAGAAAGUAAAUACACACUCACAUGAUAAGGUGGCGAUUCGGACAACGUUUUGCUUCUUAAAAUAAUCUCCAUUGAUGAAACCGGGAAGUUUGGUUGAAAACCGGGCUCUGCGGGGGGGCAAAGUUUCUAAACCGAAAAACUCUUUUUCUCGGAGACUUCGGGCGCUCCGGGGCUUUCUUCUAGUGCUAAGGAGGUCCCCUAGGCUUCGGGGGUGUUUAGGGUGGAUAGAGAGAGAAAGAGAGAGAGAGAGAGAGAGAGAGAGAGAGUAGAGUAGAGAGUGAAAGAAGUGUGAAAUAUGUGAGAAAACAUGGCUAGCCUCGCAUCCUAUUUAUAGUCAGGAGGUCUCGCAUUACGUUGGGCGUUCCUCGGUCUACAUGGGGUGUUCCUCGGUACGCAGGGCGUACCCUCGUACGCGGUACGGUUUGCGAGGUUCGGAUUUGUCACCCUUCAGAUGGAGCUAUGUGGCCAAUUCCGGACCUAGCCUUUGCGAACGCGGGGUGUUCUCUUCGGAUAGCCUCGAAAUAUGUACCUCUUACUUCAAAAAUUCAUAUAUUUUGCAUACGAGCUCCGUUUUCGACGUUAUUUAUAUCCACGCGUAGGCAGGACCGUACUCUACAACUUUUGUUUAGACUCAGUUGGCUAAAUUUGACUUUAUUUUUAAAGUUAUAUUUUUAACAGGCCGGGACAGGAAAAGUCUAUUAAAAAUUCAUAACUUCUUCAUCCGACGUCCGUUUUCGUUUUUCUUUUAACCGUUGAACUACUAUUGACGAGAUCUUCGAUUCUUGUUUAGGUUGUGUCGGAUAAAAAUCCCUCGAUUAUAAUUCGAGCUACGGGCUGCACACUGCUAUGCUAAAUCUUAGAAAAUUCAUAACUUCCUCGUACCAAGUCAGAUUUGGACCUUCUUUUUAUGCACGCUCUUGAUUUAACGUAUACUAGGAUUUUCAUUUAGAUCGCUAAGGCUAAAAUGCACUUUAUCGUAAACUCACUUUUUACGUCACGCAAUAUCGUGCUAGUUUUGUCGUGAAACUUUAACAGGUCAUAACUUUUUUGUGAUAACUUGGAUUUCGGCAUUCUUUAUAUGUCCGAAAUCCUUGUCACGACCACUACAACUUUCUUCAUAGAUAUCAGAUUUAUAUAACAUUUUAUUUUUGAUGCUUAUUUUCAUUCUUAAUUUAUUAUAUCAUUAUAAAUAAGUAUAUAAUCACAUAAAAUCACGUAAUUCACAUAAUAUUCAAGUAAUUCAUCUUUAUUACUUUAAAAUAGGUUACAAUAGUUGACCUUGACUAUUACAUCAUCAUACUAAUGUUUAGCCCAGAAACAAGGGCAUUAGAACGAGUAUGUUACUAGGGAGAAGAGAAAGAAAAAGAGAAACGGAAAACAUGAAGGUUUCACGAGAACUUCUCACUGAUAUCACUAUUCCCGUCGGUAACGUCAUGGACAUUGCCGGUGAUAAGGUUACCUCGUUACCAGAGGCAUUUUCGGUGAAAAACGACAUGAGUGAAGCUUUUCAUCGGAGUUGAUAGAGAGAAAAAGAGUAACACGGAAGAGGGAAGAAUGAAGUCGCUAAGGGUAUUAUUCGUGUCACACUUUAGCAACGAUACCAUUUAGUGGUGUCGAAAGACAUUUGUGGCAACUCGAAACGUAAUAGUCGCGACACACUUUUGAGGGAAUAAUUGGCAGAGGGUUCGAGUAUUAGCGGUGACACCGUUGCUGGUAUUAGUUAGUGGUGUGUAUGGGGCGGUUUGGUUCGGUUAUUGGUUAAAACCGAACCAUAACGAUUAUGAUUGGUUAAUGCAUUUUGGUAGCCAUUGGGUAUGGUUAAUAUUGGUUAUGGUUAGUAGUUUUUAUCGGUUAACGGUUUUGGUUAAUGGUUAAUAUUGGUUAACCAUAAUGUUCAAAAUAAUAUAAACGACGAAAGUAUUUUGGCAUGAAAAAUGAAAAUAAAAUACCAAAAAGUCCUCGACGCCGAUGUUUGUAACCUAACUUAUAGUAAUAUAAUAAAAUGUGUAUCUGUAAUACUUAGAGUGAGAUAACACAUAGUCACAUUUAAAAUCAAAAAUAUUUAAUAAAAAUAUAAAACAUUAAAAAAAUUGACAUUAAUAAUUUCAUAUAUUGAUAAUUGAUAUUAAUAUUAAAAUAAAGUCAAACAUUCAUACACGUUCAAUACGAUUAAAUUAAAACUAUUAAAUAAAAAAGCCAAACAUUCAUAUUCUGUGUUAUUAGAUAUAAAAAAAAAAAAAAGUCAAUCACUCAUCUACAUUCAAUGUGAUUAAGUCAAAAACACUAAAAAAAUUCAAAAAAUUAAAAAAAAAUACAUUCUUAAUAUAUCACAUAGUUAAAAAGAACCAAAAACUUAACUUACCUAGAAGUCUUGAGUAUAAAGUCAAAAAAAUCCUUCGAAUAGGACUAUAAAGUCCAAACAAUCUUUGAUUAUGAUUAACGGUGUGAGAAGCCUUCGAUUAGGAUUAUGAGUGUGAAGAUUAAACUAAUUGUGAAUAAUGUUUACAAAUUGUAGAAUUAGCCGAUUAUGAAUUACAACAUUAAUUAAUAAUCUAACUCAAUGUAUGAUUGGAAGAUUAUGUGUGUCUGAGUGAUCAGUCUUUGAUGAUUUGAUUGCUCGUUCGUCUCCUGGUAAGUGAAGAUUAAUAGAUUAUAUUUUCAAAAUUUUAAUGGAUCUUAAAUAAGUUUGACUAUAUNUCUCUUUCUCUCUCUCUCUCUCUAUAUAUAUAUAUAUAUAUAUAUAUAUAUAUUAAAAUAUAAAGUUAGCGGUUCGGUUAAUAAUGGUUCGGUUAACCUAUAAAACCAUAACCGAACCGUUAGUUAUUGGUUAACAAAAAUUAGAAACCGAACCAACGGUUUUUAAAAUGGUUCGGUUAUAACGGUUAAUUUGGUUUUGGUUCGGCUUUUCGGUUAUUAUGCUCACCCCUAGUAUUAGUUUCGCCGUUAUUGUUAUGUACGAAAUCAUUUUUCAAGUGUUGGAUUAUGACAAAAUCGACGAAUAGGGUUUAACCUCAGAUUUUGACGCGGAUCGGGGUUGAUGAGUUUCGCCUUUAGCGGUGACAACCACCAUUACAACGAGACCUAAUCUAAAUGUUGGGUAUCGCUUGUAAUGGUGGUUGUCGCAACUAAAGGAUUCGCCACUGAAGUCCUAUAUUGUUGUAGUGAUAAAUGUUAAACCUAAACACCAAUUUAAACACACCAACCACUAGAAAUUGGUGGCGACAAGUUCAUGGCAUUAAGAGCGAUAACAAAUGGUGUAUAAAUCCAUUAUGAUCUUCGUUGCGAUUUAACAGAACAUAUUUGGACGGUUAAUGAUUUUGAAGCUCAAUUUUGGAACAAUUUUUUUUUUGAUCCAUCAUGUUAUUAAGUUUUAAGUUUUUAAUUUUUUGAGUUGUUAUGGUUUAGUUUCUUGUUGUGUAAUUUUUAUUUUGAUUUAAUAUAAAAUUUAGUUUUUAAAAAAUUAAUUGCUAAAAAAAGUACUGAUGUUAAAAAAAUGAUGUUAAUCCGCCUAACCUAAAUGUAAAUGGUAUGUUGAAGACGGUGUGUAGCAAAAUCAAAUAUAAGCUGCUGGUUGAUGCAUCGGGUAUUGUAUUACGUGAGGUUGAUAGUUUGAUUUGUUGAAAUUAUCUUUUGUGUGUUUGAGAAUUCUUUUAUGGAAGUCCCUAUAAAAAGGAGUUCAAACUCAAAUGUUGGUUGAAAUAUUGCGAGUACACUUCACUUAAUUUGAUUGCGGUUAGGAAGCAAUUUAAUUUCUCAAAAGAUUAAAUGCCACUAAUAAAUUAAAAAAAUAAACUAAAAAUCAACACCAAAUUAAUGCCAAAGCUUUAAACCAUAUAUUACUAAAUUAAUUCACAUACGCCAUCAAAAAAAAAUUCAUGUCACAAACCCAUACUCAUAAAACUCACUUUCCAGGUACAAAGUUUGUAGCAUAUGACCAUGCAUUGUUUGCAACAGGGUCAGCAAGGUGGUCAGCGAGGUUCUCCAAUGGUCCCUUUCCGGUAACAAUGGCUUGAACAAAGAAUCCAAACAUAGAGAACAUGGCUAGUCUACCGUUCUUGAGCUCCUUCACUUUCAGCUCAGCAAAUGCCUCUGGGUCAUCAGCCAGACCCAAUGGGUCGAAGCUACCACCAGGGUAAAGUGGGUCAACUACCUCACCAAGAGGUCCACCAGCAAUUCUGUAACCUUCAACUGCACCCAUCAAGAUCACUUGGGUAGCCCAGAUGGCUAAAAUGCUUUGUGCAUGGAUCAAACUUGGGUUCCCCAAGUAGUCAAGACCACCCUCACUAAAGAUCUGGGAUCCAGCCUUGAACCAUACAGCCUCACCAAACUUGACACCAUUACGCGCCAAGAGUUCGGGGAAGACGCACCCAAGAGCUCCGAGCAUGGCCCAUCUGCUGUGGAUGACCUCAAGCUCACGGUUCUUGGCGAAUGUUUCAGGAUCAGCAGAGAGCCCAGCAGUGUCCCAACCGUAGUCACCGGGGAACUCACCGGUCAGGUAAGAUGGGGCUUCGCCGGAGAAUGGGCCAAGGUACUUAACACGGUCGGGGCCGUACCAUGGACUUCCUGAUGGUGCGACUUUCUUGACUGCUGUCUUCCUCAUGGAAACCCUUCCAUUUCCGGUGAUUUCUGAACCAGAUGGUGUUAUUUUCACUGCUUGUCCGAUGAAUGAAGAAGAUACAGACAUAGUGGAAGCUGCCAUUCUGUUAAAUUUGGUUGAAAGAUGUUGUGGAGAUAGGAGAGUUUGAGUUAUGAAGAUGGGGAGAUCUGCAAGUUUAUUUAUAAGGUGGUUUUUUGGUCAGAUAGAUAUGAUCGAUGCUUAUCUAGAUACAAUCUUCACCUUCAUUUUGAUUGGCAAACAACAUUCUAGUUUUAUCUAAGGGUCAGUAAUCUGCGUGCUGUGAGUUCUCUGGUCCACCAGAGAUUUUUGAAGGGGCUGCGGUAUAUUCAUGGCUCUGGUUUAUUGAGGGAAUGUAAUGGCUCCCAUUCUCAGCCACAAGCUGUUCUUGGUGGGGUUUUUCAUCUUUAACCAUUUUACAUUUUCACAAAGUUACAUAAAUAGUCAUCAUGCUUUACAAAGUCACCGGUUCAGCAACAAACUUUUUUUCCAUGAUUAAAAAUUCAAAACGGUCCGUAUGGUUUUAAUAUUAUUAGUAAUCAUCUUAACAUUUCUAAUUUUUAAAGACAAAUAUUCAUAUAAAUGGUUAUGUGAUUUUCCAGAAUAUCAAGUGGAGCACAUCAUUUUUUCGGUCUUAUGGAAUGACUAUUUGGUUUCAAUUCCUAUCAUAAUUGAUCUUAGAGCAUCCACAAUAGGGGAGUUUAAUGGAAGAGUUGAAUGAGGUGUCAUGCCUACUUGUCAUUCAAUGGAUACAACUCCACCAUUGUGAAAUGCCACCUUGGCAUUCAAUGAAUUUGGAGUUCAAUGGUCAUUGAACUCUUCAAUGGGAAAAAGGAAAAUCUUUAAAUCUUUAAAUAAAUAUUUUUUAAUAUAUUCCAUUGAACUUGUAGAGUUUAAUGCAUUGUGGGAUAAAAAUGAAAAGAGUUGUAUGGAAUAAUGAAUGAUGACGUGACACUCCAUUGAACUCUAUAGAGUUCAAUGCAUUGUAGAUGCCCUUAGUCCCACAUAAAUAAACUUUUAUACCCUUCUAUAUUAUAAUUAGUUUAUUUAAUAUAUAAAUAGCUAUGUUUUAUAGUUAACAAUAAAUUUUGUUCAUNNNNNNNNNNNNNNNNNNNNNNNNNNNNNNNNNNNNNNNNNNNNNNNNNNNNNNNNNNNNNNNNNNNNNNCUCUCUCUCUCUCUCUCUCUCUCUCCCAUCACACCCUCCUAAUCUUUAUUUCUUUCACUCGAUCGGUCAACCUCUUUUCUUUCUACAUAAAAAUUAAUCCAAAAUGCAGCCUUUUCCCAUACUCUGUGCUUGCACCGCCACUUUACCUUCUUGAAACCAAAUUACUAACCAUACACAAGUCUACAAAUCUACUAAUGUGUCUUCCAUUUCUCAAAAUCGAAAAAUAGAGAAGGUGUAGAACAUUGAGCUCACUUCUGUGCAUCUCCCACCUCUUUUACACAAAUAUGAAAUUAAAAUUGAAGAACAACUUUGUGAAGAACCUAGAUUGUGGAGAUGAUGAUGAAUAAAGUCGAUAGUUGGUGGUGCUCGGUGAUGUUUGAUGUUAGCGGCAGUACACUAGUGUUGUGGUGAUCGCCUGUUCAGUUGGUUAUAUUCUGGUAGGGUGGACGAUGGUGACCGUAGAACAGUUCAUAUAUAUAUNNNNNNNNNNNNNNNNNNNNNNNNNNNNNNNNNNNNNNNNNNNNNNNNNNNNNNNNNNNNNNNNNNNNNNNNNNNNNNNNNNNNNNNNNNNNNNNNNUAUAUAUAUAUAUAUAUAUAUAUGUGUGUGUGUGUGUGUGUGUGUGUGUGUGUGUGUGUGCGCGCGCACACUACAAGAAAUUUAGGUGUUUAUCCACACACGUUAUAUGUGGCUAAAAGACCUUUAUGUGUAGUUAUCUUUAGCUACACACAGAUUAAGUGUCAUAAUGUAUUGACUCAUGCCUAUAGAUAUAUAUCAUUAACUAUACAUUCAUUAUGUGGAAGUAUAGUGCAAUUAGUACACACAUACAUGUGUGGUUAAAACUAGUAAGUAUGUGCAUAUAGAAAGGGAGCUGAUCCGUUCACAACAAUUUUUCUCCAUACACAAUAAUUGAUGCUUUAAAAUGUUGUAUUAUACAACUAUAUAAUGCAUGAAUUGUUGUGUAUGGCAAAAAACUGUUGUGUACGAAUCACUUCCCAUAUAGAAGUACUAAAAAUUGUUUGAGUUGUCAACGAUGUGGCUGAUGACAUGUCAAAUUAUGUGGCAAGCCCACACAAAGUGUUGGUGAUAUGUGUUAUUCGAUAUGUGUGGGUAAUAAUUGUUAUAUGUGUAGGUUAAGAUAAGAUAUAUGAAAUAUAUAAAACACAAUAAAUGAAAUAUAAAAUUUAACAACACAAAUUGUUAUUACUUUUAAUAAGGAGUUAACGAUAUAUAAAACUUCUUUUGGAAUGGAAGUAUGUAGCACCCAAAGUCAGAAAGGCCAAGAAAGGAAAGGAAACCCUAAGUUUAAGGGACGACUCAGCAAGUCCAAGGAGGUACUCGGCGAGUCCGAGCGGGAUCCGGGUCGAGGAGUAAAUGACCGACUCGGCGAGUCGGCCAAGGAGACUCGGUGAGUCUGGUCUGUACGAGGAAAUCCCUAAAUUCGGGACUUGGAGCCUAUUUAAGCGCCUCAUUCUCUUCUCUAGGGUUCCUCUACUGCCUCUCUAACCNCUCAACCCCACCCCCGCCCCGCCAUAUCCAUUGUUGAGCCAAUUAUUGCUUUGAAGAGUGCAUUAAAGCUUGGAGAAGGAAGAAGGACCUUGGAGGUGCAAGAAGGAGCUAUAGAUCUGGGCUUGGGAAGAUAUUUCUGAACAUUUGGAGGUAAUAAACUAGUUCUUGGACUCCUUUGCACCUAGAUCUAUGUGUGAGUUUUGGGGCUUUUGGCCAUGAUUGGUACCCAUUUAAGUUAGAAGCCAGAUCUAAAGUUGCUACUUCGGAUAUAAGCAUAUUAUGGGCUUGUGAAGCAUAAAGUAUCAGCCCUUGAGUUGAUUAUGGAGCCUCUUUGCAUUAAACCCUAUUUUAUGGUGUGUCUAGCCUAGAUCUCCUUCUCUACACGUAAAGUUUGCAACUUUACGUGAGGAAUAGGCUUGGGAAGGGUAGAUCUACAGUUUGGGGUCCAUGCAUGACUCAAAAGUCCUCUACAUGUAUGUAGAUCUGAAUGGACUCGGCGAGUCCUUUGAGUGGACUCGGGGAGUAGCAUGAAGAUUAGGAGGAACUCAACGAGUGGGAUGAACAGCUCAUCGAGUCGGAUGAAGUUGGGCAGGAACUCGGCGAGUUGGAAGAACAACUCGGAGAGUCGGUUGAAGAUUGCCUUGGACUAGGUGAGUCUGUUCUUGGACUCGGCGAGUCAGGUCGCGAAACCCUAAACCCUUCGACUUGAGACUCGAAUCAGUGAGUCGAGUGGAGACUCGGUAAGUUGGACAGGUCAGGACUCGGAAAUCGGUAGACUCGGCGAGUCAUGGACUGACUCGGUGAGUCGAGUCGCGAUUGGAAGGACUUAGAGCAUAUGAACUCGGCGAGUCAAUAGGUAGACUCGGCGAGUAGGGUUGACCUGGAAGAUUGACUUUGAACAGGACUUUGACUUUGACCAGAGUUGACUUAGUUGACUGUUGGGGGUCAGUUAGUCUAAGUGUUUCAUUGAUAUUGGUAGCUCGGGGAGCUAGUGGAGCAGGAGUUCAGAGAGUUUCCGGGCAGCAUCCAGAAGGUUAUCAGCAUGUUCAGCAAGUGCAUGUGAGUUUCCCUUUGUGCCAAUGGGUCUACGGUCACAAUGUCGGCCCAUGUAGUUAUGAGUAGAAGACCCGGGGGUUAGCCCUAGGCACAGUAUGCUAGUAUGAUAUUCAGGACGAGGUCCAAUGAUAGCGGGCGGGUGCCCAAGGAAUGGUUUAUGUGAUAGUUUAUACUUGUUGUAUGUGUGAUACUUGUAUGUGUCUGGUAGGGAGGUGAGUGUGGGCGAGGUCCCGUAUCUCACCAAUAGCAGAGUGUGGAUGGUGUUCCACAUCUCAGUAGCAGCAGAGCAGGGGCGAGGCCCAAGUUAGGGAAGGAGUGAGGGUGGGCUGGGCCCGUACCUCACUAUCAGCAGGAGUAUGGACGGGGUUCCAUGACUCAUCAGUAGCAGGACAAGGGCGGGGCCCAGAGAUAGGCGAGGCCUUAGGACAAGAUCCGUUAGUAUGUGUUUAGCUUAUGUGAUGUGAUGUGAUAUGUUUAUGUGCUAUUAUAUGUUAGUGGGCGAGGCCCUGUGACAGGCGAGGCCUAAGUGAAACAGAUCUGUAUCCGAGCGGGGCUCGAAGCCAGGCGGGGCCUGGAGCGGCGGGGCCGUUGUAGCGGGCGAGGCCCGAGGUAGGGGGGGAGGCCCAGGAUAGCGGGCGUGGCCCAGCGUGUGCAGUAUGUGGUUAUGCAUGGUAUGUGGUAGGGUGGGGAACUCACUAAGCUUCGUGCUUACGGUUUUCAGUUUUGGUUUCAGGUACUUCCGGUAGCGGAGGGAAGAGCUCGGGGGUGAUCGCAUGGCACACACCAUAGAUUAGACAGUCUGGGAAUGUUUUACUCUGACAAUGAACAUGUGUUUUGGAAAAUUAAUACUCUGAUUAUGUUUUGAAUUGGUGACCUUGCUUAAAGAAAUCUUUUAUUAAAAGAAAUUUUUAGUCAUGAAUUUUGGGACGUUACAAGUUGGUAUCAGAGCCUUGGUUUGAGGGAUUCGGGCAUACUCUCGGGUGUGCCUGAACUCAAACUAAGGGGUCGGAUAAAAAGUUUUCAAAAUGAAAAGACAGUUUUCUAAAAAGAGAGUUUUGGGAAAGAAAACAGUUUUAGAAAAGCAAAAAGAAUUCAGAAAGAAAAGAACUUUGAAAAGAAAAAAAUGGUGUGGUGCAUGCAAUCAGCUGGUCUUAAGUAAGUACCCCAAAUUACCCAUACAAGUUUAUGUUAUGAUUAUCAGUUAGUAGAACAGCAUGCUAGAUUAGGACUAAGGAUCUAGGGAGGAUGCCUUAUGUGCCUAUUAUAUGUGCUUUGAGUUGCAUGAUAGUGUUGAUUAGACAGUGGUAGGAUAGCCUGUUUAGGUUAUGCCUGAGUAUAUGAGUUUGUGUUGCAUGCUAGUUCAGAUUCUUGCUAUGUGGAUAUGAUUGCUUAUGUAUGUUAUGGUUAGAUUUUCCCCUUGUCUGAAUGCUGCCUGCUUUGUGCAAUAUGGGAUUCCGAGUGAUGGGAGUAACCAUUAGGUGGAUACGUCACGUCACAUGUGAUCAGGGUUGAAUAAUCUCAGAGUGCUAAAUUUGGCCCUAUUUCGCAGCUCUCGUUUGAGUCCAACCAUUGUAGGGAUGAGUCUUUUACUCGAAGAAUUAUCUGAGCCUUGUCACAUGUGAUGGUGUCCAGUUGAUGGCCAAUUGGCAUCACAAGGAGUCCUUCAGCAGCUGAGGCCUGGUUUGGUGUGAGUCAGAGGUUUCCUUAGGGUAAGCCUAGGAUGAGAUAGUGUUGGGAGCAGUAGUAGUGGAUAAGGGACCUGGUGGAGUCGAAGCAAUUCCNGAGGAAAGUACAGAUAGAUAUGGAUGGUAGUAUGGGCCCGUACUACUGAAAGCAGAGGAUCCGUACUCGAUUCGGGAAAGGCUGAGACAAGACCGAGAACCUAGUAGGGUGAGUGUGUGUCUGGUCUCACAGCAGUGAUAAGUAUUCUGAUAGAGGAUGUAUUAUAUAUUCAGCAUGGUGACAUUGCGAGAGAGACCAGUGGGUGGACCAGGCGCCGGAGAGGGAUCGCUCGGGGUCNAGCAGCUCGAGGAGCGGAUGAGGGAGUUGAUAUCAGCUGAGGUUACGCGCAGUAUUCUAGAUCAGACUCCUGUGAUCUUUGGCACGGUCAAGGAGGGUAUAUUGGAGAUUUUGGAUGAGAGGCUGGGAGCCUUCCGUACCGAGAUGAUGGCAUUGAUGGGAGCACGUACCUUGACAUUUCGAGAGUUCAGGGCUUGCGGGGCACCAGAUUAUCAUGGGGCUAGGGACCCCAUCGCUAGCAGCAGAUGGUUGGUUGAUGUUGCCAAUGCAUUCCGUACGAGCCGGUGUCCUGAGGGGGACAAGGUUAGGCUCGCUUCUUGUCUUCUGAAGAACAGAGCAAGGGAUUGGUGGGAGGAGAUUAGUCAUGCCUUGGGGGAUGAUGUCGCGUUGGAUGCGAUGACUUUGAGCGAUUUCUCGUCCAGGUUCAGGGCGGAGUUUUCGCCGAUUAUUGAGGUGCAGCAGUUGCCACAGGAGUUUCAGGAUUUGACGCAGACCACUGAGACUGUGGCGGAGAUCACCGCCAAGGUCAGGGAGAGGGCUCUUCUUGUACCGCAGUGUGUCGCGGAUGAGGAGAUGAAGAAGGCCCGAUACCAUGAGAUGUUGAGGGAUGAUAUCAGGGUGUUCGUGAUCAGGUCCAGCUGUAAGACGCUAGAAGAUAUGAUUUCUCGAGCUAGAGAGAGGGAAAUUGAUUUGGAGCAGAUCCGGAAGAGGAAGCCGGAUGAGGUUUAGGUAGCCACAGGUUCGGGCAAAAGGCCUAAGGGAUCAGAUUCGAGAUCGAGGGAUUAUCAGGACCGCAGUCGGUGCGGGAAGUGUGGCAGGGCGCACAGGGGUGCGUGUAGGAGUGGUAGCGGUGGUGAUUCUGGCUGCUUCAAGUGCGGUCGGACUGGUCAUUUCAGUAGAGAUUAUACUGUUACCACCACACAGGGAUCAGACUUGAUAUGUUUUCACUGCAAUCAGCGGGGCCACAAGAAGGCCCAGUGCCCCAGUUUGUUUUCAAUAGGACGGGUGAUGACACUUGCCCCUGCAACUUUGAGGAUCACAGACGGCCGUCAGGGCCGUGCAGAGGCGCCUGCGGUAGGAGGCAGGUCUUUUCAGAUGACUACCUUGGAGGCGCGAGCAGCACCGGACGUUGUAGGUAUGCGAUUUUGUUUUCAGUUCUUUUAUUUGUGCAUGAUUAUAUUGUUAUGGUUCUGGAUCAUCAUUGGUUUGAGUAUUUUAUUUUUUGAGCGGUUGAUUGUGAUCGAGUUAUAUGCCAUCUUAAUACCUUGGAUAUUUGAAUGGUAGUUAGGAGAUGUGCUCUAUUAGAGAAGGUUUCAUAGGAUGCAGUAAUUGUAGCAUGCCUGGGAGGGACUUGGUAUGUCUCGCUAGAUCGGAGUUGUAUAAUGUUAGAGAUGGAUUGGUUAGAUCCCUAGCUAUGGUGAGCUUGGGUUCCUCAGCAGCUUGAUUAUGGAAUGGUAGCAAGGAUUGGGAUUCUUUUGAGUAUUGAGCAGCAAGGGGUAAGCAGGAUCGAAGUGGGGGAGAAUCCUCCGAGUGUGCAAAGGUAGGAUCACGCAGACCCAAAAUGAGUGCGCGACCUCCGAGAAGGAAAAGAAGUAGUUCAGCGUUUGAUGGAUUGAGGAUUUCAGGGUUGGGAUUUUGAGAAACUCCCCAUCAGCUAGUGCGUGUGAUGGUGAUGGUUAGUAUGUGGUUGGGAAUUCAGGUUGUGGAUCGCCCGUAGGACUCGAGGGAGUCGGAAUGAGGAUCUUGAGAGCUAAUGGCACAUGGGUGCCUUCGUAUUAGCAGUCAGUGGUAGAAAGUGAUGUAAGACUACGGGGCAGCCGUAGCAUUCACUAACAGUUAGUGGUAGAAAGUGAUGUAAGACUACGGGGCAACUAUAACACUCACUAGUAGUCAGUGGUGGAAGUGUUGUAAGACUACGGGGCAACCAUAGCAUUCACUAGCAGUCAGUGAUGGAUGGUGAUGUAAGACUACUAGUAAGCCGUAGCAUUCCUUAGUAGCUUCGUUAGCGGAGUUGGGGCGAGGCCCUUAUCUCCUAGCGAUCAGAUAGGGAUCAGGAAUGGGUAGUGGAUGAAAGUGAUAGGAAGUUUGCUUGUAUAGCCCUAGAGAGGUGAGACCUUGGGAGAGGCCGCUCCAGGAUAUAGUUGGGUGAGGCCUGUGGGCGAGGCCCGUAUGAGAGUAGCGGUAUAGGUGAGACCUGAGAGUAGGGUUGCUCAGUAGUAUGGCCGGGUGAGACCCGUAGGCGAGGCCCGAGAGAGAGUGGUUAGACAAGUAGGACUAGAAGGAUAGAGGCGGGGGGGACCCGUGGGCGAGGCCCGUGUGUUUUAGCGGCAUAGGGGGGACCUGGUAAGGACCUUAGUGUCAAGAUAAGGGAUCGGGGAUCCAUGGAUUGUAGUGACUGAAUGGCAGAAUAGAUUGCGCAGUUAUAGGUGGUCAAAGUUCCUUCGAAAGUCGCUGGGAGCGACUAGGAGUAGUGUUGGGACUAGCGACCGGUGGGAUCCGGUAAUCCAGAUAUUGGUAGGACGGUAGGGAUUAGGGUGGUCUCAGUUCAUCCGGAAGGCAGAUAAGGAAUAGCAGAAUUUUCAGUCAGUAGUAGUGCGGGUAAGCAGUGUAUGGUGGAAUUCAGUUAGUUGUAUCGAGGGGUGCUCGACACCAAGUUUUGACAGAGAGGAGUGUCAGUGGUUACUGGCGGUGAUGACCUGUACUGGAAGUAGCGGGGGUGAUGGAGUUGGCGAAGGAUAUGACCUUCACAGUGACAGAGGAAAUAGUUGGUUAUGGAGCAUUGCCUUGGGAAGGCAAGGAAUUCGCACAAGGAAAGAAGGGGUGAACCCCUAUAGGUUCAGUACAGUACUCGGUGAGUACCGGAAGGAUUGUCGGUUGAGUAAGUUGUGUUUCCAGGAUGUUCAGGGUCAGGGUGACCUGAGUCUAUUAUCCGCAAGGAAUGAUGUUAGUCAGAAUGACCGGGCGGAAGACCAGCGAAGGUAGGCAGCUGGUGUUGGAAUGAUUAGUUGGGUAUUGAAAGCAUAUCGCAGGCAGUGGCCCAUAGCAAACUUCGAGGAUGAAGUUUAGUUUAAGUGGGGGAGAGUUGUAACACCCAAAGUCAGAAAGGCCAAGAAAGGAAAGGAAACCCUAAGUCUAAGGGAUGACUCAGUAAGUCCAAGGAGGAACUCGGCGAGUCCGAGCGGGAUCCGGGUCGAGGAAUAAGUGAACGACUCGGCGAGUCGGCCAAGGAGACUCGGUGAGUCUGGUCUGUACGAGGAAAUCCCUAAAUUUGGGACUUGGAGCCUAUUUAAGCGCCUCAUUCUCUUCCCUAGGGUUCCUCUACUGCCUCUCUAACCCAGAACACCAAACCCUAGCCGCCAUAUCCGUUGUUGAGCCAAUUAUUGCUUUGAAGAGUGCAUUAAAGCUUGGAGAAGGAAGAAGGGCCUUGGAGGUGCAAGAAGGAGCUAUAGAUCUGGGCUUGGGAAGAUAUUUCUGAACAUUUAAAGGUAAUAAACUAGUUCUUGGAAUCCUUUGCACCAAGAUCUAUGUUGAGUUUUGGGGCUUUUGGCCAUGAUUGGUAUCCAUUUGAGUUAGAAGCCAGAUCUAAAGUUGGAACUUCGGAUCUAAGCAUAUUUUGGCCUUGUGAAGCAUAAAGUAUCAGCCCUUGAGUUGAUUAUGGAGCCUCUUUGCAUUAAACCCUAUUUUAUGGUGUGUUUAGCCUAGAUCUCCUUCUCUACACGUAAAGUUUGCAACUUUACGUGAGGAAUAGGCUUGGGAAGGGUAGAUCUACAGUUUGGGGUCCAUGCAUGACUCAAAAGUCCUCUACAUGUAUGUAGAUCUGAAUGGACUCGACGAUUCCUUUGAGUGGACUCGGCGAGUAGCAUGAAGAUUAGGAGGAAUUUGACGAGUGGGAUAAACAGCUCGUCGAGUCAGAUGAAGUUGGGCAGGAACUCGGCGAGUUGGAAGAACAACUCGGCGAGUCAGUUGAAGAUUGCCUUGGACUUGGCGAGUCUGUUCUUGGACUCGGCGAUUCAGGUCACGAAACCCCAAACCCUUCGAGUUGAGACUCGAAUCAGUGAGUCGAGUGGAGACUCGGUGAGUUGGACAGGUCAGGACUCGGAAAUCGGUAGACUCGGCGAGUCGAGUCGCGAUUGGAAGGACUUUGAGCAUAUGAACUCGGCGAGUCAAUAGGUAGACUCGGCGAGUAGGGUUGACCUAGAAGAUUGACUUUGACCAGGACUUUGACUUUGACCAGAGUUGACUUAGUUGACUGUUGGGGGUCAGUUAGUCUAAGUGUUUCAUUGAUAUUGGUAGCUCGGGGAGCUAGUGGAGCAGGAGUUCAGAGAGUUUCUGGGCAGCAUCCAGAAGGUUAUCAGCAUGUUCAGCAAGUGCAUGUGAGUUUCCCUUUGUGCCAAUGGGUCUACGGUCACAAUGUCGGCCCAUGUAGUUAUGAGUAGNGGAAGGUUGACUUUGACCAGGACUUUGACUUUGACCAGAGUUGACUUAGUUGACUGUUGGGGGUCAGUUAGUCUAAGUGUUUCAUUGAUAUUGGUAGCUCGGGGAGCUAGUGGAGCAGGAGUUCAGAGAGUUUCUGGGCAGCAUCCAGAAGGUUAUCAGCAUGUUCAGCAAGUGCAUGUGAGUUUCCCUUUGUGCCAAUGGGUCUACGGUCACAAUGUCGGCCCAUGUAGUUAUGAGUAGAAGACCCGGGGGUUAGCCCUAGGCACAGUAUGCUAGUAUGAUAUUCGGGACGAGGUCCAAUGAUAGAGGGCGGGUGCCCAAGGAAUGGUUUAUGUGAUAGUUUAUACUUGUUGUCUGUGUGAUACUUGUAUGUGCCUGGUAGGGAGGUGAGUGUGGGCGAGGUCCCGUAUCUCACCAAUAGCAGAGUGUGGAUGGUGUUCCACAUCUCAGUAGCAGCAGAUCAGGGGCGAGGCCCAAGUUAGGGAAGGAGUGAGGGUGGGCUGGGCCCGUACCUCACUAUCAGCAGGAGUAUGGACGGGGUUCCAUGACUCAUCAGUAGCAGGACAAGGGCGGGGCCCAGAGAUAGGCGAGGCCUUAGGACAAGAUCCGUUAGUAUGUGUUUAGCUUAGGUUAUGUGAUGUGAUAUGUUUAUGUGCUAUUAUAUGUUAGUGGGCGAGGCCCUGUGACAGGCGAGGCCUAAGUGAAACAGAUCUGUAUCCGAGCGGGGCUCGAAGCCAGGCGGGGCCUGGAACGGUGAGGCCGUUAUAGCGGGCGAGGCCCGAGGUAGGGGCGAGGCCCAGGUUAGCGGGCGUGGCCCAGUAUGUGCAGUAUAUGGUUAUGCAUGGUAUGUGGUAGGGUGGGGAACUCACUAAGCUUCGUGCUUACGGUUUUCAGUUUUGGUUUCAGGUACUUCCGGUAGCGGAGGGAAGAGCUCGGGGGUGAUCGCAUGACACACACCAUAGAUUAGACAACCUGGGAAUGUUUUACUCUGAUAAUGAACAUGUGUUUUGGAAAAUUAAUACUCUGAUUAUGUUUUGAAUUGGUGACCUUGCUUAAAGAAAUGUUUUAUUAAAAGAAAUUUUUAGUCAUGAAUUUUGGGACGUUACAAAGUACAUUAAUCCUUGGUACAAAUAUUACAUCAACAAAAGUUAUCUCUAAGCUUUCAUGAAAUUGAAGACCUUAUGCCUAACACAACCAUUGUAUCUAGAUAAGAUUUUCCUACUUAUUUACUUUGUUGUGUGCAAAUAUUAAUACACUUGACUUAAGCAUCACCAACAUUUGGACAUAAUUGUUGACGUUGAGGUGGUUGGUUAGAGCAUUAGUCAACUUUAAUAUUCAAGUGAAGACGUAUCAAAUACAAGUGAUUGUAGUUCACUCCUAUAGCAACAAGAGGAGCAGAGGCUUUAAGUAGUUUAUCCAUUUCAACAUGAAACUCUUUUCACACAUGAACGAUCUUAUGACACCUGUCAAAUGCCUCUUAAAAUAUACAAUCAACACUUGGUCAGUAGCUUUCUUCUCUGUGGCCAGAACCAUGACCUCUUCAUUUCCCUAUAUUAAUGAUGACAGGUUCAUAAACUAAAAGGACUGUAAAGUCAAAAUAGUUGACAUUAUGUUGACAUACCUAGUGGUGUGAAGAGAAGAAUAAAUAGAAUGUUUGUAAUAAACCCGCUUUCUUGGGUGAGGAAACCAUGACACUUGUUCAGAAAUGAAACAUCCCAACUAGCACCUAACGACUUUUGCUACAUUGAGAUAUACUAGCAAACAACAUAAGCAAAUCACAUGGAAAAUUAUUACAAUUAAUAAAACUCAUAAAUAAAGUGGUAAAAACAGCCUUGCACACACUCUUGAUUAAAAAAAUAGUUUAUAUUAGUGUAACAUCCCGAUUUCUCGAUAUCAGUUUAAAGUUCUAGAGUCAUGUUUCAAAGACAACUCGACGAGUUGAUAGGCCAACUCGUUGAGUAGUGACCAAAUCAGCCAUGUGGAUUUUAGACCCUACUCGUCGAGUUGGAGGACCCGACUCGACGAGUAGGUGCUGGAAAGUGAAAACCAUAAUUUUUAGGGUUUGCACCCUAUUUAAAGGUCCUUAACUUUCCUCCUCAGCCUCCCUUGUCACCUUCACGUCCAAAAAAACCAACUAGUCUCUAUUCUUGAGUGUGUGAGACCAAAAGAGAGUGUAUUGGAGCAUUCUUAAGGAGUUAAGAGCUUUGAACAAGGGAUAGCUUGUAGAUCCAACUUUUCCAGUGUUGUGACAACAAUAUUGAGUUAUAAAGCUACCACCUUUAUAUUUCAUUGCUUAGAUCUUCCUUUUUGGUAAAGUAAUUGUCAUGUCUAGGGCAUGAUGGGGUCACACUCGGAUUUAAGCUUGCCACAAGGGCAUAGUUUUAGAACUUGACUUCUUAAGGCCUUAUGAACAUAAAUCCUUAAGCUUUAUGAAGCCCUAGCCCUCCUUCAUGUCCAAAACCUUCUCCUAAUGCUAAUUAUGAGUGUUUUAGCUUCAUAGAACCAUGCAUGCAUGUAAAGUUAGCAACUUUAUGUGAUAACAACACCCUAGGAGCAUAGAUCUACUGUUUGGAGCUUUGGAGCAGCUUAAAAUAGUCUGAAUGAGUGAUGGACUGAAGGAGACUCGACGAGUUUCAUGGUUGAAUCGAAGAGUCGGUUGAAGAUUGCCCAUAAUGGUUUUGCAUGGACUCGGCAAGUCAGUAAGAAGACUCGACGAGUCAGUUAGGGUUCUUCCUGACAUUUAGACACGCGUAGACUCGCCGAGUUGGUGGGGAAACUCUGCGAGUUGGCCCAGGGAUUUCACGGUUUUCUGAGUUUUGGAGGAACUCGAUAGGUCAGUAGUUGGACUCGACGAGUUGGGUCAACAUGGACUGUUGACCUUGACUGUUGACUUGGAGUUUGACCAGGGUUAACCAUGUUUGACUUUGGAGGGUAUUUGGUAAAUGGGUAUUUAAGGAAAUGGAUCAUGGGUGGAUAUAGGUAAUGGAGUUUGGGGCAGUAUUUUGAGAGCGUGAUUUCGUGGUUUAGUUCGGCAUUGCAAGGUGAGUUAUCCUCACUAUAUCAACAGGGUCUAAGGCACCAAGGUCAGCCCUUUAUCUGAUUUGUAUUCGGGUAUUUGCUUGAUAUGUUUUUUGAUCUGCUAGAUCUGCAUCCUGGUAGUUAGGAUGGUAUUAUGUUUAGUGACCUGGUUUAGGUCAGUAUCCUGGUAUAUGGGAUGAUGUUAUGUUAGUGACCGGUUAGGUCGGUAUCCUGGUUAUAGGACGGUUGUUGUGUUAGUAAUCAGUUAGUUUGGUAUGAUUAUCUGUUGUAUACAUGCUCGCGUAUAAUAUUUAUGUGCACAUGAUUGUUUGAUUGUUAUGGGGGUUGGGUUGAGGCGGGUCCUGCUUCGUGUUGUAGGCCAACAUACCCAUGGCGGACCGGAAAGACUACAGGCCCAGGAAGGCACAUUGUCCAACCAAUGGCCCAACGAGCGGUCCGGAUAGGCUGAAGGCCCCGAGAGGGUGGUCCAAACGUGCCGAGGCUCGGAGAGUGGGCCAGGUGGACUGAAGGCCCGGUGCGGGCGGUCCAGUCAUACUGUAGACUCAAAGAGUGGACCAGGUGGACUGAAGACCCAGUGCGGGUGGACCAGUCACACAGUAGACUCGGGAUGCAUGGCUGUUCAGUGUUUGUUAUAUGAUAUGAUUAUGGAUUGUAUGAGGUUGGUAUUUUGGGGGUAACUCACUAAGCCUUCGAGCUUACGUUUAUCAAUUUAUGUUUCAGGUACAACGAAUUAACCCAGGAAGACGAAUGUGUGAUCGUACACUUCCCCAUAAUAUGUUUUGGAUUUUCUGGGAUACUCUGAUGUGAAACUAUUUUGGAAACCUUUUUGUAAUAACUAUUGGCAUUUGAAAUGUUUUUAAAAGUUUAAAUUUGGCUUGGAUUUUAUGGGUGUUACAAUUAUUUCAAUUAUCCAAGACGAUUUUAUGUCGAGAUUUUAAGUUAACAUUAAAUCUCAAUUAUUUGUUUGAAUGAUUUUUUUCUUUUAUCUUAGAGAUUUGUUUGAAAUUUAUUAAUUUUUUUUAUAAAUUUGAAUUAAUCAAAGACACAUAUAAAAAUAUCUCAUCAAAUCAAAUAAAUUUAAUAUAUAAAAAAGAUAGUAUCCGAUUAAGUCAAUCUAAAAAUACCAACAUAUAAAUAUAACUCACAAAUCUUGAUGGGAAUAAGAAUCAAACUCAAAAUCAAUCAAAUAAAAAAACCUUUGAUUUGUGUUAUAAGUAUAAAAUAAAUCAGGAUUCCAAAUAAAUAUUACAAUGAAAAAAAACCUAAAAUGUUUGAAACAAAAUAUGAAAUUCGCCAUCACUGUCAAUUUAAAAAAAAAACCUUUAUUAAUACUAAUGGGCUAUUUGGUAGCAUCCUGAUGAAUCAUAUCUGAAUGAUCUAGAUGCCUGGAUGAUCUAGAUGCUCUUUAGGAAUUUCUAUCGGAAUGAUAAAAUAAUGUUUGGUUAGGCAUCUAAAUAUCUGCCUCUUAAUGAGGAAAAUAACCAUUUUAGCCCUCUAAAUUAUUUUUUGAAUACAAAAUAAACAUUAUACAAUAUCCAACAAAUCGGUUAAAACAAAUUGGCUUUUGAUAUUCAGAUUCAUGUGUUUCUUCAUCAACAAUCUCUUUGAAGAGGACUCGUUUUGUUUCUGUUUUUAGAUCAUUAGGCUUUCUUGCUUCUGGAACAUUGAUGGGCCUAUUUUCUUGCUGAAUAUCUUCCAUCACUAGCAACUUCAUCUUGCUCCUAGAUCACAUAUCAACUAAACAAGUUGAAAAAUAACCAAACACAUAUUUUCAUAUAGAACAUUUCAAGCAAACACAAACACAUUUUCAAAAAAAAAAAAACAAAUCAAUUGUUAUUUUCAGAUUUCCAAAGGACAAAAACAACAUCAACUGAACACAUAUAUAGAGCAAGAAGAACAAAGCACAAAAAUCGAUUUCAUACAAAAUCGAGCAGCAAGAACACGAUUGACACCAAUUUCAUGCAAAAUUGCUCAACAAUAACACGAUUGAAGCAACAGAUUCGAGAAAAAAAACCAUACCUGAAAACUUACCGACGACGAGUAGGCGGAGAAGUAGGAGCGUUGUCGAAGGCAUGCAAGGGGAGGCGGCGACGGAGCCAAUAAUUGGAAGUUGUCAACGCUUAAUGAAGAUAAAGAAUGAGGGAUGAAAGGUCGAUCUCUAGAAAGAAGGAGAAGAAAAAAGAGUCGGCCGCAAUUUGUUGUUAGGGCAAUGGUAGAAGAUGAAAAUUUUUUUAUUCAGACUUCUCCUCAUAUCUUAACGAAUCAGAUUAGUUUUAGCUACAUCUGACCGAUUAAGAGCGUAAAAAUGUUUCAACCAAACACUCUGAAUCUUAAUGAUCCAAAUGCAACCUCUUAAUGAGACCAUUAAGAGGCAAAACAAACAGCCCCUAAAUAAAAAAAACAAUAUAGUUUCCAUAAAAAUCGAUUUAAAUAUUAAAGAAGAGAAGAAAUCAGCAUUUAUACGACGUAAUAGUUUUUUAAAAUUAAAAAAAAAAAAUUAUUCAUAUUAUAAGUAUAAAAUACAUUUUAUUCUUAACUCUCAUUUGUAAUUUGCCAUAUGUUUUCAUAAGAGUUUAUGGUAAUAACUUAAAUUUUUAUUUUUCCAUAUACCAUUUUUCAUUUACAAAAUUGUUUGUGCUUAUUUUUUUUUGUUAUAUUAAAAUUUAUUAUAUUUUAUUAUAUAAUAUAUAUCAUAAUUUUUUUCAUUAAUUUACAUAUAUCUUAUUUUUACGUGUUUAUUUGAAACAAUCGUUAUAAUGCAAAAUAAAUACCACUUCUCCAUAUUAAUUAUUAAUUUUUAUUAAAAUACUUUAUUAAUUAUUAUAAUUUUUAUCUAUUGAUAUUCGUUUAAUUUUGUAAGUUUUAUUUUCACAAAGUAUAACCUAAUUAAUUUCUCAUCAUCUAUAGUAAAUGAAAGUUUUUUUUUUCACAUGCAAUCACUAAUUAAUUUUGACACUUGUCAUUUUAUAAUAUUUUUUAAAUAAAUAAUAUCCACAUAUCAAUUUAUGAUUUUUNNNNNNNNNNNNNNNNNNNNNNNNNNNNNNNNNNNNNNNNNNNNNNNNNNNNNNNNNNNNNNNNNNNNNNNNNNNNNNNNNNNNNNNNNNNNNNNNNNNNNNNNNNNNNNNNNNNNNNNNNNNNNNNNNNNNNNNNNNNNNNNNNNNNNNNNNNNNNNNNNNNNNNNNNNNNNNNNNNAUCAAAUGUAAUAAAUAUUAUUUUAAAAUUUCAUUUUAAAAAAUAUUUAUUAUUACAUUUUAAUAUUUUAUAUUCUUUAAUCAACCGUGUAAUACAUUUUAAUACAUAGAUUUUCCAUCUAAUAAAUAAAUAAAAUGUAACCAUUUUAAUCACUAAAUAAUUAAUCAACCAAAGAUUAAAACCCACUGAUAAAAAGGAAACUAAAUCAACACCAAAUUGAAAAUUAAACCAUAUAUUACUAAAUUAAUUCACAGAGAGUUCGACAUCAAUCAAAUAUUAUCUCGCACUCAAAUUCACAAAACUCACUUUCCAGGUACAAAGUUUGUAGCAUAUGACCAUGCAUUGUUUGCAACAGGGUCAGCAAGGUGGUCAGCGAGGUUCUCCAAUGGUCCCUUUCCGGUAACAAUGGCUUGAACAAAGAAUCCAAACAUAGAGAACAUGGCUAGUCUACCGUUCUUGAGCUCCUUCACUUUCAGCUCAGCAAAUGCCUCUGGGUCAUCAGCCAGACCCAAUGGGUCGAAGCUACCACCAGGGUAAAGUGGGUCAACUACCUCACCAAGAGGUCCACCAGCAAUUCUGUAACCUUCAACUGCACCCAUCAAGAUCACUUGGGUAGCCCAGAUGGCUAAAAUGCUUUGUGCAUGGAUCAAACUUGGGUUCCCCAAGUAGUCAAGACCACCCUCACUAAAGAUCUGGGAUCCAGCCUUGAACCAUACAGCCUCACCAAACUUGACACCAUUACGCGCCAAGAGUUCGGGGAAGACGCACCCAAGAGCUCCGAGCAUGGCCCAUCUGCUGUGGAUGACCUCAAGCUCACGGUUCUUGGCGAAUGUUUCAGGAUCAGCAGAGAGCCCAGCAGUGUCCCAACCGUAGUCACCGGGGAACUCACCGGUCAGGUAAGAUGGGGCUUCGCCGGAGAAUGGGCCAAGGUACUUAACACGGUCGGGGCCGUACCAUGGACUUCCUGAUGGUGCGACUUUCUUGACUGCUGUCUUCCUCAUGGAAACCCUUCCAUUUCCGAUUAUUUCUGAACCAGAUGGUGCUGCUUUCACUGCCUGUCCGACGAAAGAAGAAGAUAGAGCCAUGGUGGAAGCUGCCAUUUUUGUGAGAUUUAUUUUGAAGAUGUUGUGAUGGUUAUACUUAUGAAGAUGGGUAGAACUGGAAGUAGAUUUAUAGGGUAGUUUUUGGAUCAGAUAGGUGAUCAAUGCUUAUCUUGAUACAAUCUUUAGCUUCAAUUUGAUUGGCUACAGAGAUUCUUGUGGGUCCGUAAUCUGUGGUGUGAGUUCUCUGGCCCCCCUGAGAUAUUUUGAAGGGGCAGGAUAUUCGUGGCUCUGGUUUAUUGAGCCAAUGACUGGCUUUCACUCACUACUCUUAGUGGUGGUUUUUUAUAAUAUGCUGUAAGCUUGUAACCAUCCAAUCGUCUAAGUUUAUAACUGACCUAUUAUUACAAAUAUAUACUAACCAGGCAAAACUUUUGGUUAUAAAAGUUAAUGUGACCGAGAGACUAACACAAAAAAUUAUAACAGGAGUAGUUAAUAAUCCGCGAUUUACCGCUAUGCCGAGAGCCGUAGGGAGGAUCCACCAUUUACCCCUAAGUGUGCAGAAUGCCUUUUUUUUUUUAGUAUUAAAAUAUCAAGAUCGGACACGCGUUGUAAAAUUCUUGUUCGAAUUGUUUGCAAACUCUUCGUCACAAUAAGGGGAGUUUAAAUAUGCGUUUUAAUAUAAUAACAUUGGCAUUGAUUAAAUGUUAAUAUUCAAUUAUCAUCCCACAUGAGAAUGAAAUAUAUUAAUGAUUUAUUAAUCUAAAAACAUUAUCAUCCCACAUGAGAAUGAAAUAUAUUAAUGAUUUAUUAAUCUAAAAACAAUUUUUUUAUGUCAUUAUUUUUUGGGGUUACAGUCGAGCUUGGAGGAUCUCGACUUUAGGUAUGCCCAUUUUAUUGAGAGGAAUUACUAAUAAAUUUCGGAAAGAGGAAAAAAAUAUGAUCGUGGACAUAUGGUUUAGGAAUAUUUUCAUGUUCGUUUGACACAAGUAAAGUUCUUGAAAUGGGUGCUUCAGUUUGUACGAGCGGCUAACUUGAUAAAGUUCAAAGACAUAAAGGCAAUUUUCAAAAACUCACAUGAUCAGUUAUCGAACAAGCAUGUCGUACUAGUGUGCCCACUACACAUGUUAGUUAGCGGUUUCAAUAGGAAAAGAGCAUCAUUAGCUGUCAAUGAUAAUAUUCUUUCUCUAGUACUCGAUCCUUACGACUUUUAUAUUUAUAUCAUGUAAUUUAGAAUUUAAUUUAAUUUCUAUUAAUCUUCGAUUACAGUUUAUGUGAUCUAAUUCAUGGAUGUUUUGGCACUACAUAUCUCAAUGGAGUAUGCCAGGGAAAUUUUGGUCAUAACAACAGCCUCCAUGGGUUUAUAUAUAUUUUUAAGGUACAUAUAACAUCCUAUUUUUAGGCUUAGAAAUUUUGGUCAUUUAUAGUGAAAAUAAUUUUUUUUAAUAAAAAAAUAAAAAAGGAAAAAUAAAAAUAAAAAGAAUGACUGAAUGAAUACAUGAGCUAAUAAAAGGUUUAGAUCAAAUGUUUAAAGAAAAUAGCGAAUUUAUACUUAAAAUAGGAAAUAAAUAAGGAAGGGUCAGUGGUGGCAACUUUGGAAAACUUGUUUAAUUUAGAUCUAACUAGACAAUUUAUUUGUAAAGAGUUAAAAAUGUAACGAAAUGAUACUUAUAAGCUUAAGAGGGAGUUUUUCAGUUGGAAAUGUUGUUAGAAACCCUUAUUGGAAAAAAUUAGGACAAAAGGACUAAAAUUGUCAAGUUGAUGAAACUUGUGUUAACCUUAAUGUAACGACCCUAAAAUCUUAAAUUAUGUGUUUAAUUACUUUGUAUCAUUUUGUUGAAAAAUGAACAUUAAUGAUGCAAUAAUCAAUUUGUUAGUAAAUUUCAUUGUAUAUCCUUACAUUUAUCAUGUUAUAAUCGAAAAUAUAGGACAUUUCAGCAAAAAAUAACCCUGUAGGAAAGUCGCAUUACACCUCGAUAUAUUCGUGUGGAUAUAAAUUCUAUGAAAAUCCAAAUUUGUAUGACGAAGUUAUAGUCAAUAUAAGUUGGAAGUACAAAUUUUAAUGUUUAAAUGUGUAUGUUNNNNNNNNNNNNNNNNNNNNNNNNNNNNNNNNNNNNNNNNNNNNNNNNNNNNNNNNNNNNNNNUAUAUAUAUAUAUAUAUAACAUCUCAAAACCAUAAUAACCAUAACAUAAAAUCAGAGUUUCAAAACAUAUUAUCUCUCUAAACCAUAACAAUCACUGGAUGAUGUGUAGAGUCACGUGUAACAUCUCGUUUAAAAUUAGAUAAAUAAAAUAAAAUAAGUAAAUAAAUUAGAUAAAAUAAGUAAAUAAAUAAUAAACCCUAAAACCUCAAGAUGAAUUUUAUAUUUUUAUGUUAGCCUUAAAUCCAUAAUAAUUAUCAGAGUAUUAGCGCAAUAAGUUAAAUGUUAUUAAUUCUGGAAAUAGGGGUUUAAAAUGUAAAUUUCGAACUAGUUAAGAAUAGAUUUGUGGAAGCUGGGGAUUGUUUGGUAAUUUGGACUUGAAUUGAAAGGAUUAUUGGAAACAGGUAUAGAGUAAAUUACAGAUUUAAUUUGUAAAGGAAUUGAGAUGGAGGGACUGAAAAUAUAAGAAAGGGACUAAUGUUUGAAGAGAUAGGCAUGACUUAAACCCAUUCCCCCUCCACCCUCUUGCUACUCGGUUGCACCCAUAUAAACCCUAACCCUAAUAUCUUCUCAGCCGCCACCUUAUCCCUCCAUAUCUCCAGUCGCUUCCAUCACCUGUGUCGCCGUCAUGAACCACUGAGCACCACUGCCGCUGCUCCCACUGCCGAUGAAAACGAAGAUCAACGUUUGGACACCGUGACAGUGGGGAAGUAGGAAGAAAGGAAGCUCGUGGUUGUUAUUGCUGUUAUUCUCGGUUAGGGGUCGCAAAACCUUUCUCUUCUCCGUUUCCUUUUGUUGCUACGUUGUCAUCGUCAUCGCUCCAUGUGAGGGUGGUUGUGUUUGUGUUUUGUGAGUGUAGGUGUGUGUUGCUGCUGUGGCAAGUUGGAGAGGUGUGUGUGUCUUUUGUUGGCCAGAAAAACGAAGAGAAUCACCAUGGCAACCAACCAUGGUGGUUUUCACCGUUCUGGAGCCACUAGCCACCACCCUAGGUGGCUGUGUGUGUUGGAUUGACAUUUCUUCUGUACCAGGAUGCUUUUGAUAGUGUUUGGCCUAAAAUUAUAACUACCACCAUUAAAAAGUGGUGGCUGUCGCCUCCUACCGCCAUGGACCGCCGCCGACCACCAAUGCCCGAGGUGGCAGUGGGUGGUGUCUGACUUACUAAACAUUAAAUAACCUAAACAUCUAACCUUAGACCGAGUGGUACGUGUUUGGGUUGGAAACUCUUACUAGGCUUUAGAAAAUCCUAAGGUCAAGAAAACCCUAGUUUUGGAGUUUUGUCGGGACCCGCGUUGAAGUGUUAAUUGAACUUUAAUUAUACUCGAUAAGGCCCUACGAUUAACUUAAUGCAGUAUUGAACUUAAUGAAUUAAGUCCUUAAGGGGUUAUGUGUGGAGCACUAACCCUAGUUAUCAUUUUAUGUGGAAACCCUAAAAAUCAAGAAGCCUUAUUUUCGGCAAUGAUCAGGGCACAUAUUUGGGAUAUUCCUUGGAUUAUUAUUAUACCCGAGAAUGAAUAUGUCAAACCUUAAUCACUCCUACUUUUAUUUGAUUAAGUCCUUAAUGGGUUAAGUGUCCUUACUUAACCCUAAUCGUCAUUUUAUGUGGAACCCUAAUCACUAUUUCAUGUGAGGUAGUCACUGCUGCAAUUGACGAUGACUUGUGAUCGAGUAUUGAAUCAAGUAUCUUCCUGUAGGUGAUUGGAAGUGAGUUGAAGCUGGUAGAGUUCUUCGUUACUACGGUGGUUACCUACUAGCAUAUCGAGCUGAGUUUCACCUCACUGUGUUAGAUCUAUAUGCACAAGAAUCAUUAUUCAGUGACAUUGCUAAUAACAUAUGAUCCUAUAAGGUCACACUUUAAUCAAGUUGGUACUUAUUGAAUAUUUAUUAAGUAUUUUAUAAUUAAUAAUAAAAGUUCAACUCAUGUAUUUAAUUAAAGAAAAUUUAUUGUUUUGUGAAAAUAAUAAUAAAUGAAAGACUAACUANAUAUAUAUAUAUAUAUAUAUAUAUAUAUAUAUAUAUAUAUAUAAGUCAUGUACAAAGUUUUGGACACUUUCACCAAAGAUUGACAAACUAGCUAGUUAAUUAAGUGACUAAACAAUAAACUAGAAAAUCCAAUGGACCAUUUUAGUCCUUAAAACCAUGGGUUAUCAAGGCGAGGAGGUUGAAAGUCAACCUCCAACAUUCUUGUCCCCCAUGUUUGUUCAUUACCUUGCAUGUAAUACACACCAUGAUCAUAUUAUAUAAGGCUAGUUGUUUUAUCACUAUAUGACUAGAAGAAAAAAAUCAUUUACACUUUCAUCCAUAGAAUUGUAGGUUCUCUUGGCUUCUCCCUAUCUCUCACUUGAAGUUAGUUCUUGGUUUUUUAGAGUUCGUCUUUUGUGUCUUCCUUUUACACUUAUUAUCUAUGUGCUUAAGGCUUAAAGAGAAAAAUAUUAUACAAGAAGAAAUCUAGCAAUUUUGGUACCUUAUUCUUGUUGGUGGAUUACUUGUAGAGAAGAUCAGACUUGUUGUUCUUGCCAUCUACUUCAACACCCCAAAUCUAAGAGGGUCCAAAGUCUACGAAGGUUGUAUUUUCUAAACUCCCUAUGGUUGUUAUAAUAUCAUUCUAAGCACUUUAAAAGGAUCCUUGAUGGUUUGUUUUGUUUUCAAAUUUAUAAGAAAUUUUUAAAGCUUCCGUUGCCAGUUUUUGUGAAAAACUAUUUAUUUUAUGCAACAAACCCCUUCAGUUGUAACACUAUAAAUUUUCAAACAAAAUUUCCAUUUUUAAAACACACAAAUCUUAAAAUCACAUUUCUCAAAAAUCACAAAUGUAUCAAUUGUAAGAAUAUCCCAGAACCCUCAAACAUAAUCUCGAACAGGUGUGUACAAUCAAGUCGGCGCCUUACCGUGAUUCUGAGAAGUACCUGAAACACAUAACACACAACAUAGUAAAAACGAAGCUUAGUGAGUUCCCCAAAAUACCACAUACACAAAUAAUAAGCCACUCAUAGCUAUAGCUCGGCAUGGACCUUCCAGUCAUGCGUCUCGGUGAGGACCCUCCGGUCUCACGGCUCGGUGUGGACCCUCCGGUCAUGUGUCUCAGUGAAGACCCUCAGGUUUCACAGCUCGAGUUGGACCCUCCAGUCCUGUAUCUUAGUGAAGACCCUCCAGUCUCACAACUCGGUUUGGACCCUCCGGUCCUAACUCAGUAAGGCACAAAAUAAUAUAGCAUAUAUGACAAAGACAAAAUGCAUAAUAUCACAUAACUCAGUAUAAGCACAUAGGACCAUCCGGUCGAUAACUCAAAUAAGACCCUCUGUUCACAUAGUAUUACCACUCAGGUAAGUAUAGUGAUAAGACUCGUCUCGGAAGUAAGCAAAUAGAUCUAGUACCCCACGAACAGUUUAGACUCCGCCUACAUAAUAUAAUUAUCUCUAAUAAGCAAUUUGUAAUAACCAUUCCGAGAUGUUAAGCUAGCUCCCCCACUAAAUCUCAAAAAUGGUGAAAAUACCAUUUUACCCCUCCAUGGUCUCUAAGGUCCACAGUUGACCAAACCCUAAAACUCAACGUAAGUCAACGCUCAAGUCAACAGUCCAUGUUGACUAAACUCGUCGAAUGCAUCCAUGCGACUCGUUGAGUACCGUCGUUUUCUCUGAAGUAUCGGGAAAAUCCAACUCAACUCGUCGAGUUGUCUCAUCAACUCGCUGAGUUGUAACGCAUUUAGACUAUCAGGGAAAACCCUAGCUGACUAGUCGAGUUGUCUCAUGCACUCGUCGAGUCCCUCUAUACAAAUUCUCAUUUAGACUAUUCUAAGCAGGAAUAAGGUCCCAAACUCUAGAUCUAGCCUCCCAAGGCUGAAAUACCAUGUAAAGCUGCAAGCUUUACGUCUAUGCAUGGAAUCUAGCGCUCAAAAUGCUAAAACAAGCUCUAUAUAGGGUUUAAUGCAUAAAAUCUUGCCACUAGCUUGAUAAAGCUUGGACCUUUGGGCUCAAGGGACCUCAUAUUGUCCAUAUCUGAAGUCUCAAAUUCAUGGCAGGCUCAAACAACUCAAGUACUCAAAGAAGGAUGGAAAAAGGCCCUAAAACUCCUUAGAAAAGAGAUCUAACCAAAUAAUGAUCAAGGUGGUAACUUUUUACCUUCAAACAGAAGCUAGAAAUGAAUAAGCACCAGAUCCAAGAGCUCCCUCUCGUCCCAAGCCUUUUGUUCCUCAAUCUUUCUCCAAAAAUGCACCAAAAUACACAAUAUUAUCCUCUCCUUCUCUCACACAUAGAUAUAGCUCGAUUAGGGUUUCUCUCAGAGUUUUAGGAUGAUAAGGGAGGAUGAAAUGAAGGCUUAAGGUCCUUUAAAUAGGACACAAACCCUGAAAAUUGGGGUUUUCUCACUCUGCUCCUACUCGUCGAGUUGGGGUCCUCCAACUCGUCGAGUAGACUCUAAAAAUCACGCAACCUUUAACUCCUCUACUCGGCGAGUUGGGGCAUCCAACUCGUCGAGUUGCUCUGACAUCAUAAAUGCAAAUUUAUUAAAUGUUAUAUAUGGGAGCAGGAUGGUACAUGUAACGACCCAAUUUUCAUGACCAAAAAUUUUGUUUUAAAAACAUUACUUUAGAAAAUAUUAAAAGCUAAAAACAUUGUCGGAUCAAAUCAUAACACAAGUGAACCAUGUCUAAAAGCCAAUUCAUACAUUCAAUCAAAAUAUCAGAGUACAAAUCCCAGUGAAGCUCGUAAAUGCGGAAACCGGAGAGUGUGUGUGUGACAUGCUGCUACCGCGCCGGCUCCUUUCCCCUAGCUGAGGAGGUACCUGAAACCAAAACUGAAGACUGUAAGCACAAAGCUUAGUGAGUCCCCCCGUCGUACCACAUACCAUACAAACACGUAACAUACAUACUGUCAGGCUAUUCUGGGGUGCCUGACUACCCGGUACGGCCGUUCUGGGGUGCCGUCCUACCCGUGUCAAGCCAUUCUGGGGUGCUGACUACCCGUGUCAAGCCAUUCUGGGGUGCUGACUACCCAUGUCAAGCCAUUCUGGGGUGCUGACUACCCAUCGGUCCUAACAACCGAUCCUCGGGGACUAGUCCCCUCUUACUACCUUUAUCUCAUAUAACAUAACAAGCCAGCAUGCAAUCAUAUCAUCACGUACUGUCAGACAUAUCUGGGGUGUCCGACCUACCCUUCGGUCCUAACAACCGAACUCUACAACUAUCACAUAUACAUAUCAUGCCAGCAUAUAACAUAUCAGGUAGUAGCAAACCUAGAUGAUAUCACAAAGACAAUCAUCUAACAUACAACUCCUACUGGUGGGCCGGCAUUGUGGCCGUAGACCCACCGCUACUGGAAGGUAACUCACCUCGAAGUAGCUGCUGAUCUGAUCGGGAACUGACUGCCUACUGCUGCUGCUGCUGCUCCGGAAAUCCUCCGGCUGCAAUUCCCACAACAUACUCAAUCAAACACUGCUCACUGACCUUUGGGUAAAAUGACCAUUUUACCCCUGAUCAUGCCCUAAGUCAAAGUCAGAGUCAACUUUCAGUUGACCCGACUCGCCGAGUUGGCUUUCCAACUCGCCGAGUCCCUACCCAAACGACUGCCCUGAAACCCGAUCCUACCCGUCGAGUUAGGCGACGACUCGACGGGUUCACCUUCUUAACCAAUAUUCAAGUCCUUCAUUCUACUCGCCGAGUUGUAUGAACAACUCGCCGAGUUCAUCUUCAUCCGAAGAACACUUAUGCUAAGACUCGCCGAGUUGUAUGAACAACUCGCCGAGUCUGUUCUUGAUCUAAGGAGAUUGCCUUGAACUCGCCGAGUCAGGGCAUUGACUCGCCGAGUACCUCCAUAGAUGAGUUAAGCUUCCGACUCACUGAGUCACACCCCGUGACUCACUGCUCACUCGACACUACGAAAAGGGGACAAACUCGGAGACUCGCGAACAGACUCGCCGAGUCAUAUGAACGACUCGCCGAGUCGUUGCCAUGCAUCCACUAAAUACACAGAUUUGCUCGAUUCCAGUCCAUGCCAUUCAUAGAUCUGGGCUUCUAGGACACGAAUCACACGUAAAGUUUCCAACUUUACGUGUGGAUAUUCACCAAUAUGGAUUUUAGGGCUCAAAAUGUCUCAAAAGGGUAGAUCUAGGGCUAACAAGCAACAUGGGGCCAUAAAGCUAACAGAUCUGAGCUCCUGGAGCUCAAUCUUGCCUAGAUCCAGAGGCCAAACAUCUUAUUACGACAUACAAUGCACAUACAAGCUUGGGGAUUUGACCAAGAAGGACCCAAAUGAAGUUUUAAGCAUAGAAUCAAGGGGAAAACGGGUUAUACCUCAAAGGAACUGCUGGAAGAACACAAAUAAUGCCUGGAUGGCUUCCCUUCUUCUGGAUCUACUUCCUUCCUCCUUCCAAACCUUCAAAAACACACACACUAACCUCAAACUCUCAAGGAAUAGCUUAGAACGAGAGAUACAGGGCUUUAAGGGUCAAUGGGGGCCGGCUUGGGGCUGAUAAGUCCUUUAAAUAGGGUGCAAACCCCUGAAACUUAGGGUUUCAUCCAACAGCUAUGACUCGCCGAGUCCAGGAUAUGGACUCGCCGAGUCGCCAACUUAAACGUGUCCCGGGUCCCGCAUCCACUCGGCGAGUCGGACCUAUGACUCGCCGAGUCCAAGGCUAAAAGAAAGGAAAUACUCAAAUAACAUUUACGUACCAGGAACCGGGUGCUACAGUACAUCAGUUGUAUCAAAACCAUCUUUUAAAUGUUAGAAUGAUUUUUAUGUUAUGAUAAUCUUUGGUUUUUGGGAAACAAGCAUGGAUUUCUUUUUAGCUUGCAUCAUGUUAAUGAUUCGACCGAAGUGGCUUGCAUCAUGCUUGCAACUAUGACUCCUGAACUUCAAAAAACUUUUGAGUUUCAUGAAGCAUUUGAAAUGAUUGAACAACUGAGUCAUGUUUCAAGUUCAGGCUAAGCAAGAUAGGUUUGAGACCUUGAAUGCUUUCAUUGGUUGCAAGAUGGACAAAGGAUCUUUUGUGAGGUCACAUGUACUAAAAAUAAAAGCUUAUGUUGACCAACUUUCCUGCCUCAGAUUCUAAUUUGGGGAUGAGCUAAAGACCAAUGUGAUCCUGGCCUCACUGCCUAAGUCAUUCAACCAAUUUUUGAUGAACUUCACAAUGAAUUAUUAGGAGAUGAGCAUUAAUGAGCUUCAUAACUUGCUCAAAAUUGUUGUGAAAAACGUCAAGAAGUCUGGGAACAAUCAAGUGCUGAUGAUUCAUGAGGGUCUAAUCUCUAAGAAGAAAACUAGUACUAAUAUCGGUUAGGGGAAAGGAAAAGCUGCCAAGAAAGGCAAGGGCAAGGGAAAGGGUAAAGGGAAGCCUCCUUCCACUAACCCAACUCCUAAACCCAAGCCUACUGCUAAUGUUGAUUGCUUUAAAUGUAAUGAAAAUGAACAUUGGAAGCGCAACUGUCCCAAAUACCUAUAGGAACUUAAGAAGAUCAAAGCCAACUAGUUUGGCACCUCAGGUAAUAUGUGAUUGAAUUACAUGCAUUCCGUACUAAUUCUUGGGUAUUCUAUACUGGAAGUGGUACUAACAUCUGGAAUGAUUUGCAGGGACUAAGGAAUGUUAGAGAACUAAGAGAUGGCGAUUUGGAACUUCAUGUUGGCAAUGGCAAUCGAGUAGCUAUCAAAGCCAUAGGACAAUAUCAUCUUUUUCUUCCAAAUGUCCUUAAUCUUAUUUUUAACAAUUGUUGUUAUGUACCUAGUAUAACUAGGAAUAUUAUAUCUACUUCUCGCUUGUAUGAACAAGGUUGUCGUUAUAAGUUUGACUUUGAUUUUGAAAACAUUUUCGUGUUUAAGGAUAAUGUGUUCUAUUUUGAGACUAGUCCCACAAAUGGAAUAUACGAAAUCGAUUUAAAUGGUUCAUACACAAAGGAUAAUUCAAUAUUCAACUUAAAUAAGAAAACAAAGUUAGACUCAAAUAAAACUUUUUUUUGGCAUUGUCGACUUGGGCACAUAAGUAAAACUAGCAUUACUAAGCUCCAAAAGGAUGUGAUAUUAGAGUCAACAGGCUCAAAGUCUUUUGAUGUAUGUGAAUCAUGUAUAUGUGGCAAGAUGACCAAAGCUUUGUUUACCGGUGUUGGUGAAAGAGCUUCGGAUCUAUUAGGACUCAUACAUACUGAUUUAUGUGGACCUUUUAGAACAAUGACCAUAAGCGGUGAAAGAUACUUCAUUACACUUAUUGAUGAUUACAGUAGAUUUGGAUAUGUGUAUCUCAUGAAACACAAAUAUGAACAUUCAAUGUCUUCAAGGUUUUCCAAACUGAAGUACAUAAUCAACUUGGUAAAAAUAUUAAACCCAUACGAUCAGAUCGUGGUGGUGAAUAUCUGAGAUAUGAGUUUGAUGAACAUCUGAAGAAUUGCGACAUAGUGUCACAACUCACUCCACCGGGAACACCUCAGCAUAAUGGUGUCUCAGAAAUAAGAAAUCAUACUCUACUUGAUAUGGUGCGAUCAAUGAUGAGUGAUACUUCCCUUCCUCAUUUAUUUUGGGGUUAUGCCCUUGAAACCGCAGUUCGAACUGUAAACAUGGUCCCAACUAAAAAGGUUAGUAAGACUCCCUACAUGUUAUGGCAUGGAAAGGAUCCAUCAGUGUCUUUCUAAAAUAUAUGGGGUUGUGAAGCAUAUGUUAAAAGAGAAACUUCUGACAAGCUUGACCCUAGAUUUCAUAAGUGUAUCUUUGUUGGAUACCCAAAAGAAACCGGGUGUUCAUAGCUCGUAAAACAAUGUUUCAUGUAACUGAAUUUAUCUUGCAUAAAGUAAGUGGGAGCCCCCUUGACCUCGAAGAAAUUCGAGAGAAACAACCUUUAGUUGAAAACGAUAAUCAACAAAGCAUUUUUGAACAUGAACUUAUUAUUCAGAUGCCGGAAACCACACCAAUUGUACGAUGUUCCAGUAGAACUCCUCAUGAACCUGACAAAUUUGGAUUUGUCAUUCCUGAAUAGGAAGUCUUCUUGAUGGAUCAAUAUGAGCCCAUCAACUAAAAGGAUGCUACUGCAGACCCAAAGUCUAACAAAUGGCUUGAAGCCAUGAGAACUAAAAUCCAAUCCAUGAAUGACAAUCAAGUAUGGGACUUGGUUGAUUUACCUCCUAACAGUAGAGCUGUUGGAAGCAAGUGGAUCUUCAAGAAGAAGAUCUACAUGGACGGAAAUGUACUCAAAUUCAAGGUGUUGACUAUGAAGAUACCUUCUCGCCAUUUGCUAAGAUUGAAUCUAUUAGAAUUAUCAUGGCAAUAGCUGCAUAUUAUGACUAUGAGAUUUGGCAAAUGGAUGUCAAAACCACGUUCCUUAACGGAUAUCUUGAGGAAGAUGUUUUUAUGGAACAAUCUGAAGGUAUUGUCAAGCCGGAUAACCUAAAGAAGGUACGUAAACUAAAGAAGUCCAUUUAUGGAUUAAAACAAGCAUCUGGGGUGUGGUAUCAUCGUUUUGAUGAAAAGUGUUGGGUUUUGAGCAUUCUAACACUCCUAUGGUGUACAUGCAACCCUAAAUACCUUGGAUCUAUGUUUUCUCUAUUAUACAUGAAAUAUCAAUUUCCAAGGUAUUUAUCCUAACUAGCAUAUUAUGAAGUACAAGUAAUAUAGAAACUAGUAGAAAUACAUACCUCUUUGUUGGUGCUUGAUUCCAUGGAGCUCAAGAGCCUAGUGCCCCAAAUGUGACACCUCAAAUGGUUCACACAACAUCAUAUGCACGUGGAAUAACUUAGACAGAAAUCAUCACUUCAUGAAAUCGACUUGCCCUCCAUAUACACACAUAGUGGCCGAUUUUUCACAAGAAUAUGAUGCUUAUAUAGUUGUUACAAUUAGGGUAAACCCUAAUUGUCAUGGCUUUCCAUUUCCUUAGAUCCAUGGGUUCAAAUACACCAUGGAGCAUCCAUGGAGUAUCCUAUGGGUUUUAGCCUAACUUAACAAUCCAUGGAGUCUUAGCCCACUAUACAGGUAUGUAUGAUAUACACAACCAACCCAUAUAUUUAAUUAGUCUUCUUUUGAUCACUUAAUUAAUUCUAGAUUAAUUCUUGAUCAAUAUUAAUUAAAUAAUCUUAUUAAUAUAUUAUAACUUAUAAUAUAUUAAUAAACCUUAAGUGUUAUUUCUCUCAUUUUAUUCUAUCCAAAUGCAUGAUGCCAUGCAACCCAAAUGGACUAUGUCGGGUCGGGUCAAGUAUAUACCAAUUAUAGUUAUGGACUUAGACACUAAUCCAACAAUCUCCCACUUGGAUAAGUCUAAUAACUAUCAUUGCAAGUACGGCUUCAC
Molecule: long non-coding RNA, 109741 nt
Filed under: Lactuca sativa (garden lettuce)
Lineage: Eukaryota; Viridiplantae; Streptophyta; Magnoliopsida; Asterales; Asteraceae
Description: long non-coding RNA (LSAT_LNC003408)
Source: RNAcentral